RNAcentral lists this long non-coding RNA (108142 nucleotides) under Lactuca sativa (garden lettuce). RNAcentral describes it as "long non-coding RNA (LSAT_LNC001007)". The record is from RNAcentral. Lineage: Eukaryota; Viridiplantae; Streptophyta; Magnoliopsida; Asterales; Asteraceae.
CAGUCAAUUCUUUGAUUUGCUUGAGGCUUUCAAGUGUGGAACUUGUGAAGAUAUAUUCCAAUACUUCACAGUCAUAGAUUUUUAAUAUCGUCAGGUUGGGCAAUUGAAGCAGAGUCAUAUUGGCCGACCUUGGGAGGGUGAUUGCAGUACAAGUAUCAUCACUUCCAUCACCAACAUUCGUAGUACUAUCAACACCAUCUUUGUUUAUUUCUUUACUUUCAAAUAUCUCCACCAUUGACUUACAUUCUUCUAUUCUCAACACUUCAAGCUUAUUCAGUUGUCCCACUACAUUGGAUGGAAACACUCUUGAUAGGGCAGGGCAAUUUCUUAUAUCAAUCUUUUUGGAGUAUUGGCAUAAGAACCAAGAAGCAACACCGACUUGACAACACUACAACAACACAUGAAAAAUCAAUGGAUCUAUUUGUUAAGUAACAAUGUAAGUUGAACUACAAAAGGGCAAUAUACAGAAAAAUCACUAUAUUUCGGCCAAUUUUUUGCAGUUUAACAACUCCAUUUCAGUUUUAUCUCAUCAAACCUACCCAAGUUUGAAAUUUCUUUCUAUAUCGACAAAUUUUACCUACUAUAGCAGGUUAAAGUGGUCAUAAUUGAAAAGGUUGUCAAUGUUUAGUCCACUUAACUUCACUAAAGCCCCUCAACUUUGACAAAAUUUUCUAUUGUGACCACUUUAACCUGCUAUAGCAGGUCAAAGUGGUCGGCACAGAAUAUUUCUCCAAACUUGGGUGGAUUUCAUGAGGCAAGCAGAAGUAGAGUGUCAUGAUUUAUGAAGAGAAAAUAAAUGGUGACAGACAGAAUCAACGAUGUGAAGCGAGUGGAAAGAUCAUAAGAAGCAUACUUCUGAAAGACACAGAAUCAGCAUAAAGAUAGAAGACCACCUAGGCCACAAAAUCUGGGCCUACAUUUAAAGGAUUCAAAUGGUUUACAAGACAAAGUUCAUGAUGGAUUUUAUGGUGAAAAUUUGAAUUAAGAGAAAUCAGACCGUGGUGUUUGGACUCCACUCCAUUAAGCAAGACGGUUUGUCAAAUGACCAAAAUACCCUUGUUAUAUGUAUAACCAAAUAACUAAAAACAAGAAAACAGUUGUAUGCCAUGCUUUAUAUUGUUGGCAAGAGAGAACAAGUAGAUGGUGGAUGAAAGAAAAGGCAUACUAAAUCAAUCAUAAAAGUGGCCUUAAUUAUAUAGGCUUACAGGAGAUUUUGAACAGCUACAAAAAAGAAAAUAGAAACAAGAAAAAACAAAACUGCCAGGGUGCUAAUUAACACAAUUAAUUAGCAUUUAUCCAAAUUAAAACUUGAAAAUGAACAGACUUUGAUUAGCAAUUAAUCAACAUAUAUAUUUCAGGCGUGUCUGCAGGAACACGUGUAUAAACACAUACAAGCAUGAUAAAAACCGUAAAAUAUACAAAAUAUUGUAACUCUGAACUUUACGUGUCUGUAUUGAAGAAUGGAUAAAUGCAAGAAAUAGCAACACAUUUCCAUUUAUUAUUUUAUUAAAGCAUCCUACUUUCAUUUCUUUCUAUUGCAGAAAUAGAAAUCCUUUGUAUUUGGAUGACAUUGCUAGAAUUGGGUGGGUUUCUGAAAGUACAAUGCUUUAAUAGGAAAAAAUGAAAGUAGGAUGCUCUUAAUUAUAAGCAAAUAAAUGAGAGUAAAUUGCUAUUUCUAUCAUUUUAGCCUUUAAUAAAUGACACAAGACCACCAUAUUGGUGCUAUAAUUGGUAUAUUAUUCAAAAACAAAAUGCAUCAACAAAAAAGACAUCAAUAAAAUCAUUUUGUUCUAUUUUUCAAAUUACCUAAUAAAAAAUCAAGAAUAAUGUUGAUAUGACUUAUAUGCAUCUAUCAAUUAAUUUUUUUUCUCUCCCUCACAAUCCGGUUUGAGUCCACCAUCCAUUUUAGUUAAUUUAACUAAAUUAAACUGGAUACAAAAGAUCUUAAAUGAUUUAUAACCAUGCUUAUCAUAAAUAACUUUGUGACCUAUGCAACCGAAUAAACUUCAAAAUAAAAAAAAUAAAUAAAAUUAGGUAUGUAGUUAUUUAUUUUGUGUUUCUAGCUUCAGAUGAAUUAGCUUAGGGAGUUAUAUAAAGCAGCUAAUGGAGAAUAGAAUAUUAAAAAUAAAUAUAUAUAAAUAAAACAAAUAACUGAAUGUGUAAAGGAUCCACUAGUUAAGAGAAAUGAUACCUUGAACUGAUCAUGGAUGGAAGUAUUGUGAUCCUNAGUUGUGAUCCUAGUACCGCCAUCGAUACUCUUUAGGCUUGGCAGAUCUUCAAGGUAGAGUUGUUCAAGAAGAGGGAAGGAGGAGAAGGUGUUUGUGUGAGUAGAAGAUAUUAUUUCUUCAUUUUCAUCAUUAAUAUCUCUAUUUGAAACAACUUCUUCAAUACCAUCACAAUCAUAUAUCCAGACACACUUUAAAUUGGGAAGAAGUUUGCCCAUGACAGGUGAAAAUAAGUACUUUAUGCUAUGACACUUUUCCAUGUAUAUGGUUGUGAGGUUGUGGAAUGAGUAGGAUUGUGAUUGGUUUUGAGGAAUUACAAGUUUCUUCCAAUUGAACUUCCACACAUCACUCAUCCUCUCCAUAUCUUCUAAAUGUAAUUCCUUGAGGUGGGGAAGUAGUAGUGGUGGUGGUUGAUGAUUAUAUUUAUGCAGAGUUGUUGUGAAAUCUGUGUUGUUACCGGAACUCUCUAUCUCAAACACCACUUCAACAUCCUUACAGUCCCUUACAUCAAGUCUUUGAAGGUGAUUAACGUGAAAAGGUUUGGGAUGAAUUGAGGAUUCAACAUCAGGAAUAUUACCAUACACCUCUGAAAUGAUCUCUUCCUUGGAUAUAACAUUAAUCUGCACAUAUCUCAACAACAAAUAUAAUUACAAAUCUCCUACAAAUAAAUAUGAAAAAUACACGCACUUACACAAAUACAUAAAAAUGAUAUUUUUCACAAGAAAUUACAAAAUUGGUACCUGUGUUUAUCUCUUCUCUUUUUUUUGGUUUGUCCAUUAAAUUGUUUAGGAAUUUUGGUCCCCAUUAACUUGCUUAUAAAUAUGCAAAUAAUAAUAUGAAGGUUAAAACAGAUCCACACUUAGCAAUGUGGGAAAUAUAGACGACUUCUCCAAACAUAAAAGUGUAGUAGUGGCAUAGGUAAUUUGUCCAUGUUUUUAAAUUUGGAGUUUUAACUUUUUCUUUAUCACAUACUGAAGUGUAAAGAUUUAGAAAUAAUUUGUCAGGAUACAUCUCUUCACGCAAAUUAAUAAUCUUAUUGCACUUUAAAGUGUUAACACAUCCAAAGAAUUGUGUAGAAUUGUAGUGUGAUAUGUAUAUACGUGUAUGUACGUACAGAGACACAUAUACAUAAGUGCUCUAGCAUCAAAAUAGAAAUAAAAAUAGAAAGCUCAAUGAUAUCACAUACCUCUUGGUUGUUCUGAACCAAUUCAAUGUUUCCCCUGGUUUCUUCCCAAGUUCUCCUACCAUCUAUACUCACUUUCAUAACUGUUCUCACAUCAGAAUUGGUCACGGUCGGUGUGAAUACGUUUACAAACCUCUCACACCCAAAUAUAUAUAUCCUUUCAACAGCUUGAAAGCAACGGAUGAGGAUAUCAGAGCUACUUUCACCUUUCAUCCUCCACAACUCUCUUAGCUUCUCCAAUUUAGAUACUUUAAUUUCUCUCAAGCUGCUACUGUAUUCUUCAGUUUCACCAACACAACUCAUGUCAAUGUUAAAUAACAAUUCAAUGCUUUCACAUUCUCUAACAUCAAGCUCUUCCAGACGACCCAACAAAGACAUGGGAUUGGUUGGAAACAGAUUCACAAGAUUAUCACAUCUGCCCACUUCAAUCUUUCUCAACAUGCAGGCAUCAACGUCUUUGCUACUUAUAAAUUGAUAAGGCCAUAUCUCUUUCAGCUUAUCCAUCCUCCAAAUCCUCAAUUUCUCCAACUUAGGAAUCAGCAUCUGCACAAUAAUUAAGACAUGUUGAUAAUCAGUAGUGAAAUCAAACUUAAAAUAGUUUGUUUGGGGGAUCACAAAUUCACAAUCUAAUCAAUACAGAUUUUCAUUACAAAGAAAAUCUAUAAAACUGUCAACAUAAAUCCUAAUAUAGAGGUACCUGUUUGUUAAAGAAUGGUUGAAUUGCAGAAGCAUUACUGGACAUAGAAGAUGUUGCAGAUGUUUUCUCUGGAUAAAUGCUACUGAAAUUAGGAAGGCCAUCAAGUUCCAACUCCACCAGCUGUGGUAGCUCAAUUACAUUAGCAUUGUUGCAAAGACCUAUCAACUUUGGUAGCCUAUCCAAUCUUAGAAACUUUAGCCUCUGAAACUUAAUUGCCCCAUCUCCACCAUUCUCACUAUGUGCAAGUACUUCCAGAGCAGGGCACUUUGAAACUGUGAGCCGCUCAAGCUUCAUCAAACCAUUUGCAAUAGGGACUGUGAAGAGGUAUCUUAAGUUUUCACAGUUGAAAACAUCAAGGACUCUUAGAUUAUUAAACGCCUGUCGAGGAAGAUGAACUGAUUCCACUAAAACUUCUUCAAGAUCGUUGAUACCAUCCACCUCCAAAUAAAGCACCUCGGUUUUCUCAAACAACUCAUUCAUUCCAGAUUCCAACAGCUCAUCUUUGUUAGUGACCAACCUCAAUGUGUUUUCAAAUAAGUGCAUAUUUUUGUGAGUAUUGCCUACUAAACCACAUCCCAUAGAGAUCCUGAACCUUUUAAGUUUAGUAAACAGCAUAUUCUCGGGUGUACCGUUGUUGUCAAAGAACUCAAGUUCUAAUGCAGAAAGGUGCUUUGAAAGCUCUGCUAAUUCAGCACGAUUUCCAUUUGUGAACCUGAUUGCCUUUCUAUCAUCAACUCUCAUAUAAAGCUCUUCAAGCUCGACCAAAUUUAUCAAGACACCAUCAUCAAUACGAAGAUUAAGACACCCUGUCAAAUCCAGUAGCUUUAGCUUCUUCAACUUUCCGAUUGUGGAUGGUAACUUUCUGAUACCACAAUGAGCAAAACUGAGCACUUCCAAAUUCAAUAGUUCACCAAUUACAGAGCAAUCAAACAUCAAUAGGCACUGAUGGAGAAUGAGUGUUCGUAGCUUGGUGGAGCAUUCAAGUGAUCUGGGAAGCAACGGAUACUGCAUUUUUUCAUAUGCUACAACUUCAAGAUUUUCCAUUCUUUUAUAAAAAUCUUCAGGGAACUUAAGCGACUUAUCUCCAUCCAUAAGUCUCAAAAGUGAAAGGUUUGGGUAUUUAAAGUCACCAGCAAACUCAGACAUUCCUGUGCAAGUAAUAGAAACUCUUUUGCAAGAAUCUUUCACUUCAGCUCUACUCCACUUUGAAAUAUCACCAUGGUUGAUCAUCCAUGGAUGGUCACCUUUAGAAACUCUACUUAACACAAAAGCAAGCACAAGAUCAUGCAUUUUGACACACCCAAUAUAAUCGCUAUCCAUCAACAAAUUUGCAUUUCUAAGAUUCUGCACACACGUUUUUGUCCUGUCUCUAGCCUCUCCCAAAGUAGAAACUUCACUUAACAAACGUAGGCCCCAUGCAUAUCUUGUGAGUUCCUCAAUUGGAAUAUUAAAGUCAUCAGGAAACAAGCCACACAAAAGAAAAAUCACCUUUUCCUCCUCUGUUUUUAUAUAGUCAUAGCUUAUCUUGAUAACUUCUUGCACAUUCUCAUCAAGAUUCUUCUUCUUCAACCUUUGAAAAGUAUCUCUCCAUAAAAAAACUUCCUGAAAUUGAAGGGUCUUGGCGAUGAGUUUAAUGGCAAGGGGCAAAAAACCACAUCUUCUCACAAUUUCACUUCCUAUUUGAUUGAGCUCAUAUCAUGUUNACUUCCUAUUUGAUUGAGCUCCAUAUCAUGUUGUUUUGAAACUCCUGUGAUUUUCCAAAAGAAAUUUUGUGCUUCGGGCUCCUCCAUCACAUCCACUCGAACUAGUGUCGAAUCCGAAUUAGCUUCUACUGCAAUUUGUUUGUAAAUAUUUUCAUUUCGUGAUGUCAACAACAACUUGAAGCCGUUGGGCAAAGGACUCAAUCCAAUAUCUUUGAGUUCAAUCGUUUCCCAUACAUCAUCUAGUAUUAGUAAAACCCUUCUUCUACCUUCGGGAAGGUUUCCAAAUGUUAUACGAAGACGAUCCGCUCUUGCUUCUUUACUCGGUUCAGUGAGCGAUUGGCCCAUCAUGUACACUGCCACAUCUUGCUGAAUUUUAGACAUGUUAAUUUGUUGCCCAAUAACCACCUUCACAACAUAAUCAAACAUUUUCUUAUCUUCUGCAGCCUUUUUCAGUUGCUCCAUCAUGGUGGUUUUCCCCACACCACCCAUUCCACAUAGGGCUAUCACUUUGCUCUUGUGAUCUUGUUGGAGGGACUCCAAGGCGUUCUUAAAAGACUUCUCUCUUGAUUUGAAGUGAUUUUGGGCAUCACCAUCCGAAGGAACAUGACUGGAUGCGAUUUUCGAGUUCACUUUCCCAAGAGGUCUUUGAGUAUCACUCCAAGUUAUCUUACUAUUUUCAUCGAUAAGACGUUCCAUCUCCUGCGUGAUCUUGAAUGCAUUCCUUCCAGCUCGAUACCUCAUUUUCAAGUUACAACAUCCGCUCCCAGUACUUGGAAUGCUUUGAGCUUUUUCUUUAGUCUCUUCAACUUCUUCCAACCACCCCGGUACAUGAGUAGGUGUCUCUAGAUUACUUAUAUUGUUUGUUUCCAUGUGUUUUUUGACAUCACAGCUUGUAUCAUCCAGUAGCUUUAUUUUGGUAUUCAUAUUCCUAACAUGUUUCGUGGACGAAAAGAGAUAUCCCAGUUGUUUCUUGACCGGAUCAAUUAAAGAUUCAACAAUAGGACUAAUUAUUGCAGAUAUAACCUCCAUUUUCCAAUAUUCUAGCUUUUUAGCGACACCUGCAAAGCAUGUGUAACAAAUCAUAAAAGGGGAUGAAAUUGUUAAAAGUUGUCAAUUAGCUUACUUUUUUGUCCGUUCAUAUUUUCAUUAAUAAUUUGCAGAACUAUCUUUUUUAAAAUAUCAUCUACAAGCCAUAAGUAACUAGUAAUCAAAGUUUUUCCUUCAAGAUGUAGAUACAAACUCCAUUUUAUUGUGUAUUAGAUGAUUUUGGCUUUGGAGUCGCCGAUAAAGGCAUGAUUUUAUUUAACAUAAAAAAGUGCUAUGUCAAUGAGGAUGGCACAGUUCAACUCACACUUUUUAGUUCAUAAGUUCUUCUGGUUAUCCAAAUGAGUAAAGUUUAAAAAAACAGAGCCAAAAUUUAAAACAUGUCAAGUGGCUUAAAAGUCACCUGCCCAAAGUGUAUUCAAAUGCAUCCAACGUUUAGAAUCAAAAAAUUAGAUUAUAAGUGAAAACACAAGCAAUAGCAACAUACUUCCAUUUCCUUGUGUAUCAUUUCUUCCUAUUAGAGUAUUUUAGUUUCAAUUUUUUUCUUAUUAAUCCAUUUCACUUUAAAAAUUCUACCCAGUUAUAACAUUGUACUUGCAGAUUUUUUUAUUAGAACAUUAUAGCAUUGCUAUAAUUGGGUCGGUUUUUCAAAGUAGAAUGCUGUAAUAAGAAGUUGAAAACUCUACCCAAAUAUAUUUAUAGCAGCGAAAAUUGCUUUGCAGUUUGUAUAUAGAUGACAUUUCUAUAAUAAAGGGAUUUUGUAAUCAUAUUCAACACAUCAAUCAUUUAUAAAGUUAGAAAAACGAACAAAAAAAAAACAUUUCCAAGUAAAAACACAAGCCAUGACACAAUUCCUAACUCCCAGAAUAUAAAUCAGCAAAAUGACCAAUAUACCCUCAAUAAUUAUACAUCAGAUAUGAAUCCGUAAGGUAAAUUUUCUAUAUUUUGACUAUGUAAUUUCAUUUUUACUGUACAUGUAAGAUAUGUAAUCAAAAGGAUCUGUUUCACAGCUUGAUCCUUGUGCCCAACUUAACAGCAGAGUAUAAACAGAGAGUUAAGAAAGAACAGGAACAGGGGAAUUGACAACUACUUAGAGCCUCCAAAGUAUAUUGUUGGAAGAAAACUGAGUUCUGAAUGAAUUAUACGCCUUAUUUAUGCUAAGACCAAAAAGAGUUUGACCCAAACACAAAUACCGGAAAGAAAACUAAUACUUAAAAAAACAUUCCGAAAAUACCCCUUGUCCUAAUUUUACUGAAUUAACCCAAAAAGAUACAAAUAUUCUAACUUAGGGGUGUUGUUUGGGUUUUCUUUUUUAGGUUUCAGGGUUUAAAAUUGCCCACACCAAAUUACAAAUAAAAAUUAAUAAAAUAAAAUAUCUGAUAAUAAGUUUAUACUAAUUGUUACUGGUAUUAAAAAAUGUUACGAGAGAAUCUUUUUUUUUUUUGUUUUUCUUCAAUAUAGUUUAAACUCCCCAAAUAUGGCUGUAAUUGGGAUUUGUCUUUGUUCCCAACAACAGCCAUUUGUCAUGGUUGAGACCCUCACCUACCACAAAACUUAUUGAACCAAGUGAUCUGAUUCCUUUUGUUUUUUAGUGUGUGUGUGUGUGUGUGUGUUCAGUUGGAGUUCGGACAGACUGAAUAAGUGACUUUUAAGGUGUACAAUCCAGAACCAGGUGAGAGUAGUUCAUUCAAAAUAUCUACUUUUUCUAAGCAUACGACUACCCUGCAUCUAGUCUAGGAAAAAUAUAAAUAGGAAAGUGAAAGAACAUUGUUGAUCGUUGACUUUAACAUCGAUCUCUAGCUGAUCUAUUAGGGCUAGAUCUGAUUUCCAUUGGGAUGGACCCAUCAUUAGAUAAUCAUUCCUCCAUAACGAACGUUGUUAAAUAUUCAAACCAGUCAGACUGAAAACGGAAUGUCGAUUCAUUACAACAUUUCAGUUGAUUUUAACUAAACAGCAUACACCCACAAUCAGCAGCAAAGCAAACGUGAUUUCCAGAUCCAUAGAUUUAAAAAGAAAAACAACAAAAACUUUGGAUAGAUUCGUAUACAUAGAGAAAAAAAAAAAGUUAAUAAAAACGUACCAGGCUCUGCUCUGUAGCUGCUGCUGCUUUGUUUUGACUUUUGAUCAAAUGAUUCAGUGUGAACUGCCAAAGACCAUAAUGAAGCGUUUAUAUAGUUACACAGUACACUUGUAUAAUAACUUCGUUUCAUUUACAUUAAAAAAAAAAUAGAUCUGUUUCCGUCUAUUUUUUUAACUUUUAUUUUAUAUCUUUAACAAUUAUGAUAUUUUUCAUUUGUAUCUAUUAAUUAAAUAAUAAUGUUUAAUCAAAUUUUUAAAAAAAAAUAAAUCUAUUUCUAUCUUUCUUUAAUUUUCAUUUUAUAUCUUUACCAAUUAUGAUAUUUUUCAUUGUAUCUAUUAAUAAAUAAUAACGUUUACUCAGACUUUAAAAUAAAUAAAUAAAUUAAUAAUAAUAAUAAUAAUAAUAAUAAUAAUAAUAGAUCCAUUUAUAUCUUUUUAUUAACAUAAAAAAAAUUAAACCGACAAAAAAGUAGGUGGAAAACAACAAAACAAUAUGAAAAUACUUUUGGUUUUUAAACAAACACAAUUAGCAAGUCACUGGAAAACACAAUGUAACACUCGGUUUCGUAUUUCCUUCAUUAUUCGGGGUUGCGUCCUAAUCAUUUGUUGUUAUGAGGCUUAGGGCCUUGGGGAAGAUAGAAUUUGGCUCUUUUCGGAUGUGGGUGUUCAAUGGUGCCUUCAGAGGACAAAGGUAUGAUUGUAAAUUGUUCACUCGGUCUUUUAUGGAUUUUGGGUUUUGAUCAGGAAGUUUUAAGGCUUGGGUGUAUUGUUAGAAGCAUAGGGCUUCUCGCCACCUUUAUGUGGAUAUAAGAUUUGUUGGAAACGGACCUAAGAUGAGGAAGUUACGACAUUUUGAAGAUAUUGGCAGUAUUGGGCCCUAAUGGAAAUAGUUGGCAAAUCGGUCCCAUACAUGCAAGGAUAGCAUGCGCGUGUCUAGCUGGGUAAACCCAACGUAAGUUGUGGUACGCCCAGUGUAACAAACAGAGUGCUAAACCCUAAAUUUUAGGGUUUGGGCAGUAUUUAAACAUUUUAUGAGCUUAGGGUUCAUUCAUUUCUCAGCCUACAUGGUCUUCUAGCCUCAUUUCAGAAACCCUAAUCCCAUUUUGAGGGUUUGAGUGAUCUAAGUGAACAUUUUGGUAUGUUGUUGCUCAUUUUCAAGAAAAGGGUGUUUGGUGCUAGCUUGUGGUUCAAAGGAAGGUUUUUAGAUCCAAACUUUUGGCUUCAUUUCCAACUCAUUCAAGGUACAAAGUUCUUAUAUUGACCUCUUCCUAUGCUAGUUUGAGUUUAGGGCAAGAUUAUGGCUUUUUAUGGUGUAUUAAGUUCUCCUUGUGAGUUCGAGACAUUCUAGGAGCUUGGAGUGAUAGAUCUUGCCUCUUAUGAUGUUUCUAGUUCAUAAAAAUGCUUGUUUGACGAUUAAAAAUGGUCCAUGCAUGUUCUAGUUGGAUUAGAAUGGGUCUUAAUGGAUUAAGUUGGUUGUUGGGUCCCAUUGGGUCAUGUAAAUGCAUAUGCCGACUUUAUGCAUUAAGAGCUUCAUUUUAAGGUUCCCUGAAGUGUCACACCCCCGAACCAGACGGCGGAAACAUCCGGGGGUUGUUGUGACUCAAUUGAAUACCAUCACAAUGAAUAUACAUGAAACAUAACAUCAUUCAUCACCAACAUUUGAAUAUUACAACUGAUAGUGUUUACAUUCAUUACAUUGUCUCAAAACAUUACAUUCUCGAAAGUAAUUGUUCGAUACUAGAUAAACAACAGCAAAACGUCAUAGAGUACAAUUCAUCCUUCACUUUAUCUGUUACCUGAGAAUACAAGUAUUUUGAAAAACGUCAACAUAUGAAAUGUUGGUGAGUUCAUAAGUAGUGUUUGAAAUCCAAUGUUUUGUAUUGUUUGAAACCACCAGAAAAUCCGAUAUUUUCUGAAAAUAGUAUAGUCAAAAGGUGUGAAGAUCCAUAGGUAUGCUUGUUUGUUUCUAUACUUGUAAAAAUUGUUCAUUAAAGUUGUAUGUAUUUCGAAUCUGUAUGUAUUGAAAAACCCUAGGAAAACCCGAUGUUUUCCUAAUUCUUUGAAUUCCAUAAAUUUACAUUGAAACCAUUGCAACGCGUGAAGUUAUCAAUACCAGGCGACGUUGGAUUAUUUUUGAGCAUGAUUAUUUGCUACAAACACGCGUUACACAAACGACUAGUCUAUAGCUAUACUAACGAUCCCGUAGGCGUCGUCCGUACUAAUCACGUUAUCCAACCGCCCUGACUACGUGUAGUCCCACAUCCGAAGAGAAAGAGGACACGAAGACCUCGAUGACUCCAUUAACCGGUUGGGGAUAAAAAAAUGUACGAGGGGUCCCAGACCCGCCUCGCAUGAAAUGUAGACUUUACUAGCAAUACCAAAGGACCCUUGGGGACCAGUAGUAUACAAGCCAUUGAAAGUCCUUUUACGUUGUGUUAGAUCGGUAAAACCCAACACUUCGUAAGAUAGAGGUCUUCGGGCCUUAAGAUCAGGUCAUUGGGCUAGCUAGGCCCAACAAACAAGAUUUUACACUUUUGGGGCCCAAAGAUGGUGCGUAGACGUCUGUGCACACUCGCAUGUAUAUUGAAUUCCCAAACGCUACUUGUAUGAAUCGUAGUGUCGUAGUGUCGUCGUGUUAGUAGUUUCGGAUUUUUAUUGGUUCGAGACCGAACCAAUUCGUUUAACAACGACUUUUGGUAUUGUAAUGUAUUGUAUUUCGUCGAUAGUCGCGGUGCCAUCAUUUGAUCAAAUUGCAUGUAUUGAAUUAGCCUUGAAAGUUUUCUGUUUUCAGCCCCUCAUUGUUUGUAAAAUUUACUUUUUCAACCCUUUAUUUAAAUACUUUCCGGUUUGGUCCUUAAAUCAAUUUUCUUGACAUUUUAACACCAAAAAUUAUUGAAAUUAAUAUUUUUCAGCAUAUUUUUCAUAGAAAACAGUUUAAGUCCCUGAAAUUUCAGUUUUCUCGGUUAUAACCCUUCUUUUUCGCAAUUUUGACAAUUUUGGCCCAAAUUGUAAAAUUUUUUGCAACUUUGAAUGAGAGAUAUUUGAAUGAGAGUGAAGCAUGAUAUUCCUUUAGAGUAGAAGUUAUUACACUAGGUGAAUGAUUGCAUGAGAGUAGAAUUUCUUCGCAAAAAUGCUAGUUGUGACAUGAAGUUUGGGUGCAAAGGCUUAAGUGGUUAAGUCAGAAAUCGGAUUUUUGGAUUAAGCCAGUUUACGCCUCGUGUAGCUGGCCGUACGCCCAACGUACUGAUUUUAGGUCGCAACGUGGACUCCUCGAGUAUGCACAGCGUAGCUGAGCGUACGCCCCCGUUUGGCGUGGAGUAUGCUUGGUAUGUUUUUGGGCUUCACACCUUUGGGCCACCUUAUUGGACUUGUUGAUGGGUUUUAGCCAAAAGACAUCCUAUGUGCUCAUGCAAACCCUAAAGCUUGGAUCUAGGUUUCUCUAUUGUACAUGCUUUUCAUCCAAGACUUAAAACCCUAAUUCUAGCAUACAAGUAAUCAUAUUAACAUAAUAAUGAGUUUAAGAUAUUACCUUGAUUGUUAUGUAGCAAUAACAAUCUCAAAUCCUCCUUGUAUUGACUUUAGAAAGCUUAGAGUCACAAAUGUCACUCCUCUAAUGGCUCACAAACACCAAGAGCAAGAGGAUGAAGAGGAGAAGAGAAGGAGGCUGCCCAAAAUGUGUGGAAACCCUAACUAAUUAGUUCACCACGUUUUUGAGGCUUAAAGGUACUAUUUAUACAUGUAGGCUAUUAGGGUUUUAAACUAGGAAACCCUAAUUUGGAUGCUUAGGCCCUAAGCAACCCAUGGACUCCUUUCUUAAAGGCCUUGGACGAUUUCUAAUGGGUUUCCCCAUAGAAUUCGUCCAACCUUAUAUUAUAAGGUAAUCCAUAGCCCAAUUGCAAUUAUCUUAUAAUUACAAUUCUAGUCCCUUAAGUUUAAUUAAUCUCUUUUAGCUACAAACUUAAUUCUUAUUAAUUCUUGACUAAUAUUAAUUAAACAAUAUGAUUUCUCCUUUAAUAUAUUAUUCUCAUAAUAUAUUAAUAAAUCAUAUUUAAUCCUUUCUCUCCAUAAUUCAUCCUAUCAAGUUGCUUUGGUGAAGGCAACCCAAAAGGACCAUGCACCAUCGGGUCAAGUACAUACCAAAAUAGUUAUGGACUUAGACACUAAUCCAACAGUCUCCCACUUGGAUAAGUCUAAUAACUAUUAUGCGUAUGACUUCAGAUCCUGAUCUGCAAUCGUAGCUUUCCAAAGCCGCUGUCAACUCUGAUCCUAUCAGAUACGCGUGGCCUUUAGAUAAGGGAUCAUAUAUUCCUCCAUUCUAGAUAUCAUAUGAGAUAUGAUUUCAAAUCAUUCUCUUUGUACUAUAUCUCGAUUCCCGAUUUAUGACGACUGACUAAUUGAACAAAUCAAAUUAGCCCUAGCCCGGCCGAGCAUUUACGUUUGCCAUCACUAAAUCAUUGAGGGGCCCAAAGAUAUCGCUUUUAUCCUACUUUGGAUAAAAGGAACGGAUAAACUUUGAUUCAAUGCUUGCUUGCACUCACUCACCGAAUCACACACAACAAUAUGUUUUAUAACACCAAGUUACUGGUGCGUUUACAUAUUAUCAAUGUGUAACCGACUCGCAAGAUACAACUCACACAUCUCGGUUUCAAGAAUAUAAGAUAUUAUCGUCUCACCAAUCACUCGUGAUAAAAUCCAUGAAGUGAUCCAAGUGAGCGUGGGUUUAAUCCAAUGCUCAAAUCAUAUUCAUAAGCACUCAUGAACGUUGCAGCAAACAUUUGCUUAUGUCUAAUACACUUUAGACAAUCCACACACCAAUUCACGACAGUCUUCAUUCAUACCUACUUCCAACAUAUGAACGACUGUGGUCCGUUCGAAUAAUUUGAUUGUUCUGAACCAAUUUAAUUAUUCAGGAAGUCAAAACAUGCAAAGUGAAACACAAGAAUAAUACUAAUCCCAUAUGGCCCCAAACUCUGGGUAUAAAUAAAACAUUUUAUUUAAUCACCAUAUUGAUUACUCAUUAUUUGUUGUUUCGGGUAAUCAACUUCUUACUUGAAUUAUUACUACACUUGUCCCAUGCUCUUAGCAUGCACACAAUGUUUACCUAUGGUCCUUACUUUGUGAAAUAGAUCAAAUGAACACAUUUCCAAUCAUACUCAUUUCACAACUCCCAAUCCUUAUCACAAGUGUAAGAAUAUCAAAUUCUUGCCACUUAUAGAAUAUGCUAGAUUCUAACAUUUUAUGCAAUGAUUCUUUCGUAAAGUCAUAGCUCAAAAUCAUCAAGACUUGGCCAAUCUCUAUCAGAAACAAUUCUAUAGAUAUGAUGUCUCUCACUCAAAGUACAUUCCUUUGAACAUCCUUCUUGCAUAAAAGUUUCUAAUCUAGACAUAGAUUCUCAAUAUCCAACUCCCAAUAUGGAAACAUUUCCAUAUUUGCCAUAUGACAACUCAUUCUUAAUAGAAUCUUAUCUAUUCAUAAUAAUGUCGAUAUGGUCCAUCCAAUACUAUACUUCCAACUACUCACAAGCGACCAAUCCUCGGCGAACUUUGGAUUGUCCUUUGAUAGUUGUUUAAUUAUCUUAGUCAAAACCGAUUCUUGUCCUUUUUCCCUCUAAAUGCGCUAGACAUUUGGAAAAUUUUAGAAUGGUCAAAUAUUAUAGCAUUUGCAAUCAAUCCUAUACCCGAAGCGUAUGGGACACGAUGCAUAAUGUCUUACAUAAAGAUAUGAUACUUUAUCAAUCUUCUGCCAUAAUAUUUUAUGUGUCACGUUCUCACAAUUCGAACUAUGAAGAGGGAUGCCGUAAUCAUAAUCGAAAUUUAAGAACGCACUAUGUAUCCUUUGACUAAAUUUAUUAAAAUUUCUCAAUCUAAGCUUUAGAUUUUGAAACGAAGUACAAUAUUCUCUCCCUUAAUUAUAGCAAAACAACUAUUCAACCCUUACGACUUUGUAAAGUAUAACUCUUGUUUUCUAUAAUUAAUAUUGCUAACUUGCAAUACUUGCCUUAAUAAUCAUACCAGCACAACUUUUAUGCUCCCACUAUCACGAUGAUUAUUAUCAUAUAAGCAUAACACUUAUGCUCCCACUAGCUUUGACAUGUAUUUAGAAAACAGCUUAACUUACACAAAAAAAUACCUAUUGAAUUUCUUAAGUUCAUAUUUCUAAUACUUAAUGCUUUGAUAAUCUUUUAUCAAGGCUUCUUAAUCUCAUACACCUUUAUCCAAGAUAGCUCAUAUGUGUCUUAAACAAUUAAGACUAAUUGCCAAAUUUCACAAUUCGAAUCAUGGAGAGGGAUACCGUAACCAUAAUCAAAUUUGAGAAUGCAAUUUUACAAUUCCUAUCUUCUUAAAAUCUCUCUUAGUGAAAGCAUUUUCUCACAGUCAUUUUCAUGAAGGAGAAAAUCUUAUGACACUUAGAUUUUAAUGGUGUAUGUGUUCCUAUCCAUGUGAAUUUGUCAAAGUUCACGACAAAUUCAAACUCAUAUGGACCAAACUUUCUUAAUCUUGAUUUCUUACCUUAUGGUAACACAUAUGCCCACCAUGUCUUCCAAGUAGUUAAGCAACUCACCCUUUCCCAUCAAUGUACUUUUCAUUGAUUAAGGUCCUUGCCUUUUACGCAUUCAAAUGAGAACUCAUAGGGCUCAUAUGCAUAAUUAACUCAUUUGGAAUGGCACGGAAACAAGAUAAUGUCAACACGAUAGGUUGUAAACCUCAAGUCGUGUGCUAGUGAUGUUCAAUAAGGUUUAUUCUUGGUAAGUUCUUGAACCUUUUCAAAACCAUUAAGACUCCCACUGACUCCUUGACAUAUAAGAUUCUCUUAUCAAUAAAACAUUUCUUGACAAACAAAUAUUCAAGAGUUAGUGUAGCUUUUAUCAAAACACUUCAUAAAAUUUGGUCCUAGUUGGUCUUCGUCUUAUCAAGACACCACAACUUUCCAUAUUUGAUGAAUGUUAUAAAUCUUCUUAAAACUUGUCACUUAAUGUCACAAUCUUAACUUUAAGACUUGUUUUGGAACGAAGUAUGAUUGACUUCUUGAAUUAACCAUUUCUUCAAUUCUUGAUUUCUCUUCUUAGACAUACAAUUGCACUAAGACUCACUUAGAGGAUCAAUUGAGAUAUGGUUCUUAAUCAUUCAGACCUAUCAUAAAACAUAAUAAAAGGUACUCUCCCUUCUUCUUAGAAUGGAGAAACUUUUAUCUUUCUGCCUACUUGAUUCUUCUUAUUCGUUCUGCUAUUGAUUUAAACUCUUUUAAAUCAACUAAGAAUUACACUUAAUCUUAUAAGUAUAAUCAUAUUUACUUAACCUUAGUAAAUCAUGACGAAUAUCUUUGUUACUUUUGUGGUGGACUUGAUCAACACACAACCUUGUAUACUUGAUCUCUUAGUCCUUUACUUGACACUUUGUCAACGAAUUAGUCCAAUUUUCUCAAAUGUGAAAAUUUUUCAUUCAUCAUACAAUACUUGUUGCAUGAUUCCAAGUUUCUGUCCAAUUGAAACUUGGAUGAUGAGAAACUCUCCCUAUUUGGUAAAUUCUUGAUAUUUCCACAAUUAACCUAAUUAAGAAUCACAUCCAUUCUUUGUAGAAAUAUGCAAACAUCAAUUUUUUUUAUAACGAUUUCAUUGCAAGGAAAUAAAUAAAUGAGUCAAACAAAAAUUUAUUUUAUUCAUAAAGGCAGCGGAAAACAUUUGUCCUUACAAUGCAAAAUCAACUGAAAAACUAUGUAAUUAAAUAUUCCUAACAACUUUAUCAUAACUUUCUAAGCUCAAAAUCUAAUCUUCGAAUCCAUGCGAUCGAGAUCCAUUUCUUCGUGAUUAGGCUCAUCUUGCUCUUUUAUCAAGAUUCCUCUCUUUUCAUUGAUCCUGCAAAACAUUCAAGUGCAAUCUUAUCACAUUAUGUAUUAAGAAUCAAUGAAUAGGAACUUAAUGGAGUUAGAUAGUGGAUUUUACCUGAAGUACAGCCAUACUCUUUGACUCUCCCAUCUUCUGGACUCUUCAGGGUCUUAGGGCAGACUUGUAUCCAACGCCCUUUCUCUUAGCAGCAAACGCAGGUCGGUUCUCCUAGAACGUCCUGGGAAGCAUGGUUGGUUGACUUUCCCAACAAAUAUGCUCGAUUGCUUUGCCAAACCAUUUAUGAUUCAGCAGCAAUGAGCAUGUAAGUUAGGUCAAUGAGGUUUACGUCAUGAUCCAUCGUAUAAUACUUUCUUUUGAACUCAUUAUAUGAUUCAAGGAGUGACUGUAGAACCCAGCCUAUAGCCAACUCAUCAGGGAAUGACGCACCCAACAUAAUCAACCUAUCAAUGUGUGACUUCAUUCCUAGAACGUGGACACACACGGGUUUACCAUCUUCAUGUUUCAUUUCCAAUAGGACUUUAGUGACAUUGAACCUUUCAAUUCUUCGAUCUUGUGGGUUAGGGAGAACAACGGGAGGAGGAGGAGGAAGUGAAGCAUGAUUUCUUGUUCCUCGAUCGAAUCGUGGAAUAUCAUCUUCAUGUGGAAUGCUUGUUCCACGGGAUUUGGGAAGACCAUAGUUGUCGUACUUUGACAUCUACAAAACGGGAGAAAACAAAUUCAAGUUAGUUGAUUGAUUGAGUCCUUAAUAAAUCACCCAAAUGAGAUAUUAAGGCUAGGACCCAACACAAUACGCUACAACCUAGAAAAGGGAUGCCGUAAUCUAGUUGCAGAAUAUUUGAAGGUAAGUNNNNNNNNNNNNNNNNNNNNNNNNNNNNNNNNNNNNNNNNNNNNNNNNNNNNNNNNNNNNNNNNNNNNNNNNNNNNNNNNNNNNNNNAAAUCACCCAAAUGAGAUACUAAGGCUAGGACCCAACACAAUAUUCUACAACUCGGGAGAGGGAUGCCGUAACCCUAAUUGCAGAACAUUUGAAGGUAAGUGAAUGACGAUUCACUAAUUUCCCACCAUGAAAAACGAAAAAAAGAAGAUUAAGUUUUAAAUGUAUUGAAAAACACCUAGAUCCUAUGAGAUUCAUUGAACAUUUCAAUGGCAUGUUUGAAUCUCGAUAUGCCCCUCUAGUUGUGACUGGGAUGCCGAGGAUCACAAAGCAGGUGUGAAUAACCAUGCAAACUUACAUGGUGCCCUCACAUGUUACGUUCACCUAUUCGAUGUGCCGGUAAACCACACACGCUCCACCGAACUAUGACAAACAUUGAGUCACCCUUUGUUACCUUUGCUUAGAAGCAUUUAGAGUGCCGGUUAACCACACGCGCUCCACUAACGUCUUCGCAAGGGCACAAAGUGUAAUUUCAUGGAAUUGCAUCAAUUCACUUUUGCCUAAAGUAACUAAGAUUGGGAAUUUGUAAAAGCAUUUAGUUACUUUUGUAUUUCAUUAUACUUAUAAUGGAAGGUUUCGUCCUAUCCUACCCGUUCGGCUAACGACCCUCCACUAGUCAAGAGUGCGGUGGGUAAGAGUGGAUACUCAUUCAAUCGCCAUUUUAUAGGCAAUUUCCUUAAACACCCCUUAUAGACCAGCUUCGUGAAUGAGGCCUACUAACGGUAAGACUGACUUUUACUCAUACAUAUAUAUAGUCUUAGACUUUUAAUGUUAUAUAUAGUAUAGGGUGUAUUUCACACUUUUAAAAUACUAGGUGUUCUAAUAUAAUAAUUAUACUUUUAAUUUAAUUAAAUUGUUCACCAAAACUAUAUGGAUUUAUUAAAUCUCUUUUAAUUAUACACCUUAAUUAAUUAAUAAAACCAUAAGGGUGUGAUUUGAACUUUUCAAAACUAUACUAGGGUUUUAGAAUUUAACAUUUCUAAAUUAAACUUUUAAUCAACUUUUAAAUUCCAAAACUUGAGGGCAAGUUUUGAAACAUUUCAAAACAUUAGGGUUUAGAGUUUAAAUAUUUCAAAAUCAAACUUUUUAAUCAAAAUUUAAAUUCCAAAACUUGAGGGCAAGUUUUGAAACUAUUCAAAACAUUAGGGUUUUAACUAUUUAAAUUUCAAAACAAAACUAUUAAGUUCAAAUUUAAACUAUAAAACCUAAAAGGGAAAAAUUGAAACUUUUCAUAACACAAGGAUCAAAUAACAAAUAAUAUAAAUUAAACAAUUAAUUUCAUCAUUUAUCUAUAUUUGACCUAAUUUCAAUUUCUUGCAAAAUAAGUUACCCAAUUAAUACAAAUAAUCAAACUUUAUCAUAUAAGGAAGUAAUUAUCUAAUUAAUUGGUAAAUAUCUUUUGUUUAAUCAAGGAUGUAUCCAAAAUAUGAUUAAAAUUCGAAUUUUAAUGAUCCAUAACAGUGAAGGCAAGUAUCCAAGACCAAAAUAGCAAGAAAUCCCGAACACGCCUCAUUUUGACGCUCGAACUCGCCGAGUAGCACACUGUACUCGCCGAGUUGAGUCCUACUCGCCAAGUACACUAUGGUACUCACCGAGUUCAUCAGGCAGGGAGGCCAAAAAUCGAUUUUACAACUUGAAUAAGCAUACAAGGCAUCAAUACAAUAGAAACCAAUCAAGGCUCUGAUACCACUGAUGGGUUUUAGCCAAAAGACAUCCUAUGUGCUCAUGCAAACCCUAAAGCUUGGAUCUAGGUUUCUCUAUUGUACAUGCUUUUCAUCCAAGACUUAAAACCCUAAUUCUAGCAUACAAGUAAUCAUAUUAACAUAAUAAUGAGUUUAAUAUAUUACCUUAAUUGUUAUGUAGCAAUAACAAUCUCAAAUCCUCCUUGUAUUGACUUUAGAAAGCUUAGAGUCACAAAUGUCACUCCUCUAAUGGCUCACAAACACCAAGAGCAAGAGGAUGAAGAGGAGAAGAGAAGGAGGCUGCCCAAAACGUGUGGAAACCCUAACUAAUUAGUUCACCACGUUUUUGAGGCUUAAGGGUACUAUUUAUACAUGUAGGCUAUUAGGGUUUUAAACUAGGAAACCCUAAUUUGGAUGCUUAGGCCCUAAGCAACCCAUGGACUCCUUUCUUAAAGGCCUUGGACGAUUUCUAAUGGGUUUCCCCAUAGAAUUCGUCCAACCUUAUAUUAUAAGGUAAUCCAUAGCCCAAUUGCAAUUAUCUUAUAAUUACAAUUCUAGUCCCUUAAGUUUAAUUAAUCUCUUUUAGCUACAAACUUAAUUCUUAUUAAUUCUUGACUAAUAUUAAUUAAACAAUAUGAUUUCUCCUUUAAUAUAUUAUUCUCAUAAUAUAUUAAUAAAUCAUAAUUAAUCCUUUCUCUCCAUAAUUCAUCCUAUCAGGUUGCUUUGGUGAUGACAACCCAAAAGGACCAUGCACCAUCGAGUCAAGUACAUACCAAAAUAGUUAUGGACUUAGAAACUAAUCCAACACUUGUUGCUUGGGCCUUUUGGGCCAUCCAAGACCAGCUAUUGGACUAACGGAAGAUUUGGGCUUUAGGAUAAGGCUCAUAUGGGGGUUGGGCCCAAUUUGGAAAAUUGGGCCAUUAGUGGGACUUUAUAUAUCUUGUAGUUUUGGCUUGUUUGGUUUUUGGCUUGGGUCUUAGUUUUGAUUCUUGAUGGACCAGGGGUAAAAUAGUCAUUUUACCCCAUGUAUGGAUUAUGGAUCAUAUUUUGGAACCCAAUUGCCAAUUGGGAGUUAUUUUGGUAUUGAUAGUUCGGAGGAGUCGUCAGGGCAGCAGCUCGGGAUUUCUUUUAGUGAUCUUCUGUAUUCGAGGUAAGUCUCCUCACUUUUAUAUGGGUCGAAGGCACCAAUGCAGGCCCAUUUGGUUUAUGUUUUGUAGGAAUACCUAGGGGUAACCCCCUGACAGUCUGUAUGAAAGGCCAAGAGGCGGCUCCUGGCAAACUGUAUGCAAGACCAGAGUCUGAACUUUGGCAUUUAAAUAGUUAAGUAGUGCAUAUUGUAUGCUAGUUGGCUUUAUGAAGCUUGCAUGGAAGACCUGGAGGUGGCUCCUGACACUUUUCCGUAAGACCCGGGGUUUCGGCCCCCGGCCUGGCAAGGAAGACCACGAGGCAGCUCGUGGCAUAAUGGCAAGACUAUGGUUGACACAUAGCACUUUAUUGAUUGAUUGGUUACGUAUGAUUUGUAUGGAUCAUUUGAUAUGUUUGGUAUGUGGUAUUUGGAAAACUCACUAAGCUUUGUGCUUAUAGUUUAUGGUUUAUGGUUUCAGGUACUUCCGGUUCGAAAGGGAAUGGUCUGACUUGAUCGCAUCUCAUACACCCGUGUUUUCCACAAUAUGUGAUUUUAGGAAUGAACUCUGAUAAUUAUUUUAAUUUGUAAUGCUUUUAAUUUUCAGAUGAAGUUACAUUAGUGUUUUGAUUAUAACUAAAAUGAAAAAAAUUACCCUAUGAAUUCAGGACGUUACUGAUGGGUUUUGAGCAUUCUAACACUUCCUAAGUGUACAUGCAACCCUAAUAAACUUUGGAUAUAUGUUUGUCUAAGAUACAUGCAAAUAAUUAUUUUUCCAAGGUUCAUAUCCUAACUAGCAUGGAAUGGGGAACAUGAAUCAAAUAAAGCUAGUAGAAAUACUUACCUUGUAGUAGUAGUUGAUUGCUUGGAGUUUUAGAGCCUAGCACCAAUAGUGUGGAUGCCUCAAAUGGAAAUCACAAAUCACCACAAACUUGGAACUUUGAGAGAAUAGUCACUACUAUCUUGAAAUCGGCCCUCUUGCUUUACUCACUUCAACUAGUGUCAACUAGUGUGAAUUCAAGAACCAAAUCCUCCUUUAUAUAGUGUGGUGGAUUAGGGUUACAUCCAUGUAAACCCUAAUACCCAUGUCUCUUCAUUUCCAUGAGAUCCAUGGGUUAAAGCUCCAUGGAGUAUCCAUGGACUUUCCAUGCAAGCCUAGCCCAUUCCAAAUAAGCAUUAGCCCACACUAUAUAAAUAUAGAAGCCCAUAUUUAAUUAGUAAUAUCCUUGAUCUCUAAAUUAAUCCUAGAUUAAUUAUAGAUCAAUACUAAAUAAAUAAUAUGAUCUUAUAUUAAUAUAUUAGAACUUAUAAUAUAUUAAUAAAUCAUAACUUGUACUAUUCUCAAAAGAUUAUCCAUAAAUUGUUCGGGUGAAGUGCAACCCAAAUGGACCAUGCCGGGUCGGGUCAAGUACAUACCAAAUAUAGUUAUAGACUUAGACACUAUAUCCAACAGUUACAAGUUGGUAUUAGAGCCUUGGUUUGAGGGAUUCAAGUAUACUCUCGGGUGUGCCUGAACUUAAACUGAGGGUUUGGUGAAAUUUUUUUAUAAAAUGAACAUUUAAUUAAAAAGUAAUUUCUAAUCAAACAAAGGGGUGCGAUGCGUGCAAUCGGCUGAGCUCAAGUAAGUGGUUCCCAAAAUACCAAUACAUGUAUAUUAUGUUAUAUGAUAUGAUUAUAUGAAUUGCAUUCUAAAUUAGGGCUAAGGAUCUGCACAAUAUUAUAUCAUAGGAGAGAUGCCUUUAUAUGCCUGAUUGUAUGAGCUUUAGAAUUACAUGCUAGUAUGGGUACCAGAUAAGUGGAUCGAAUGGCUUGAAUAGUGUGUGUUGGUUAGAUUUUUCAUUGCCUAAAUGCUGCUUGAUUUGUGCUUUCUGGGAUUAUUAGUGAUGUGAAUUGGCUGCUAAGUGGGUAGGCUAAGUCACAUGAGACACAAGUUGAUUAAUCUUAGAGUGAUGGAUUUGAACCUAUUGCGUAGCUCUUGUUUGAGUCUAACCGUUCUUGGGUUAAGUCUUUUACUCGAAGGAUUAUCUGAUCUCUGUUACAUGUAGCUAUAUUCAUGAGGAAGUCGGUUGACAUUGGUGGGAGUCUUUCAGCAACUGAGGGUUGGUUGAGGUCGGGAGUUCAUCUCAUCAGAGAUUUCUCGUUGGUCUUGGAUAAGCACUUAGGUGCGUUCCGUGCUGAGAUUAUGGCUAUCAUCAGAUCUCACACUCUUUCUUUCCGUGAGUUUCGUGCAUGCGGAGCUCCUGCGUUACAUGGGGAGAGGGACCUCAUUGCUAGUUAGAGGUGGUUAGCAGAUUGAUGGGUUUUAGCUAUAAGAACAUCCUAUGUGCUCAUACAAAACUUAAUGCUUGGAUCUAGGUUUCUCUAUUGUACAUGCAAUUCAUCCAAGACUUUAAACCCUAGAUCUAGCAUAUGAUAAUCGAUAUUAACAUAACAAUGGGUUUAAGAUAUUACCUUGAUUGUUAUGUAGCAAUAACAAUUUCAAAUCCUCCUUGUAAUGAAUUUAGAAAGCUUAGAGUCACAAAUGUCACUCAUCUAAUGGUUCACAAACACCAAGAGCAAGAGGAUGAAGAAUGAGAAGAGAAGAGACACCCAAAAACGUGUAGAAACCCUAAGGAUUCAGUUGCCCACGUUUUUGGUGCCCAAGGGGUCCUUAAAUAGUGAGGGUAUCAGGGUUAUCUAACAAGGAAAACCUAAUUUGGAUGCUUAGGCCCUAAGCAACCCAUGGACUCCCUCCUUAGAGGCCUUGGACGAUUUCUAAUGGGUUUCCCCCAUAGAAUUUGUCCACUCCAUCCUCUAUGGAGUCCAUUAGCCUAAUACUCAACUAUCACAUAAUUGACAGUUCUAGUCCCCUUCAUUUAAUUAAUGUCUUUUAGCCAGAAAAUUAAUUAUUAUUAAUUCUUGACUAAUAUUAAUUAAACAAUAUAAUUUCUCCUUUAAUAUAUUAUUCUAAUAAUAUAUUAAUAAAUCAUAAUUAAUCCUUUCUCUCCAUAAUUCAUCCUAUCAAGUUGCUUUGGUGAAGGCAACCCAAAAGGACCAUGCACCAUCGGGUCAAGUACAUACCAAAAUAGUUAUGGACUUAGACACUAAUCCAACAGUCUCCCACUUGGAUAAGUCUAAAAACUAUUCUGCGUGUGACUUCAGAUCCUGAUCUGCAAUCGUAGCUUUCUAAAGCCGCUGUCAACUUUGAUCUUAUCAGAUACGCGUGUCCUUUAGAUAAGGGAUCAUAUAUUCCUCCAUUCUAGAUAUCAUAUAGACUAAGACAUGGAUUUAACUCAUUCUCUCUGUCUAUGUGUUGUUUCCCGAUUUUUGAUUUAUGACGACUGACAACAGACUACAAUUGAACACAUCAAUCUAGUCCCGACUUGGCCAAGCGCUUAGGUGCCAUCACUAAAUCAUCGAGGGGCCCACAGAUAUUAAUUUCAUCCUACUUUGGAUAAAAGGACCGGAUAAACUUUAAUUUAAUGUUCGCCUGCACUCACUCACCCAAUCACACACAAUAAUAAGUUUUAUGACACCAAGUUACUAGUGCGUUUACAUAUUAUCAAUGUGCAACUGAUUUGCAAGAUACAACUCACACAUCUCAUUUUCAAGAAUAUAAGAUGUUAUCGUCUCACUAAUCACUCAUGAUAAAAAUGUUGGAUUAGUGUCUAAGGCUGUAACUAUAUUUGGUAAGUACUUCACCCGAUUAUGCAUGGUCCUUUUGGGUUGCCUUCACCAUAGCAACUUGACAGGGUGAUUUAUAUAGAGAGAAGAGAUAUUAUUAUUAAUGUAUUAUAAGAAUAAUAUGUUAAAGGAAUAAUAAUAUUAAUUUGAUUAAUAUACAUCAUAAAUUAAUUAGGAAUUAAUUUGGUGACUUAAAGAGAUUAAUUAAAGGAAGGGGUAUAAACCGUCAAAUGUGUGAUAGUUGUAUUUUGAGCUAAGAAACCUUAUGGAUAUGGGUUGGACGAUUUUAGGGAUGUGGAUCACCUAGAAAUCAUCCAAGGCUUAUCUAGGAGGGAUAUUGGAUUGCUUUAAGGCUAAGUUAUGCAAUUAGGGUUUUAGGGUGAAACCCUAGGAGCUCACAGUAUAAAUAGACCCUAGGAGUUGUUGAAAUCGACACCUUUGUUAUUGGAGUAAUCCUAGGGCCGAUUUCUCUCUUGCUUACCUCUCUCAAAUCAUCUUCUUGCUAGUUGGUGUUUGUAAGCCAUUAGAGGAGUGACAAUUGUGACUCUAAGCUCCAAGGAGAAGAAGGUUUCAAGCAAGUAAUUCAAGGUAUGAUUCUAGAUCUAUUUUCAUAUGUUUUGAUUGUUAGUUUACAUUAGAUCUAUCCAUGAAAGUCUUGGAUAUAUUGCAUGUUCAUUUAGAGAAACCAAGAUCCAAGCAAUUAAGGUUUGCAUGUGCACAUAGGAAAGUUCUUAUGGCUCAAACCCAUCAGUGGUAUUAGAGCUUUGAUUGAUUUUUAUUGAAUUGAUGCAUUGGUUAAUUGCUUGUUGCUUGAAGAAUUCGAUUUUUAGUCAUCUGCCUGAUGAACUCGGCGAGUUCCACUGUGAACUCGGCGAGUAGCUUCAACUCGGCGAGUCCAAAGCUUGACUCUGCGAGUUCCAGCGUCAGACAAAGGGAAAUUCGGAAUUUUGUUGCUGUUUUUGUCUUGGAUUGAUACCUAAAUCGUUUUAUUAAGUAUAAAUCCGAAUUUUAACCUAAUUUAAUGAUUAUCCUUGACAUAAUAAUAGAUAAUUUCAUAUCUUAUGAAUAUCAAUUAUUUAUAUGAUAAAUAUGGACUAUUUAAGAUUAUUUGGUAAUUAUCUAAUAACUAAAAUUGGAUUAGGUCAAAUAUAGAAAAUUAUGAAAUUAAUUGUUUAAUUUGAAUUAUUUGUUAUUUGAUCCAUAUUGUUUUGAAAAGUUCAAUAUUUAUCCCGAUAGUUUUUGAAAUUUGAAUUUGGUAAUUAACAGUUUAAUUUAGAAGAAUUUAAAUUUCAACCCCUAGAAUUUUACAAGUUUAAAAUUCAACCCUAUACUAUUAUAUUAUUAAAAGCUUAGUAAAUAUAUAAGUAGAAUUAAAAUGCUAGUCUUACCGUUAGUAGGCCUCAUUCACGAAGCCGGUCUAUAAGGUGGGUAUAAGGUUGUUGCCUAAAAAAUGGCGCUUAAUGGGUGUACACUCACACCCACCGCUUGCUUGACUGGUGGAGGGUCGUUAGCCGAACGGGUAGGGUAGGGCAACUCUCUCUCCUCAUUAAUAAGUAUAAUGAAUCUAUAAAGUAACUAAACUAUUUUAUAAAAUUCCCAAUCUUAGCUACUUUAGGAUAAGUGAAUUGAUGCAAUCCCAUGAAAUUGCACUUUACACCCUUGCUAAGAAGUUAGUGGAGCGUGUGCGGUUUACCGGCACACUAAUUGGUUCUAAGCAAAGGUGACAAAGGGUGAUUCAUUGUUUAUCAUAGUUCGAUGGAGCGUGUGUGGUUUACCGGCACAUCGAAUAGGUGAUUGUAACAAUGAAGGCACCAUGUAGAUUUGUAUGGUUAUUCACACCAGCUUUGUGAUCCUCGGCAUCCCAGUCACAAACUAGAGGAGCAUAUCGAGAUUUAAACAUGCCAUUGAAAAGUUCAAUGAAUCUUAAAAUCUAGGAAUUCUCAAUAAAACUUAAGGUUAUGUUUUCAAGGUGAAGAAUUAGUGAAUCGUCAUUCACUUACCUCUAAAUUAUUUGUGUGUUGGAUUACAGCAUCCCUUUUUCUAAUAUGUAAAUAAUGUUGUUGGAUCCUAGCCCUAAUUUUUCAUUUUGGGUGUUUAAUUAGGGAUCCAAUUCUAAUCAAACUUUGUCCUUUCUAAUUGUAGAUGUCGAACGCAAACAACGCUGCUGCUAACUCAUUCACGUUAAUGAGUCUUUGCCAAAAGGUGACCUUCGAUGGUACGAACUUUAGCGAAUGGAUAAGAUACAUUCACACCAUUGCACGCUACGAGGACAAAGAGUAUGUCCUCGACGAAAAGCUCGAGAAGGUCAACCCGGAAAUCGCUACUCCCGAAGAGAUGGCUGUCUUUGAGACACACGAACGUAAUGCAACGAAGGUCCAUUGCAUUAUGAUAGGCACUAUGAACCAAGAAUUCCAAAAGUCCUAUGAGGACAUGUAUCCCUAUGAAAUGCAUCAAGACUUGAUGGAGAGGUACCACCAAAGCGCAAGGCAAGAGAGCUACGAGAUCAUCACCAACAUCAUCACUGCCAAGAUGGGAAGUGGAGAAUCGUUAACCGUGAACUUGCAAAAGAUGCAAAGAUAUGUUGAUCGUCUUCGCAAGUUAAAUGUUAACUUUGGGGACGAUUUGGCCAUCGACAUUGUUCUUCACUCCUUGCCUUCAUGCUACAACCAAUUUAGGAUGACCUACCAUAUGAACAAGGAAGAGGUCACCCUAAGCAAACUCCAAGGACUCCUAAGGACUGCUGAGAGCAACCUUGAGGACAAGUCUGUUGCACCAACUCCCGCACCAACCGUUGUUCCUGUUUUGGCUGUAGGACAAUGAAGGGGCAAGAAGAGGAAGGCUCCGUCAAAGAGCCACCGCAAGGGAAAGUCCCAAGAUGGUUCCUCUUCUAGUGGGACCAAGGUUGAUCCUGCUAAGCCAAACCCUAACUCGAAGGAGGCAGAGUGCCAUCAUUGCCACAAAAUAGGGCAUUGGUGUAACAACCGAAAAAUUCCAACCUAUUUAAACUUUUCAAAAACAAUCUGAUUUCAUUAAAUUAUUACAAAAGGGUUUUCAAUACAGUUUAUUUAGAGUAUUCCUAGAAUCACAUCACAUAUAAACAUGAGGAGCGGUACGAUCACGCCUUCGCCUUGCCACGGUCUCCUGAAGAACCUGAAAAACAUUAAACCACAACUGUAAGCCCGAAAGCUUAGUGAGAUAUCCCCAAAAUACCAACCACAUAUACCAUACACGCAUAACAUGCCAUAACAUAUCUGAUCACAGAACAGCCAUACACUUCGGGUCUACUGUGUGACUGGUCUGCCACACCGGCCAACAGUCCACUUGGUCCACCCUCUGAGUCUAGCCGUAUACAUCGAAUCUGUAGUGUGAUUGGUCCGCCCGCACCGGGCCUUCAAUCCACCUGGUCCACUCUCUGAGUCUACAGUAUGACUGGUCCGCCCGCACCGGGCCUUCAGUCGGCCUGGUCCACUCUUCGAGCCUCGGCACGUCUGGUCCGCCCUCUUGGGGCCUACAGCCUAUCCGGACCGCUCGCUGGGCCUUCGGGACAACCAGUCCGCCCUGGGUAUCUUGGCCUACAGCACAAAGCAGGACCCACCUCAACCCAACUCCAGUCCAAACAACCAUGUGCACAUAAACAUACAAUCAUAUAACAAUUUCACAGUGAACAAACCGAUCAAACAGAUCACAUGGCAUAUCAUCAUCCUAACCAGGAUACCGACCUAACCGGUCACUAGCAUAACAUCACCCUACAUAACAGAAUACCGACCUCAACCAGGUCUCUAACACAUACCAUCCUAACUACCAGGAUGCAAACAUAUCAAAGCAAUAACAUAACAAUAAUACUCGGAUCUCAAUCCGAUAAAGGGCCGGCCUUGGUGCCUUAGACCCUGUUGAUAUAGUGAGGAUAACUCACCUUGCAACUGUCGACUGAAUAGAUAAACCUGAGCUGCUCCGACCACUGAUAAGAUCUCCACCACUCGCCAACCACCGAAACACUAAACUCAAACAAUAACCAAAAUUACCAAAAUGCCCCUGGAAACAACUAGUCAACCCUUGGUCAAAGUCAAAGUCAACCCCUAACUGACUCUACUCGCCGAGUCAACCCGAUGACUCGCCGAGUCCCCAUGCACAACACUUCCUCAAUCCGCGACUCAAUUCGCCGAGUCACCACGAGACUCGCCGAGUCCACAACUCUGAGUCCUUCACACUCAACUCACCGACUCAUCCCUCGACUCACCGAUUCACAGCUCAACCAGAAGAAAGGUUAGGACCUCACGACUAGACUCGCCGAGUCCAAGAACAAACUCGCCGAGUCCAAGGCUAUCUGCAACCAACUCGUCGAGUUGUUCUUCCAACUCGUCGAGUUCCAGCCUAUCUUCAAGCUACUCGCCGAGUACACCCUUGUAACUCGCCGAGUACCCCUAGAUCUGAAUCCAUACAGAGGCUUUCCAAGCCACGCAGAAGCUCUAAACCAUAGAUCUACUCUUUUACAAGCCAACCAUCACGUAAAGUGGAAAACUUUACGUGGAUCCAAAGAGAUAUAGGCAUUUUACACUCUAGGUCUUGGGUUUGAGACAAGGUAGCUUCACCAAUCACUUAUCAAUAGGGACUUUAUGUGAUUUUGGAUCAUCACUACUCCAGAUCCGAGGUAGCAUCCUCAUAUCCAUCUUCCAAUCCCGAAAUGACUCAUGAAAUCCUCCAAAAACCCCAAAACAACCACCAUGGAUGACAAUAAGGGAAAAAGGGGUUCAAGACAGAGGAUUCUUACCCCAAAGAUGAGCCUAAACUGAUGAAGACUUCAGAUCCACAAGCCCUCUAGAUGCUAUCCUCGAAUUCCUCCAACUUCUCGUCAUAAAUCCCUUAUUCCAAGCUUCAAUCCUCUCAAUAAUGGAAUUUAUCACGAUUAGGGUUUUCUAUGGAACUCUCAGGGUAAAUAGAGGCUGAAGAGAAGGCAUAACAUCCUUUAAAUAGGGGGCAAACCCCGAAGAUUAGGGUUUUCUCCACCCAACACCAACUCGCCGAGUCCAGCCGCCGACUCGUCGAGUUGGCCACUUAACACGUGACCGGAGUCGCGACUCUACUCGCCGAGUCCACCCAUGGACUCACCCACUUGCCCUUAUACAUUUUCACUUUGAGCCCUUCAACUCUACUCUUGAUUUACCGGGAUGUUACAAUUGGAAGAGAAGCUGUCCGGAAUAUCUACAAGCCAUCAAGGAUGGAAAGAUCAAGCCAUCUUUUGCAGGUAUAUACACAAUUAAAUCUAAUGAUUCAUCUCAUACUAUUUCUUGGGUUCUUGAUACAAGAUGUGGUCACCACAUUUGUUCUGAUUUGCAGGGACUAAGAAGAGAUAGAGAUGUGGAGCGAGGAAGAAUAAAUCUAAUCAUGGGAAACAGAAGAUCGUCGCCUGUCACCAAGAUUGGAGUGUAUUCUUUAGCGCUUAGUAAUGGAUUAGGUUUAGAUUUAAAUAAUUGUUGCUACUCGCCAGAUAUGGCAAGAAACAUCAUUUCAUUUCAUGGUUUGUUUAGACAAGGAUUUAGAUAUUCGUUUAAUAAUAUGAAUGGUUCUAUUUAUGCUUAUCUAAAUGGUGUUUUAUACUUUGAAGCAAUGCCUUGUAAUGGAAUUUAUGAAACUGUUAUGGUUGUAGAUAACCUAGGAAAUGAUGUGUUGUGUAUGGAUUCUUCCAAUAGUAUGGAUAAAGCAUCUUUGUGGCAUUGUCGUCUUGGACAUGUCAACAAGAAGCGCAUAGCCCAACUCCAAAAGGAUGGAGUGUUGGAGCCAUUCGACCUUAGGGAAGAUGACACGUGUGAAUCUUGUUUACUUGGAAAGAUGACCAAGUCACCCUUCUCUGGCACUUGUGAGAGGGGUGAAGGUUUAUUGGAUCUCAUACAUACCGAUCUGUGUGGACCCUUUAGAUCUACCACAAAGGAUGGGAACCGCUUCUAUGUGACUUUUACCGAUAAUUAUAAUAGAUAUGGGUAUAUCUACUUAAUCCAGCAUAAGUCAGAAACGUUUGAAAAGUUCAAAGAAUUCAAACAUGAAGUGGAGAAUCAAUUGGGCAGGAAAAUCAAGAUGCUUCGAUCUGAUCGAGGAGGAGAGUACCUAAGUCUUGAAUUCCAUGACUAUCUCAAGGAAUGCAAUAUAGUUUCGCAAUUGACGCUACCUAGGACACCGUAGUUGAAUGGUGUGGCAGAAAGGCGCAAUCGAACCUUGUUAGACAUGGUUCGUUCUAUGAUGAGUCGUGCUUCACUACCUAUAUCAUUUUGGGGGUAUGCCUUAGAGACUGCCGCCCAUAUCCUUAACCGAUUCCCUACAAAGAAGGUUGCCAAAACACCUCACGAGAUGUGGACAGGGAAAGCUCCCUCGUUAGCACACAUCAAGGUUUGGGGUUGUGAAGUUUUCGUAAGAUGAGAGACUCAAGACAAGCUUGAACCUCGUAGUGAGCGAUGUAUUUUCAUCGGCUACCUACAGAAAUCCUUUGGAUAUAUCUUCUAUAGACCGAGUGACAAUGUAGUCUUCGUUGCGAGGAGAGGGGUUUUCCGAGAAAGAGAACUCAUAAACCAAGGAGACAGUGGGAGGCAGAUCGAUCUUGAAGAGAUUCAAGAGUCGAGUGAUGAAGGAACCUCUACCGCUGGCGCUCAACUCGAGGAGGAAACUUCGGUUGAACCUAUUGACCAAUCCUUACCUCUUAGACGUUCCGAAAGAGUUAGAGUUCAACCCCAGUUAUAUGGAUUUCAUAUUACUACCGAAGGGGACACGUAUAUUAGUAACAGUACACUAGUAAACCUAGAUGAACCUAAUAGCUAUAAGGAAGCCAUGGCAGGCCCGGAGUCUGCUAAAUGGAAAGAGGCAAUGGAUAGCGAUAUUCAGCCCAUGUAUGACAACCAAGUUUAGAAUUUGGUUGACAAUGUGCCCGGACGUAAGACGGUUAGGUGCAAAUGGAUCUUCAAGAAGAAGACCGACGUGGAUGGGAAUGCGCACACGUAUAAGGCACGACUAGUGGCGAAGGGCUUUACUCAAACUCCCAGAGUUGACUAUGAUGAGACCUUCUCACCAGUUGCUAAGAUAAAAUCUAUUAGGGUGAUGCUAGCCAUUGCCGCAUUUCAGGAUUAUGAGAUAUGGCAAAUGGAUGUUAAAAUCGCUUUCCUUAAUAGGAAGUUGGCUGAGGAUGUUUACAUGGCUCAGCCAGAGGGUUUUGUUGAUCCGAAGCAUCCCAAUAGAGUGUGCAAGCUUGAGAAGUCCAUUUAUGGACUUAAGCAAGCAUCUCGCAGAUGGAAUCUUUGCUUUGAUGAGAAAGUCAAAGAGUUUGGAUUUGUACGAAGCGAAGAUGAAUCAUGUGUAUAUGUCAAAGCCAGUGGGAGUGUAGUUAGCUUUCUCGUUUUGUAUGUCGAUGACAUACUGCUCAUAGGAAACGACAUCCCGACUCUGCAGGAGGUAAAGUCCUGGCUCGGGAAGUGCUUCGCUAUGAAGGACCUCGGAGAGGCUUCUUACAUUUUGGGAAUAAGGAUAGUAAGAGAAAGAAGUAAGAGACUAAUUGGACUUAGUCAGAAUACUUACUUAGAGAAGGUACUAAAACGUUUUAGUAUGGAAAACUCAAAGAAGGGAGAAUUACCGAUACAAAGUAAUACCAAGUUGAGUAAGACUCAAAGUCCGAGUACCGAAGCCGAGAUAGCUAAGAUGAGCCGAGUACCUUACGCUUCCGUAGUUGGCUCAAUCAUGUAUGCUAUGACUUGUACUCGCCCUGAUGUGGCCUUUGGUUUGAGCAUGGUUAGUAGAUAUCAAGGGAAUCCUGGAAGAGCGCAUUGGAUUGCGGUCAAGAACAUCCUUAAGUACCUUCGGAGGACCAAGGAAUGGUUUCUAGUCCUCAGAGGGAGUGAUGACUUAAAGGUGCAAGUAUAUAGUGACGCCAGUUUCCAGACCGACAGGGACAACUAUCAUUUGCAGUCAGGAUGGGUAUUUACCCUUAAUGGAGGAGUGAUAACUUGGAAAAGUUCCAAACAAGAAACUGUAGCGGAUUCAACGUGCGAAUUAGAGUACAUUGUAGCGAGCGAAGCGUCAAAAGAGGCAAUAUGGCUGAAGAACUUCAUUGGCGAUCUUGGAGUUGUGCCUGUUAUAAAGGAGUCCAUGGAAAUUUUCUGUGAUAAUGAAGGAGCGGUUGCCUUGACCAAGGAACCGAGGGAUCGUGGUAGAUCUCGGCAUAUCGACAGAAAAUAUCACUUUAUUAGACAUUGAGUAGAAGAAGGAAACCUCGUAGUUAAGAGGAUAUCAUCAGAAGAUAACCCAGCGGAUCCGCUUACGAAGGGACUGAGUAGGGUUAAGCACUUGCAGCAUGCUAGGAGUAUUGGGUUGAAGGAUGAUAUUAGUUUAGAUUAGAUAGUUUUAGAAACAUGUAAUAGGUAAAUGUAAUUGACACUUGAUGAUUAAAUAAAGGAGUAUUGUUUAUAAGUAAAGUUACUAUCUUAUGUUAAUUGUUUAGCUAUUGUUUCGCUUUGCAUGUUUUGACUUCCUGAAUAAUUAAGUUAUUAAGAAUAAUCGAGUUAUUCGAAUGGUCCACAAUCGUUCAUAUGAUGGAAGUAGGUAUGAAUGAAGAUUGUCAUGAAUUGGUGUGUAGAUUGUCUAAAUGGUAUUAGACAUAGCAAAGGUUUGCUGCAACGUUCAUGAGUGCUUAUGAACAAGUUUUGAGCAUUGGAAUAAACCCGCUCUUGCUGGAAUCACUUUGGGGUGAUCGCAAGACGAUAAUAUCAUAUGGUAUUAAAACUUAGAUAUAUGGUUUAUUAUUUACUAAUUUGUUGUACAUUGAUAAUGCGAAACCGCAUCAGUAAAUUGAUGUCAUAAAACGCAUUGUUGUGUAUAGUUGAUUAGUCGAUAAGUAGAUGCAUAUAAGUCGAAGUUUAUAUGUUACUUUUAUCCUAAGAGGUUAAAAGCGAUAUCACGGCCGCUCGAUGAUUUGAUUUGACUUAUGUGCCGGGCCUGGUCAGGACUAAAUUGAUGUGUUCAAUUAAGUUCUAUGUCAAAUAAAUCUAAGAUCGAGAAAAUAGUUGUUGGACAUAAGUAUGACAAUGUUUCAUGAAAUCGUCUGCACGAUAUCAAAACAGAGGAUUGUACGAUCCCUUAUCUAAAGGACAGGUUACUAAUAAGAUCAGAGUUGACGGCGUCUUUGAGAGCUACGAUUGCUGAUCGGAUUGUGUUUGCAUUUAUAGUUACUAGACUUAUCCAAGUGGGAGACAAUUGGAUUAGUGUCUAAGGCUGUAACUAUAUUUGGUAAGUACUUGACCUGAUUAUGCAUGGUCCUUUUGGGUUGCCUUCACCAUAGCAACUUGACAGGGUGAUUUAUAUAGAGAGAAGAGAUAUUAUUAUUAAUGUAUUAUAAGAAUAAUAUGUUAAAGGAAUAAUAAUAUUAAUUUGAUUAAUAUACGUCAUAAAUUAAUUAGGAAUUAAUUUGGUGACUUAAAGAGAUUAAUUAAAGGAAGGGGUAUAAACUGUCAAAUGUGUGAUAGUUGUAUUCUGAGCUAAGAAUCCUUAUGGAUAUGGGUUGGACGAUUUUAGGGAUUUGGAUCACCUAGAAAUCGUCCAAGGCUUAUCUAGGAGGGAUAUUGGAUUGCUUUAAGGCUAAGUUAUCCAAUUAGGGUUUUAGGGUGAAACCCUAGGAGCUCACAGUAUAAAUAGACCCUAGGGGGUUGUGGAAAUCGACACCUUUGUUAUUGGAGUAACCCUAGGGCCGAUUUCUCUCUUGCUUACCUCUCUCAAAUCAUCUUCUUGCUAGUUGGUGUUUGUAAGCCAUUAGAGGAGUGACAAUUGUGACUCUAAGCUCCAAGGAGAAGAAGGUUUCAAGCAAGUAAUUCAAUGUAUGAUACUAGAUCUGUUUUCAUAUGUUUUGAUUGUUAGUUUACAUUAGAUCUAGCCAUGAAAGUCUUGGAUAUAUUGCAUGUUCAAUUAGAGAAACCUAGAUCCAAGCAAUUAGGGUUUGCAUGUGCACAUAGGAAAGUUCUUAUGGCUCAAACCCAUCAAAAAUUCAUGAAGUGAUCCAAGUGAGCGUGGGUUUAAUCCAAUGCUCAAAUCAUAUUCAUAAGCACUCAUGAACGUUGCAGCAAACAUUUGCUUAUGUCUAAUACUCUUUAGACAAUCCACACACCAAUUCACGACAGUCUUCAUUCAUACCUACUUCCAACAUAUGAACGACUGUGGCCCGUUCGAAUAAUUUGACUGUUCUGAACCAAUUAAAUUAUUCAGGAAGUCAAAACAUGCAAAGCGAAAUACAAGAAUAAUACUAAUCCCAUAUGGCGCCAAACCUUUGAGUAUAAAUAAAACACCUUUUACUUAUCACCAUAUCGAUUAUUCAUUAUUUGUUGUUUCAGGUAAUCGACUUCUAAUUUGAAUUAUAACUACACAUGCUCUUAUCAUGCACACAAUGCUAACGUAUGGUCCUUACUUUGUGAAAUAGAUCAAAUGAACACAUUUCCAAUCAUACUCAUUUCACAACUCCCAAUCCUUAUCACAAGUGUAAGAAUAUCAAAUUCUUGCCACUUAUAGAAUAUGUUAGAUUCUAACAUUUUAUGCAAUGAUCCUUUUGUAAUGUCACUGCACUAAGGUCACAAUGACUAUUGCCAAUGAAUUACAAAGCUCUCUAUCGGAAAUUGUUACAAGACAAUUCCAUAGAUGUGAUGUCUCUCACUCAAAGUACAUUCCUUUGAACAUCCUUUUGCAUAAAAGUUUCUAAUCUAGACAUAGAUUCUCAAUAUCCAAUUCCCAAUAUGGAAACCUUUCCAUACUUACCAUAUGACAACUCAUUCUUAAUAGAAUCUUAUCUAUUCAUAAUAAUGUCGAUAUGCUCCAUCCAAUAUCAUACUUCCAACUACUCACAAGCGACCAAUCCUUAGCAUGCUUUGGAUCGUCCUUUGAUAGUUGUUUAACUAUCUUAGUCAAAAAAUUGAUUCUUGUCCUUUUUCCCUCUUAAUGCGCUAGACAUUUGGAAAAUUUUAGAAUGGUCAAAUAUAAUAGCACUUGCAAUCGAUCCUAUAUCUGAAGCAUAUGGGUCACGAUGCAUAAUAUCUUACAUAAAGAUUUGAUACUUUAUCAAUCUUCUGCCAUAAUAUUUUAUGUGUUAUGUUCUUACAAUUCGAACUAUGAGAGGAAAGCUGUAAUCAUAAUCAAAAUUUAAGAACACACUAUGUAUCCUUGACUAAGUUUAUUAACAUUCCACAACCCAAGCCUUUAGUUUUGAAAUGAAGCAUAAUAUUCUCUCCCUUAAUUAUAGCAAAACAACUAUUCAACCCUUACGACUUUGCAAAGUAUAACUCUUGUUUUCUAUAAUUAAUAUUGCUAACUUGCAAUACUUGUUUUAAUAAUCAUACAAGCACAACAUUUAUGCUCCCACUAUCAUGAUGAUUAUUAUCAAAUAAGCAUAACACUUAUGCUCCCACUAGCUUUGACAUGAUAAUCCUUUAUCUAAGCUUCUUAAACUUAUACACCUUUGCCUUAGAUAGCUCAUAUGUGUGUCUAAACAAUUCAGACUAAUUGCCAAAUCUCACAAUUCGAAUCAUGGAAAGGGAUACCGUGACCAUAAUCGAAUUCGAGAAUACAAUUUCACAAUCACUAUCUUCUUAAAAUCUCUCUUAGUGAAAGCAUUUCCUCACAGUCAUUUUCAUGAAGGAGGGAAUCUUAUGACACUUAGAUUUUAAUGGUGUAUGUGUUCCUAUCCAUGUGAAUUUGUCAAAACCAAAGUUUACGACAAAUUCAAACUCAUAUGGACCGAACUUUCUUAAUCUUGAUUUCUUGCCUUAUGGUAACACGAGUGCCCACCAUGUCUUCCAAGUAGUUAAGCAGCUCACCCUUUCCUAUCAAUGUACUUUCCAUUGAUCAAGGUGCCUGCCUUUUAUGCGUUCAAAUGAGAACUCAUAGAACUCACAUGCAUAAUUAACUCAAUUGGAAUGGCACAGAAACAAAAUAGUGUCAACACGAUAGGUUGUAAACCUCAACUCGUGUGCUAGUGAUGAUCGAUAAGGUUUAUUUUGAUUUGUUCUUGAAACCUUUCAAGACCAUUAAGACUCCCACUGACUCCUUGACAUAUAAGAUUCUCUUGUCAAUAAACAUUUCUUGACAAACAAAUAUUCAAGAGUUAGUGUAGCCUUUACCAAGAUAAAACACUUUACAAAAUUGGUCCUAGUUGGUCUUUGUCUUAUCCCAGACAUCACAACUUACCAAUUCCAAAUGUGCAAGAAUAAGAGAAACCUUUUUCUAAAUUCUACAUUUGAUGAAUGUUAUAAACCUUCUUAAGACUUGUCACUCAAUGUCAUAAUCUAAGACUUGUUUUGGAAUGAAGUAUGAUUGACUUUUUGAUUUAACCAUUUCUUCAAUUCUUGAUUCCUCUUCUUAGACAUGAAAUUGCACUAAGACUCACUUAGAGGAUAAAUUGAGAUAUGGUUCUUAAUCAUUAAGACAUGUCAUAAAACAUAAUAAAAGGAACUCUCACUUCUUCUUAGAAUAGAGAAACUUUUAUCUUUCUGCCUACUUGAUUCUUCUUAUUCGUUCUGCUAUUGAUUUAAACUUUUUCAAUCAAUUCAGAAUUACACUUAAUCUUAUAAGUAUAAUCAUAUUUACUAAACCUUUAGUAAAUCAUGAUGAAUAUCUUUAUCACUCUUGUGGUGGACUUGAACAACACACAACUCUGUGUACUCGAUCUCCUAGUCCUUCACUCGACACUUUGUCAACAAAUUAGUCUAAAUUUCCCAAAUGUUAAAGUUUUCAUUCAUCAUACAAUACUUGUUGCAUGAUUCCAAGUUCCUGUCCACUUGAAACUUGGAUGAUGCGAAACUCUCCUUAUUUGGUAAAUUCUUGACUUCCACAAUUAACAUAAUUUAGAAUCACAUCCAUUCGUUGUAGAAAUAUGCAAACAUCAAUUUUUCAUAACGAUUUCAUUGCAGGGAACUAAAUAAAUAAAUACGUCAAACAAAAAUUUAUUUUAUUCAUAAAAACAGCGGAAAACAUUUGUCCUUACAAUGCAAAAUCAACUGAAAAACUAUGUAAUCAAAUAUUCCUAACAACUCUAUCAUAACUUUCUAAGCUCAAAAUCUAAUCUUCGAAUCCAUGUGAUCGAGAUCCAUCUCUUCGUGAUCAGACUCAUCUUGCUUUUCCAUCAGGCUUCCUCUCUUUUCACUGAUCCUGGAAAACAUUCAAAUGCAAUCUUAUCACAUUAUGUAUUAAGAAUCAAUGAAUAGGAACUUAAUGGAGUUAGAUAGUGGAUUUUACCUGAAGCACAUCCAUACUCCUUGACUCUCCCAUCUUCUGGAUUCUUCAGGCUCUUAGGGCAGACUUGUAUCCAACGCCCUUUCACUUGGCAGCAAACGCAGGUCAGUUCUCCUAGAACGUCCUCGGAAGCAUGGUUGGUUGACUUUCCCAACAAAUACGCUCCAUUGCUUUGCCAAAUCAUUUCUGAUUCAGCAGCAAUGAGCAUGUAAGUUUGGUCAAUGAGGUUUUCGUCAUGAUCCAUCAUAUAAUACUUUCUCUUGAACUCAUUAUAUGAUUCAGGGAGUGACUGUAGAUCCCAUUCUACAACCAACUUAUCAGGGAAUGACACACCCAACAUAAUCAACCUAUCGAUGUGUGAUUUCAUUCCUAGAACGUGGGCACACACGGGCUUACCAUCUUCAUGUUUCAUUGCCAGUAGGGCUUUAGUGACAUUUAACCUUUCAAUUCUUCGAUCUUGUGGGUUAGGGAGAACAACGGGAGGAGGAGGAGGAAGUGAAAUCAAACUAGUCCACCUUGAUUCUUCACUUGAAUAGCGGAACAACUUAUUUUUAGCAAGAACACCUUUUCCUUGAAAUUUGGGAAGACCAUGAUUGUCAUACUUUGACAUCUACAAAACGGGAGAAAACGAAUUCAAGUUAGUUGAUUUAUUGAGUCCUUAGUAAAUCACCCAAAUGAUAUACUAAGGCUAGGACCCAACACAAUAUUCCACAACUCGGGAGAGGGAUGUCGUAACCCAAAUUGCAGAACAUUUGAAGGUAAGUGAAUGACGAUUCACUAAUUUUCCACCAUGAAAAACGAAAAACAGAUUAAGUUUUAAAUGUAUUGAAAACUCCUAGAUCCUUUGAGAUUCAUUGAACUUUUCAAUGGCAUGUUUAAAUCUCGAUAUGCCCCUCUAGUUUGUGACUGGGAUGCCGAGGAUCACAAAGCGGGUGUGAAUAACCAUGCAAAUCUACAUGGUGCCCCCACAUGUUACAGUCACCUAUUCGAUGUGCCGGUUAACCACACACGCUCCACCGAACUAUGACAAACAUUGAGUCACCCUUUGCUACCUUUNNNNNNNNNNNNNNNNNNNNNNNNNNNNNNNNNNNNNNNNNNNNNNNNNNNNNNNNNNNNNNNNNNNNNNNNNNNNNNNNNNNNNNNNNNNNNNNNNNNNNNNNNNNNNNNNNNNNNNNNNNNNNNNNNNNNNNNNNNNNNNNNNNNNNNNNNNNNNNNNNNNNNNNNNNNNNNNNNNNNNNNNNNNNNNNNNNNNNNNNNNNNNNNNNNNNNNNNNNNNNNNNNNNNNNNNNNNNNNNNNNNNNNNNNNNNNNNNNNNNNNNNNNNNNNNNNNNNNNNNNNNNNNNNNNNNNNNNNNNNNNNNNNNNNNNNNNNNNNNNNNNNNNNNNNNNNNNNNNNNNNNNNNNNNNNNNNNNNNNNNNNNNNNNNNNNNNNNNNNNNNNNNNNNNNNNNNNNNNNNNNNNNNNNNNNNNNNNNNNNNNNNNNNNNNNNNNNNNNNNNNNNNNNNNNNNNNNNNNNNNNNNNNNNNNNNNNNNNNNNNNNNNNNNNNNNNNNNNNNNNNNNNNNNNNNNNNNNNNNNNNNNNNNNNNNNNNNNNNNNNNNNNNNNNNNNNNNNNNNNNNNNNNNNNNNNNNNNNNNNNNNNNNNNNNNNNNNNNNNNNNNNNNNNNNNNNNNNNNNNNNNNNNNNNNNNNNNNNNNNNNNNNNNNNNNNNNNNNNNNNNNNNNNNNNNNNNNNNNNNNNNNNNNNNNNNNNNNNNNNNNNNNNNNNNNNNNNNNNNNNNNNNNNNNNNNNNNNNNNNNNNNNNNNNNNNNNNNNNNNNNNNNNNNNNNNNNNNNNNNNNNNNNNNNNNNNNNNNNNNNNNNNNNNNNNNNNNNNNNNNNNNNNNNNNNNNNNNNNNNNNNNNNNNNNNNNNNNNNNNNNNNNNNNNNNNNNNNNNNNNNNNNNNNNNNNNNNNNNNNNNNNNNNNNNNNNNNNNNNNNNNNNNNNNNNNNNNNNNNNNNNNNNNNNNNNNNNNNNNNNNNNNNNNNNNNNNNNNNNNNNNNNNNNNNNNNNNNNNNNNNNNNNNNNNNNNNNNNNNNNNNNNNNNNNNNNNNNNNNNNNNNNNNNNNNNNNNNNNNNNNNNNNNNNNNNNNNNNNNNNNNNNNNNNNNNNNNNNNNNNNNNNNNNNNNNNNNNNNNNNNNNNNNNNNNNNNNNNNNNNNNNNNNNNNNNNNNNNNNNNNNNNNNNNNNNNNNNNNNNNNNNNNNNNNNNNNNNNNNNNNNNNNNNNNNNNNNNNNNNNNNNNNNNNNNNNNNNNNNNNNNNNNNNNNNNNNNNNNNNNNNNNNNNNNNNNNNNNNNNNNNNNNNNNNNNNNNNNNNNNNNNNNNNNNNNNNNNNNNNNNNNNNNNNNNNNNNNNNNNNNNNNNNNNNNNNNNNNNNNNNNNNNNNNNNNNNNNNNNNNNNNNNNNNNNNNNNNNNNNNNNNNNNNNNNNNNNNNNNNNNNNNNNNNNNNNNNNNNNNNNNNNNNNNNNNNNNNNNNNNNNNNNNNNNNNNNNNNNNNNNNNNNNNNNNNNNNNNNNNNNNNNNNNNNNNNNNNNNNNNNNNNNNNNNNNNNNNNNNNNNNNNNNNNNNNNNNNNNNNNNNNNNNNNNNNNNNNNNNNNNNNNNNNNNNNNNNNNNNNNNNNNNNNNNNNNNNNNNNNNNNNNNNNNNNNNNNNNNNNNNNNNNNNNNNNNNNNNNNNNNNNNNNNNNNNNNNNNNNNNNNNNNNNNNNNNNNNNNNNNNNNNNNNNNNNNNNNNNNNNNNNNNNNNNNNNNNNNNNNNNNNNNNNNNNNNNNNNNNNNNNNNNNNNNNNNNNNNNNNNNNNNNNNNNNNNNNNNNNNNNNNNNNNNNNNNNNNNNNNNNNNNNNNNNNNNNNNNNNNNNNNNNNNNNNNNNNNNNNNNNNNNNNNNNNNNNNNNNNNNNNNNNNNNNNNNNNNNNNNNNNNNNNNNNNNNNNNNNNNNNNNNNNNNNNNNNNNNNNNNNNNNNNNNNNNNNNNNNNNNNNNNNNNNNNNNNNNNNNNNNNNNNNNNNNNNNNNNNNNNNNNNNNNNNNNNNNNNNNNNNNNNNNNNNNNNNNNNNNNNNNNNNNNNNNNNNNNNNNNNNNNNNNNNNNNNNNNNNNNNNNNNNNNNNNNNNNNNNNNNNNNNNNNNNNNNNNNNNNNNNNNNNNNNNNNNNNNNNNNNNNNNNNNNNNNNNNNNNNNNNNNNNNNNNNNNNNNNNNNNNNNNNNNNNNNNNNNNNNNNNNNNNNNNNNNNNNNNNNNNNNNNNNNNNNNNNNNNNNNNNNNNNNNNNNNNNNNNNNNNNNNNNNNNNNNNNNNNNNNNNNNNNNNNNNNNNNNNNNNNNNNNNNNNNNNNNNNNNNNNNNNNNNNNNNNNNNNNNNNNNNNNNNNNNNNNNNNNNNNNNNNNNNNNNNNNNNNNNNNNNNNNNNNNNNNNNNNNNNNNNNNNNNNNNNNNNNNNNNNNNNNNNNNNNNNNNNNNNNNNNNNNNNNNNNNNNNNNNNNNNNNNNNNNNNNNNNNNNNNNNNNNNNNNNNNNNNNNNNNNNNNNNNNNNNNNNNNNNNNNNNNNNNNNNNNNNNNNNNNNNNNNNNNNNNNNNNNNNNNNNNNNNNNNNNNNNNNNNNNNNNNNNNNNNNNNNNNNNNNNNNNNNNNNNNNNNNNNNNNNNNNNNNNNNNNNNNNNNNNNNNNNNNNNNNNNNNNNNNNNNNNNNNNNNNNNNNNNNNNNNNNNNNNNNNNNNNNNNNNNNNNNNNNNNNNNNNNNNNNNNNNNNNNNNNNNNNNNNNNNNNNNNNNNNNNNNNNNNNNNNNNNNNNNNNNNNNNNNNNNNNNNNNNNNNNNNNNNNNNNNNNNNNNNNNNNNNNNNNNNNNNNNNNNNNNNNNNNNNNNNNNNNNNNNNNNNNNNNNNNNNNNNNNNNNNNNNNNNNNNNNNNNNNNNNNNNNNNNNNNNNNNNNNNNNNNNNNNNNNNNNNNNNNNNNNNNNNNNNNNNNNNNNNNNNNNNNNNNNNNNNNNNNNNNNNNNNNNNNNNNNNNNNNNNNNNNNNNNNNNNNNNNNNNNNNNNNNNNNNNNNNNNNNNNNNNNNNNNNNNNNNNNNNNNNNNNNNNNNNNNNNNNNNNNNNNNNNNNNNNNNNNNNNNNNNNNNNNNNNNNNNNNNNNNNNNNNNNNNNNNNNNNNNNNNNNNNNNNNNNNNNNNNNNNNNNNNNNNNNNNNNNNNNNNNNNNNNNNNNNNNNNNNNNNNNNNNNNNNNNNNNNNNNNNNNNNNNNNNNNNNNNNNNNNNNNNNNNNNNNNNNNNNNNNNNNNNNNNNNNNNNNNNNNNNNNNNNNNNNNNNNNNNNNNNNNNNNNNNNNNNNNNNNNNNNNNNNNNNNNNNNNNNNNNNNNNNNNNNNNNNNNNNNNNNNNNNNNNNNNNNNNNNNNNNNNNNNNNNNNNNNNNNNNNNNNNNNNNNNNNNNNNNNNNNNNNNNNNNNNNNNNNNNNNNNNNNNNNNNNNNNNNNNNNNNNNNNNNNNNNNNNNNNNNNNNNNNNNNNNNNNNNNNNNNNNNNNNNNNNNNNNNNNNNNNNNNNNNNNNNNNNNNNNNNNNGGGAUCAUUCAGGUAUGCUGGAUGAACAAUGUAUACAUGUUUUACUUGAUUUAAACUAUAUAUGUAUUUUAUACCUAUGAUUAUGAUGGGUAAAGAUGGGUAGAUGAUAUAGAUGAUGAAAUAAAAUAAUGAGAGACCUCGAUGUUUAAGCUAAUUCAAUCAUCUAGCGCAGUAUAGAUGACAACCACGGGCUAUUCUAGACAGUCUAGUAUAACUCUAGUAGGCUCGCAACCUAUAGGUGUUUUUGAACUACGUAUUCACCAGGAGUACUCCAUCCCCCUCAUGGUUGCCUUUUUGACAUAAAUUGUUGAGGAAUCCCCUAAGCAUUGUUUUUGAUCAUGAUGAUAAUCCUUAGGCUAGGUCCCUUUAAUUAGAUGCUUUAGGGACAAAAAGUGAGGAUAACGGGAAUGUGUAAUUGGGUUGAAUGAUUUGACGAAAUUAAUAAACUUAAUUAUUGUGGGUUGAAAACCCUAUAUGCUUACCAGGCUCCCAAGCCUGACCCACUCAGUUUUUUGUAUUACAUGUAGUGGAAAUAGAGCACAUGAGUGAUGAUCUGAUGAGAGAUCAAUGGAUUAUAGGCCUUUAGAAUAAUAGAUGUUGUAAGGCCUGUAUUAUUUCUAUUUAUGUUUAUGUAAUGUAUUGACAAUGACAUCCUAAUGUUUUUAAUUAAUUGAAAAUACAUUUCUUUGGAAAUGCUUUGAUAAAUUACUUAUCAUAUUUUUGGGAACAAAUUCCGCAACAUAUUUCUUCAAAAGGAUAAUCUGGUUUUUAAAUAAAGCAUAAACAAAUCGGUCUUUUCUGGCCGUGAAAUUAGGGAUGUCACGAUUUUCAUUAUACAUGUGAGGGCACAUGAUGUAUGAUUGUUAUAAAUAUAGUAAUAAUACAAUAUAUUAAAUUUAAAUAUUUUUAUGUUAUAUCUUUAUUUCUUUAAUAUUCAAAUUUAAUUCUCUAUUAAAUAAUACUUAAAGUUAAAUAUUCAAUUUUAAACUCUUAUUCAAAUAAUAUUUACUUCAAGAGGUAACCUUGUCAACCAAGAAACAGAUACGAAAAAUAAAACGCAGAAACGCCAAAAACGCACCACAUCGGAUUAGGACGCGUCGUGUCCCUCUAGCUUUUAGAUUUUUCAAUUUUCGAUCUUAAUAGCAGUGUAUAUAAUCUAAAAGCUAAACGCUAUGAUAUGCUUUUCAGUUUUUAUAGCAUCAAUACACUCUAUAAAGGCAGCGGAAACAAACAAAUUUUACCUAAAUAUACAUGCACCCUAGGAUCUAGGUUUUGCUAAUAUUAGCAACCUGCUUUGAGAUCGAACAAAAUAAAGGUAAGAACACUAACAUUUUGAACUUAUGAUUAAGACCAUGUGAUUGACAACUCUUUCAAAAGGAUGAAGGACACAAGUAGAAUCCCUCUAAUGUAGUCAGACCCAAGACUCCAAGAAGUAGAACAAGGAAACCCUAUGAAGGAAUAAGUCGAAAAUUCCAUAACCCUAGAGAGGGGUUAUAAUUUUUAGCCCGAUGGAGAUAUAGGAGAAAGGGUGAGUGAAAACUGAGAGUUAGGAAGCCCUUGGAUUUAAUCCCAUGUCUCCUGUAUAUAAGCUCCAACCAAAAUAUUUAAGUCAAUCAGAUUCCUAAGAAUAAUCUGUAUCCUUAGCGGAGCGUACCUUAUCCUAGGAUAGAUCCUAGAUUUCAUUCAUACAUAUCUUCAAAAAGGCUUCUGGAAUAUUCCAAUAAAUCUGUAGGGAUUAAUUAAUAUUCGAGCCUUUUAAUUAAUUAAAACUAUUUAACUAGUUACCAGAACAAUUUCCAAUUAAUUUAUUAAUUCAUAACAAAUUAACAACUUAUUUUUCUCCAUUUCCUUAUUUCUAAUUGUGUCAUGACACCAACUCAAAAGGACAUUGUUAUUAUUUAGAAAUAUUACAAAUAGUUAAUGACCUUGGACACUAUCUCUAACAAUAAAUAAAUUAAAUAGACAAUCGAACAUAUGAUUCUACCCAAAAGCAAUAUAUCAAACAAGAACCAUGUAAUAUGUAAGAUCUGUGCUAGUCAAUUUAGAGACGAUAAGCAUCAAAAAUGAAUUUUGAAUAGAAGAUUAUUUAGAAUGAAUAAUCUUAACCAAGUCAUAGUAUAUGUUACAAUGGUUCCGUACAUAUAAAGAACGCCGAAAUCCGAGUUAUAACGAAGAAGUUAUGGCCCAUCGAAGUUCUACGGCAAAACCGGCACGACACCAGGAGACGUAAAUAGUGAAUUUACAAUAGAAGACUUUUUAGCCUUAGAUAUCUAAAUUAAAGUUGUAAUAUACGUUAAACCGAGAGUGUGCAUAAAAAGAACGUCAAAAUAUGACUUCGUAUGAGGAAGUUAUGAUUUUUCUAAGAUUUGGCAUAGCAGUGCACAACCCGAAAUUCGAAUUUUAGAUCGGUCGAUUUUUGGCCGACGCAACCUAAACAAGAAUCGAAUAUCUCAUUAAUAGUAGUGCAACGGCAAAAAAAGACAUAUGAAAACGGACGUUAGAUGAAGAAGUUAUGAAUUUUUAACGGACUUUUCCUGUCCCGGCCUGUUAAAAAUAUAACUUUAAAAAUAAAGUCAAAAUUAGCUGAUGGAGUCUAAAUGAAAGUUGUAGAGUACGUCUCUACCUACGCGUGGAUAGAAACAGCGUAAAAAACGGAGUUCAUAUGAGCAAAUUACAAAUUAUAAUAGCAUAUUUACGUAUUAAAAUAAAGUGUAUAUCAUAUAUAUAUAUAUAUAUANNNNNNNNNNNNNNNNNNNNNNNNNNNNNNNNNNNNNNNNNNNNNNNNNNNNNNNNNNNNNNNNNNNNNNNNNNNNNNNNNNNNNNNNNNNNNNNNNNNNNNNNNNNNNNNNNNNNNNNNNNNNNNNNNNNNNNNNNNNNNNNNNNNNNNNNNNNNNNNNNNNNNNNNNNNNNNNNNNNNNNNNNNNNNNNNNNNNNNNNNNNNNNNNNNNNNNNNNNNNNNNNNNNNNNNNNNNNNNNNNNNNNNNNNNNNNNNNNNNNNNNNNNNNNNNNNNNNNNNNNNNNNNNNNNNNNNNNNNNNNNNNNNNNNNNNNNNNNNNNNNNNNNNNNNNNNNNNNNNNNNNNNNNNNNNNNNNNNNNNNNNNNNNNNNNNNNNNNNNNNNNNNNNNNNNNNNNNNNNNNNNNNNNNNNNNNNNNNNNNNNNNNNNNNNNNNNNNNNNNNNNNNNNNNNNNNNNNNNNNNNNNNNNNNNNNNNNNNNNNNNNNNNNNNNNNNNNNNNNNNUUAUAACAAAUAUUUGGGCUAUUAUUAUGACUUAUAUAAGUGUCGUUAUAAUAUCUUUUUAACUACUCGCGGUACGGGGAAUCUAGUUUAAAGGGUCGUAUAGGGUUGUUGGAUUUCAGAAGUGCUAUAUGCCAAAAUGGUCCCGCCCUCCGGUGUUUUAUGUCUUUCCCCUGUUUGUACAUAGUGGUUAGAAAAUAUUGUUUGAACGCUUAUAUAAUAAUAAUAAUAAUAAUAAUAAUAAUAAUAAUAAUAAUAAUUAGUCACGGUAAAUAUUAGACUAAAAUCUAGUGGUAAUAAUACUAGGUUUCGUCGAAGGAAAUUAUUUUUAAGAAGCGAAACGCUGUCUGAGUUCGGAAUCACCACCUUAACAAGUGAGUGCAUAGUUACUUUCAUCUUACACAUAGACAUGAAGUAUUUUAAUAUAAAUUGCGUGCUAUGUGUGCAUCUUGUCUGAGUACUUGUUGUCUAUGCUGAAUGGAAGAUUUUAUACAUGUUUUAAAUGAUUUAAAUUGUAUAUGUAUUUUAUAUUUACAAAAUAUGUUGGGUAAAACAUGGGUAGAUGAAAUAUAAAUUGAAUGUUGAGAUAAGAGGUGUUAUAGACCAUGAGAUAAGGGUGAGAGGUGAACAAUGAGAGAAGCCUUUACCCAAGCGUGGCCCCGUCAUCUAGUAGAGUAUGGAUGACAACGACGGACUAUUCUAGACAGUCUAGUGGAACACUAGCAGACUCGCAACCUAUAGGUGUUGUGAACGAUAUGUUCACCCGAUGUACUCUAAACCUUGGUGAUCAUGCAGACUUGGUGCCUAAACCUUGACGAUCAUGUAUACUUGGUGCCUAAACCCUGGCGACCAUGCAGACUUGGUGCCUAAACCCUGGCGACUACGCAGACUUAGUACUCGUUGUGUAAACUGUGGCAACGAUAGACUUCGUGUCAAUUCCUUAGGAUGAUCCUUAGGGAUGAAUGAAUGAGGAAUAGCUGAUUCUUAGGGUAGAUCCUUAAGAAUAAAGAAGAUAAUGGGGAUGAGUAAUUGGGUUGAUUGUUUGAUGUUUAAACAUAAUAAUUAUAUUAUUGUGGGUUGAAAACCCUAUGUACUCACCAGGUUUCCCAACUUGACCAACUCGGUUUAUUUGUAUCACAGGUGUCUAUAUAAAGUUACAUUGCACUGAGGUAUUAAGGAGAUAUAAUCACUAGUGAUAAUGAAUGUAAGUUCUGUUUAUGCUUAUGUUUCUGUAUUGACGAUAACAUCCCAAUGUUUUAAAAUGAAUAAAAAUACAUUUCUUCAAAAAUGAUUUGAUAACGUAUUUAUCAUGUUUUUCUAGGAACAAAUUCCACAACAUUUUUAUUAGAAGAGGUGCUCUGAUCUUUAUAAAGCAUAAACAAAACCGGUCUUUUCUGGCCAUAAAAAUGGGGAUGUCACAUAAUAAGCCUAGACCAGAGUUCUAAGGUUAUCCAAUUUAAACUACAUAUAAUCCUUACGGCAUUCACUUAACAAUAAACCAAUUAUACCAAUACUCAUCCAAUCAUGACACAUAACGGUAUCAUGCAAUCAACCAAUCACAUACAUAACAAAGACCAACCUAGUCUAUUAGAAUAUUCAUACCCUAAAAAUACAUAUAUUUUUAUCAUACAACAGAUAUACAAUGUCACAUGUGGUACAAUGAGAAAACUCACUUGAGCCAAAAAAAAAUCUCAAUAUCAGCCUUUAUAAAUGAAACUACUAAUGCGAAUUGUCUAAAUAAAAAAGAUAGAACUUAGUCUACAUCUUAAAUCCCUCAAAGUUUAACCAAAAGUCAAACUGGUCAAAAGUCAACGGUCAGCGGUCAAUAGACGAUGACCCAACUUCUUCCGGUUACAUUGUGAGCACAAGGCGACAAUUUUUUUUUUGAAUUACAUCUAACCUCCGCAUCACAACCCCUUAAUGGCCGCGUCACGAUUUCUAGUCUAAUGCACUUAUUCCAUUAAGUUCUUAAUCCUUUCCAAGAGAAGUUCCAACUUACAAAUUUGAAUAAUUUCAGUGACUUAAUAGAUAAAGUUUCCAACAUUAUCCAUUCUAAUGGCUAGAUCUUUCCCAAUCUAAAACCUUAACUUGAUUAAGCCAUUAAAAAUCCAUAACUUUGUGCAUGAUUGAAAAAGGAUACAUGCACACUCAUUUGUCUUCUUCCUAUAAGUCAGAAACAUGUCCAUUUGCAGAGUUCCUAAGUUGCUUAAAAUCCAAGAGCAUGAAGUCAAAAUGACCACAAGUGAUCAAAAACCCACAGGGAUCUAUAUCUAUGCGUAAACUCCAAUAAAGCAGGGAUCUUUGAUGCUUAAAAUUCUUAUACAAUGUCUAGAAGGUGGAGACUUCAGUUGGACAAAGCUUCUCCAAGCACCGACGGUCUUCUUCGACAAGGGACUCCAAACAUUCUCACAAGGCUCACCAAUACACAUAAAGGCUAGGGUUUUAAUUUCAGAUAGAAUGGAGGUUGAGAAUAGAGCAAACCCUAAACAUCAUAUUACUCAACUAUGGCUCAAGGCACAAGAUCUAUGGUUUUGGGCUGUGACGGCUUCACGUAUUGACAACCAUAAGGCUGUGUCGAUAUUUAAUAAUGUGCCAUACGCUUCACAACCAUUUAGUAGCCGCUUCGCGACCCACAAAACCUAAACUAACUCAACUUAAAGAAGGUCAAGAGACAACUCACAAACCAUAAACGGGUGUUACACAAAAGUAACAAGUUAACAUAUGUAUUUUGUAAAUAAUAAUAAUAAAGAGUAAAUAUAUACAAAAUAAAAAUAAUAUUACCUUUUUAAUUUAUUUUCCGUAAAAGUAUUAUUUAAAUGACUUUCGCUUAUUUUACAUUCUUAAUCGGUCAAAACAACCAUUUUAACCUCAAAGAGUAAACAAAAUCAUUUGUUGUAAAAAACGCCAAAUGCCCUUCACUGUUUGACACUCACCUCCCAUGAAGCCCAUCGAUAUUCACAAUUCUGGAACCUUUCAUAAUCCCCAUAGUCACCGACCUCCUCUUGUGCCACUGUAACUACAACCACCGCCCUCAGCAUUUUCCCAAGGCUUCAACCAUCGACAUCGAAACUCUCAAAGAGGAUUAUGAGAGUUAUUAUUUCGUCACAGGUAAACAAUAUCCGUGUAUAUUUGCAAUUCCUUUGAGAAGUUCAAAUUUGGUAUCGCAUUUGGUGUUAAGAAGCUAUAUCCCAUUUGAGGAUACUAGUUGGGUUCUGUGAGGAUGAUGGUCAUCUGGGAUUGUGUAUUUGGCAUAAAUUAGUUAGGAUUUAUGGGGAAUCUAGGGUUUUUCUCAUAUGGCGUCUAACGUCAUCUUGAAGUUGUAUGCUGAAGAAAGGCCGAUAGGUUUAUAAUAAUCCCUUGCUGAUCUCAUUUAUUGAAACAUGUAUAUAUACAAAUACAAGAACCGAAUCCUUAUAAUAAGGAAAGAAUCAAAUACAAUAAUCUAAAUAUAUACACUAUAUUAGUUUAUUGACUAAUAUGCCCCCUCAGUAUGAUCUGGAGCUUUGCGAACGUUCAGACUGGAUCGAAAGCUUUCAAAUAAGAUUUUGGGAAGGCCAUUCAUAAAAAUAUCGGCAUAUUGGUAUUCAGCUGGGAUAUGGAAAACCUUAACCUCGCCAAGUCUCACUUUUUCCCGAACAAAAUGUAUGUCUAAUUCGACAUGUUUGGUACGUUGGUGUUGAAUCGGGUUGGCGGAAAGAUAGACGGAAGAUACAUUGUCAUAAUAAAUCAAUGUGGCUUGUCGUAUAGGAACAUGAAGUUCUAAAAGAAGGUUCCUGACAUAGCUAGUUUCAGCAACAGCAUUAGCCAUGCCUCGAUAUUCUGCCUCUGCACUAGAUCUCGUGAUAGUUGCUUGGCGCUUCGCUGACCAUGAUAUCAAAUUAUCACCCAAAAACACACAGUAGCCUGAAGUGGAUCUGCGAGAGUCUGGACAUCCUCCCCAAUUGGCACUGUGUACGCCGUAAGCUUUAGUGAUCGGUUAGCUCGAAAAUAAAGGCCAUGAUGGAUGGUUCCUUUUAGGUAACGUAAUAUGCGUUUUAGGAACUGUAGAUGUGAUUCGCACGGCGCAUGCAUGAAUAGACAAACUUGUUGAAAUGCAUAAGUAAGAUCCGAGUGCGUGAAUAUACGGUAUUGAAGUGCACCGGCUAAGCUACGAUAAAGAGAUUCGUCAGUUAAGGGAGCCCCCAAGUCAGCACUUAGUUAGGAUCCGUUUUCUACCGGUGUGGAGGCGGGUUUGCAGUUUGACAUAUUUGCUCUUUCAAGAAUCUCGUUAGUGUACAUUUCCUGUGAUAGAAAAAGACCCGACGAAGUGCGUUUAGCGGUAACCCCAAGGAAGUGUUUUAACAUACCAAGAUCUGUCAUUGCAAAUUCCGUGGACAAAAGAUUGGUGAUUCUUUGCAAGAGUUUACCAUUAGAUUCAGUAAGAAUCAAGUCAUUGACGUAUAAGAGAAGAUAUGCAGUGGCAUUCCCUUUGUUGAAUAUGAAUAAUGAAUGGUCGGAAACGCUUCGUUUGAAACCCUUUGAUGUAACAAAAGUUGCAAAUCGGGUGUACCAAGUCCGAGGUGCUUGCUUUAGUCCAUAUAAUGAUUUUCGUAACCUGCACACAUAAGUUGGUUUUGACUGGUCCACAAAUCCUGGUGGUUGGUGCAUAAACACCGUCUCAUUAAGAUCCCCAUGUAAAAAAGCAUUUUUAACAUCUAAUUGUUUGACGGGCCAGUUAUGAGAGACGGCAAGGCUAAGAACUGUCUGAAUAGUUGUGGGUUUAACUACUGGACUGAAGGUGUCAUCACAAUCGAGGCCCACUUUUUGAGAUUUCCCAUUUACGACCAAACGCGCCUUGUAUUGUUCAAGAGAGCCAUCCGAGUGAUAUUUAUGGUGAUAUAGCCACAUGCAACAUAUUACAUUUGCGUUAGUUGGGCGUGGGAUAAGCUCCCACGUUUGAUUUUGUUGCAAGGCUUGGUAUUCAAUGGUCAUAGCGUUAUGCCAAUUUAGGUCGUUAAGAGCAAUGUGGGGAGAUUUUUGUAUAGGGGAUAUGGGUGGUUAAGAAUCAGUGUGAAGGUUUAAGGGUUUUCGUGGCUUAAAAAUAUCACUUUGGGAUCGGGUGGCCAUUGUGUGGCGAGAGACAUGUGGGGCGGCAGGUGGAGGAGGGGGGGUAGGAUGUUCGGAUGUCACAACUAGAAAUUUUUAUGCCUUGUAAACUACAACAACUAAGUCAAAUUGUGAAUCAAAGACAUGAGAACAUGUAUGAAGCAUACUCUAUAACAACAAAAUUUCAAUCAAACACCCCAUGCAAACAAUACGAAUAGUCGUUAAACAAUUGGAAACCCUAGAAGUUUUUGUUUAAGUCCAUUUUUGGACUAGGACUUCUUUAUUGGGCCCAAAGGACCAAUAAGCUUCCAAUUUGGCUACCUUGGGCUUAGAACUCUUAAAUGGGCUCUAAUUGGACCUACUCUCAUUCAUUUUAACAUUUUGGGCCAUAUUGGGCCUAGAAUGAAAUAAGACACCUUAAUGGACCUCAUUGGGCCAUAACUAACCUAAUUAGCCCUAAUGGGCCAUAAGAAUCAUAUUUAUAUUUAUUUGGGCCAUGAAUUACUCUAAAAGGGCCAAUGGGGCGAAAACCAUUAACUUGGACUCCAUAUUAUGGACUUAAACAAAAGGGCCCAAAUUUCCAUCUCUCUUCCUUAUCUCUCGGCCCAAACUACAAACCCAAGAGGAGAGGGUUGACUUUACUUGCCACCUCAUUUUUAUAUGGAGGAUAUCUAAGCUUUUGCACUUCAAACAUUCAUGCAAUCUCAUCUUCCCAUGCAAGCACUUCUUUUCUUCUCCCUCUCUCUCUUGCUCUCGGCUGACUUCAAGCACACACACACACAUUUCACUCAUUUUUCUCUCAAGAAACUCUCUCAUUUCUCCUCCAUAAUUUCGAUAUCUAAGGAGCUUUCAAGAAGAUAUCUCCACAAAUUCUUCACCUAAGGUAAGAUCAAGUUUGGAUCUAUGAUCUAGGUACUUUGUUUUAUCAAAAUCUCCUUCUAAUCUAUGUAAAAAUCUUGAUCACUCUCCUAGAAACCCUCUAAGUUCGAAAUCUUCCAAGGAGAGGUACUAAGGCCAAAUUUUCUUCUCACUUUCUUCUAAAAGCCGAAACCACACCCAAAGGUGAGNAACUCAAGGUGAGCUUCAUACCCCCUAUUUUUCGGUUUUUAUAAGUUUUGUGGGGGAGAAUACAAGCAAAUGUGUAGAUCUAUGAGUAUAUGUAUGCUUUGUGUGAUUUCUAUGCUUAUAUAUAUGAUCUUAUGUGAUUGUGGUGUUGGUACUAGUCAAAAAGAACUUAGAAACCGAGAUCUACAAUAUGUUGAAUGAAAUAAGUAUAACUUAUAUUAUUUCACACAAAUCAAGUCUAGAAAAAUAACCAAGUUGGUUACUAUGAACAUCUUUGGGCUUAAAACCCAUUUUUGGGCUCAAAAUGCUAAAAAUACAAAACUAAAGGGCCCAAAAUGACAAAAUACAAAUUCUGAAGGUUGAGAUGAGUCAAAACAGUUUCUAAUAUGUAUUUUCUGAAAAUUUACACUUUUGAAGGGUCAAAAUGUGAAUUUUUAAAGCCAAAAAUGGACUUUUCGGCCUAAUAUAGCCCCAAAUUGCGAGAUUUUUAAUUUGGAGGGGCUGAAACUGCACAUUUCUGUAAAACAGGGGACUACUAGUGUACCAAGUCCAUUUCAAGGGUUAAAAAUGCUUUUCAAAUUUAAAAGGGACCAAAGAUGCAAAAUUUUUCCAUUUUGGGUCAAAAUUGUAAAAAUUGCGAAAAUGGAGGUUGCAACCGAGAAAAUUUCAUUUUGUGGAACUAAAACUGUUUAUCAAGUAAAUUUGGGCUGAAAAAUAUCUUUUCAACAAGUUUUGAUACUAAAGUGUCAAGAAAAAUGGUUUAAGGACUAAAAUGGAAAUUCUUUUAUAUAAAGGGUUAAAAGUGUAAAUUUAUCCAAGAAGGGGUUUCAAAAGGAAAUAUUCUAAUGUUUAAAACAAUAAAUCCUUUAAGAUAAAAUACGAGUACCACGACUACCGGCGAAACGUAAUACACCUUUAAUACCAAAAUCGUUACCAAACGAAUUGAUUCGGUCUCGAAUCAAUAACGAAUCAAAAGAAAAUCAAUAAACAAUGAUACUUCAAUACACACGCGGAAAUUUACGAGAAGUCAAUACACACGUGGGAAUUCACAAGAAGUCAAUACACCAUCUUGGGGCCCGAAAGUUUCAAAUCGUGCUUGUUGGGCCUAGCUAACCCAAUGAUAUGAUCUUUAGGCCCGAAGGAAACACGCUUACAUGUUGUUGGGUCUUAUACGACCUAAUUCCGUGUAAAAGGACUUUCAAUAGCUUUUGUGCUGUUGGGCCCCAAGGGUCCUUUGGUACUGCUAGUGAAGUCAAAUGCGAGUCGGGCCAAGGGCCUUUCGCAUUCACGAUAGCCUUGAACGACUCAUGGAAAUAACGAGGGCUUCGCACCCUCUUUUCUCCUAGGUUGUGGGGCUAUGAGAAGUCAGGGUGGUUGGAUUAAGUGAGUAGUACGGACGACGCCUAAGGGAUCAUUUGUACAGUUGUAAGCUAGUCAUUUUCAUUAAUGCGUGAUUAUAACAACUCACAACCCAUAAUUAAUCCAAUGUCACCUGGAAUUAUCGAAUACAAACGUCGCAACGGCAUAACAAUGUAUAAAAUGCGUAAUUUAAAGUAUUAGGAAAACAUUGGGUUUUCCUAGGGAUUUCAACAGUUACACCUAUGUGAUGCAUACCAAGUCUAACAAUUAUUCACGCUUAUAGAAAUAAACAAGCAUACUUACGGAUCUUCACACUUUUUCUUACAUGCAAUAAUCUUUUCAGAAAAUAUCGGAUUUUCUGGUGGUUUUCAAAAUAAUAAAAAUCAUUACUUUUCAAACAUUACUUAUGAACUCACCAACAUUUCAUAUGUUGACGUUUUUCCAAAGUACUUGUAUUCUCAGGUAACAGGUAAAUCGAAGAAAAUGUACCCAGUGAUAUCAUGAUGUUUUGUUUAAUUAAUAUCGAACAGUUUAUGUUUUGGAAUUGUAAUGUGUAAAAACAAUGUACUGAAUGUAAACACUGAUGGUUGUAAUAUUUCAAUGCAUGGUGACGAAUGAUGUUAUGAUUCAUGUAUAUUCAUUGUGAUGGUAUUCAAUUGAGUCACAAUAGCCCUCGGACGUUUCCGCUGUCUGGUUUGGGGGUGUGACAUCGGGACUGGUGGAAGGGGAAGGAGUGGUUGUAGGUGGUAUAGAUGAAGGGGUAGGAGAUGUCGUAGGCGGUGGAGAUGGUGGCGUGGAGGAAGGGUGGCGGAAGGAGUGAUUGGUGUAGGUAGGAAAAUAUCGAAAAUGUGAGGAGAGGGAGAGAUGUUAGUGUUUGAUGGGUUGGAGUGGUGAGACUGAUACGACAAUGAUUUUUCAUUGAAGGUAACAUGCUGAGAAAGAAACACUCUACCCGUGGAGAGUUCAAGGCAUCGGUAACCUCGGUAGUUAGGUGGGUACCCGAGGAAGAUACAAAGAGUGGAGCGAGGGUCAAGUUUGUGUGUUCUAUUUGCGGAGCGGUUUGGAUAACAAGCACAUCCAAAGGUGCGCAAGUGAUCGUAGGUGGGGUGUCGGUGGUAAAGGGAGAAUGUAGGAGUGCGAAGGUGAAUAGUUUUGGUUGGAAGGAUGUUAUGGAGGUAAGCGCUGUGUGAAGUGCCUCGACCCAAAAGGAAGGAGGGAGAGACGCAUGAGUGAGCAACGCCAGGAUAAUUUCAUUGAGGUGUCGAAUCAUACGUUCGGCUUUUCCAUUUUGGGGAGAUGUUUGAGGACACGAGAAUCGGAAAUGUAAGUCGUGUGAUGAAGCAAAAGUGUGAAAUGGAGUGUUAUCAAAUUCGCCACCCAUGUAACAUUGAAAAGAUUUGAUUUUAGCAUUAAAUUGGGUGAGUAUGUAAGAAUGAAAUUGUUUGAACUUGAUGAACAUUUCAGACUUAUAUUUUAAAGGAAAGACCCAUACGUAUUGUGUGAAACUAUCAAUAAGAACCAUGUAAUACUUGUAACCCAAGUUAUUAGGGACGGGUGAAGUCCAUAAAUCACAAUGGAUGAUGUCAAACGGUAGCAACGUAGUAAAUUUAGAAUCAAAAAAUGGUAGGCGUUUGUGCUUAGAAAUUUGACAAGAACUGCAAACAUUAUUCAAACGACUAGUCUUAUUACAUGGAAUGGAAGUAUUAAAAAGAAGAAGAUCUAAAAUAUUAUCGCCAGGGUGUCCAAGGUGAUUGUGCCAUAAGUCCAAACUGGAAGUUGAAAUCAAAAUUGUUGCUGACUGUGCAAUUGAUGUGACAGGGUAUAGUUCGCCACAACUAUUGUGCCGAGAAAGGAUCCUCCCAGUCGUCAAAUCCUUCACAGAAAAACCGUAUGGAUCAAACUCAACAGAAACAUAAUUAUCAGAUGUGAAUUUUCUAACAGAGAUGAGGUUUUUAAUGAUUUGAGGUGCUAACAGGACAUUUUUCAAAAUGGUCGAGUGAUUAGGAAGAGAAAGAGUGGCAUUAUCGGACCCUUUGAUAGGGAUGCUAUGACCAUGAAUAUGACAUGUUUGUAAUGGAUUGGAAAUUAUACCUUUGUUACUAGUGACGUGCGAAGUUGCCUCGGUGUCCAUGAACCAUUGUGAUUGAUCUGGAGUGUUUAAGGUCAUCGUGUGCAGAGCUUCUCCAAGAGUUGUGGGGUCCAGCGAGUUUGUUUCAGCCAGAUGGGCUGAUUGUUGUUUGGCUUGGCUUGGCUGAUGAGCUGAAUGAUCAGGUCUAUACUGCUGCUGAUAUGGGUGUCUGUAAUUCCAUGGGUAGGCCCAACCUUGUUGAGCAGGAAAAGGACAUGGUGGUGGAGCGUAUGCAGCCCAAUACGGGUAUGGAGCAUUACCCAGAGGUACACCUGGAUUCUUGAUGUUGUGAUUACUAGAAUGAGCACCGCAACCACGAGUGUUAUUUCUGCCACGACCACGAUUACCUGUGUUGAUAGGGCGGCGAUUCUGGUUUGAUCGGGGUCGACGAUUCUGGUGUGGAGGAGUUGGUUCAUCAGCUAUGUCGAUGUGUGUAGCAACAAGGGCUCCACCGAAAGAGUUUCCGGUUGUGUUAUUGCUCUCAGGACUGGAUUGGCGAUGUUGUUCAAGUUGAAGCAUGCUACAUGUUGUGUCCCAUGUUGGGAGGCUUUGGUUGAUAAAAGAAGCCACAUUAUCAAAUUCAGAGGGUAAGCCAUGUACCAGUUGAAGUACAAGACAAUUUUCUGUUACCGGGCUUUCAACAUCGUCGAGUUGUGUAGCCAAAUCCUUGAGGCGUUGACAUUAUUCUUCCAAUGAUGACAUGGCUGAGAGUUUGAGGUUGUUGAACUCAUGUUCCACAGUUGCUUGAAACAUCCCGAAAAUACAACCCAAAAAAAUUGUUUUAAACAUUACUAAAACCAUGAAAUUAAUCACCAUAUAAUAAAAACCACAAUCGCAUGUCUCAAAUGUAAAAGCGAAUGUAUCAAAUCACUGAUGCCAAAACAUAUCAAAACAUCCGAAUAAAAACUCCCAGGAUAAACUGAAGUUGUGGUGCGUGCCAUGCCAUCAUCCCGAGCUCUUCCCCUUACUUGCGGAAGUACCUGAAACCAAAAAUUUAAAGUGUAAGCACAAAGCGUAGUGAGCUUCCCCCAACUACCACAUACCAUACAAUAAUACAAAUAACACAUAUUGGGCCCCGCCCACUGCAUUAGGCCCCGCCCGGCAUCAGACCAUAGUCUGGAAUAGCUUUGGCCCCGCCCGGCAUCGAACCGAAGUCCGGAAUAACUUGGGCCCCGCCCACUGCAUCGAGCCCCGCCCGACAUCGGACCGAAGUCCAGAAUAACUUAGGUAUAACAUAUCAUAAACAUAUAGCAUAAUCACAUACUGUAUCGGGCUUGCCCGACAAAACAUGCAUGAGUCACGAAGACAUCAAGCAUACAUUCUACUGCUAUCUAAACCGGCCGGCAUCGUGGCCAUAGAUCCGUUCCUACUGGAAGAGAACUCACCUCGUAACGCUAGCUGCUGAGAUGCUAAAUUUGAAACUGCCUGACUGCUGCUCCGAAACUCCCCAGCUACAAAUUCCAUAGACACUAAAUCAGAUACUGAUAACUGUUCUCAUGGUAAAAUGACUAAUUUACCCCUGGUCAAAGUCAACCUUCUGGUCAAAGUCAACAGUUGACUGGACUCGCCGAGUUGGGCUGCCAACUCGCCGAGUCCCUAACACCUUUUCUAAUCCUCUACUUGCUUCAACUCGACGGGUUCUUCUUCCAAAUUAACGUCGAAUCUAACUUCAUCCAACUUGCCGAGUUGUAUGAACAACUCGUCGAGUUCUUCUUCAUCAUAUGAACACGUCCAGACUAUGACUCGUCGGGUUGUAUGAACAACUCAUCAAGUCUGUUCUUAAGGCAAUAAGAUUGCCUUGGACUCGCCGAGUCACGGCGUGGACUCACCGAGUCUCCUGCAUGUCACUUCUAUACAGUCGAUUCUAGUCGGUCUCAGUGCAUCCAAUUCAUAGAUCUGGGCUUCUAGGGCUGGUUUUGCAUGUAAAGUUUCCAACUUUACAUGCAUGCACACGAGAAUGGGGCUAAGACACCAAAAUCAUCCGACACUAAGCACUUAGGGUUUGGAACAAGGCUAUAUUUGCAUAAAGUUAGUUAUAUUGAGUUCCUAGAGCUCAAUAACAUCCAGAUCUAUGGUCUCCAUCCUAAGGAGAGCUCAAAUCUCGAGUUUGAAUCAUAUAAAGCUCCAAAAGAGACAUGAACAAGCAUAAGAGAGGGUUUAAUGGAAUAAUAAGCAAGGUAAUAACUUUAUUACCAGAAUAUGAAGCAGAUGGAAGUUAUAUUCUGGAUCUCCUUUCUCUUCUAUUGAUCUUCUUUUCCUUUCUUCUCUUCUACAACUCCCAAGCUAUCACAAAACACUCAAGCUUAACAAUGGGGUUUAGGGUUUUCCAAAGAAAUGCUCUAAAGGUGUUGGGAGGCUGGGGUGGGAGGCUAUAAUGACAUUUAAAUAGGGUACAAACCUAAAUCCAGACUAGAGGACUCACCGAGUUCGGGAUACAAACUCUUCGAGUCGCCUACUAAAGACGCGUGAAAUUCCCGUCUCUACUCGACGAGUCGGGAUACUAACUCGUCGAGUUCCUCUUAAGGAAGGAAAAAUACUAUAUUUAAAUUACAUACUAGAAAUGGGGCGUUACACUGCUGCACGAGAUCCCUUAUUGUUAAGGAAGAUUGAUGAUAGUUUCUUCCAUGCUUCAUAUGAUGUGGUGCCAGGUUCAAUAUACGAACUAGAAGAUUAUCAGAAAGUGUACUGUAUAUCCACUGGAGAACUAUAGCAUCGAUUUCAGACCAUGAUUUGUAUGUUGCAUCAUUGACUUUAGGAGCUGCAGUUCCAUCAAUGUGAUGCAGAACUUUGUAUCCUUUUGCAUGAAGCUUGAAUAACUUCACCCAACAAGAAUAGGUAACCUUGAUGCCAUCAAGUAUACGGACCUUAUGUUGGAUAUUGGUGACAAUGUACACCGGGUGAAGUGUUGGCUUUGUGCUGCUUUCUGGUUGUUUAGUGUUUGGCAUAUCUGUCGUGACAGAGGAUGCGGCUGGUAGUGAUUUUUAGAGUUUUGAGCCUUAGCUCUGAUACCAUAAAGGUUUAUAAUAAUCCCAUGCUGAACUCGUUUAUUGAAACAUGUAUAUAUACAAAUACAAGAACUGAAUCCUUAUAAUAAGGAAAGAAUCAAAUACAAUAAUCUAAAUAUAUACACUAUAUUAUUUUAUUGACUAAUAGAAUGCACUCUACGUGUACGAUGAAAUGUUUAGUUUGGGAUGUAUUUUCAAGCUCUAUUGAACAAUUUUCUGAUUUUUAAUUAUUUCUUUAGAAGAUGAUGAACUUGAGCAUAAUUGGAUUUUUAGUGUUGAUCAGUUUGGACCUGUUAUGAGGGGUAGGUAUAAACACUUUUUACUUAUGCUAUUUAGUAAUUAGUUUAUAGUUUAUACUAUCUAGUAUCAUUAAUUUUCAUCUUAUGUAUAGACGGAGUUGAUCGGGUAUAUCGUUACAUUUGGACUUUUACACUACACCACAACUUUUCCAAUACAACUUAAUUUGCUUUCCAUGUACUAUAACUAUAUUCUGGAGAAGUAUUGUUUUGAUGCCUAGGAAUAUGAUUUUUUUCAUUUGUCUAUUAGGAUUCCAUUUGGCAUAGGAACCAUAUGUUUAUAAGAAAAGAGAGUGAAUAACAUUUUUAACCAUAUGGUUUAACAUGUUUAAGUCACAUACAUUGAUUGCACAUGUAAGUCAAUUUAUGCAACAAAGUAGUUUUUUAGACAGAAUAUGCAUUAUUCAACUAUGUUCCAUUUUUUUAUCAAUUCCUACAACAAUGUUUCGCUUUCAUUACAAAUUUAUGCAACUGACAUAAAGUAUGCAACAUUGAUCAUUACGCAACUUCAAAUAAAUGACCAAAGGUUUGAAGAUGCUGAAGAAAUGGAAAGCAACAACAACAAUUGUGGUUGACAAUGAUCAUAUUCAUGUUACGUACUUAAAAUCAACUUGACAGGUAAUGUCUUUUAAUCCAACUAAGCCAGCCACCACAAAUUCCAUGUCAUCAUAUGGUACAACAGUAUGUCAACAAAAACAUGCACAAAGUGAUCAAUUAAACAAUGAAUGAAUAUAUAAUGUUUCUUUUCGUCAAAUAAUUUCUACUUUCGUGGCUUUUUCAAAAUUGAUGCAUCAAAAAUCAGAUGAUAUGCAUACAUGUUCUGUUUCUCAAAUAGGUUUCGAAUAAUCAAUAGAUGGCACAUAGUCAUGGGCAUAAUUGUCACUUAUUUGGGUUUUGUGAACAAUUGUUAACUCAAAAUUAUCAUGAGAUAGAUUCAUUGAAGGUGGCAAUCACUACUACAAAAAAGAGCCUUAUCGACGGCCAAAACCGUCGGUAAUCCGUCGCUAAUGCUCUUUACCGCCGGAAUUGUAACACACCAAAAUCCGUCGGUAUAUUCUUGUCGCUAAUUGUUUGUAACGGAUUUCCGACGGCUAUGGCUAAUUUUUAGUGACGGAUUUUUCCGUCGGAAAUAGUAACGAAUCACCAACAGAAUAUAUUUUGCAACGACGGAACUUGUUUGCAACGGAUUACUGACGAAAAAAUUUAUUAACGGAUUGCCAACAGAAUCUAAAAUAACUUACUAACAGGUUACGACGAAAUUUGGAAUAACUUUCCAACAGAUUACCGACGGAAUCUCGAAAUGACUACAAUUUUUUUUGUAACAGAUUAGCGACGGAUUUUGGCAUUAUAAAAAAAUUUACAAAUUAAUGAAGAAAUUAAAAACUAAAAAUAAUUACAUAUUCAACACAAAGUUUUUAAACAUAUAUUAUAUCUACAUUUUAAAACCAACAAAUAUAAAAGUAAAUCCAUAAAUUUCAAUCAUUUGACAUGCAUAAAAUCUAUUAAUUUCAAUCCAUAUUGUCAAAUAUUGUCAAAAACCAACAGAGCAUUCCUUCUUGAUUAGCUUAUGGAUUCCACACUUAUCAUUAAGAGUUGUUAGCUAGUGAGAUAUUUAUAUAUUGUCAAAUACAAUAAAUGCCCUCAAAUAUUACCUUUUAUCUUCCGGUGAAUUGCUUCAUAAGAUCAUUCAUUUUUCCAAGAAGACGGCUUUCCAUGUCCUCUCGUAAUUUCACCUCACUAUCAAAAUUGGCUUCUAUUUCCUCCCGUUUCUUCACUUCUCGUUCCAACAUGCUCUCUAAUUCAUUUAUCUGUAAUAUGGUCCAACACACAUAUAAUUAGUAUAAAAUAGAGAAGGAAAUAGCAACAUACUUUACUAUUUUUAUCAUAAUAUAGACACAUACCUUCUUUUGAGAUAAGGCAUAAUCAUGGGAUGAUGAGUCACACUUGUAAGGUGACCUCAGCAUUCUCAUGGUUCAUCAGCUUCAUCACUCUCUCUUUUGCUUUCAGAUCAGUCACAAUCCCACAUCCAGCUGGAUGGUACUGAAUAAAUUGCGACAGGUCAUAGCACGCAACCGCAAGCGGCCGUGGGUCCCCGGAAGUUUCCAGAAUAGCCAGCAGCACAUAAAGUGUCUAUAUAGUAGAUAAAAAAACGAUACGUUAAUUAAAUUAUCCAAAAAUAAUAAUUGAAAAAGAUUAAAUAAAUAAAAAACUUGGAAAUCAUUUUCUUCAAAGUUUGUGAUAUUGUCAUGCCAGAAAAUAGGAUCUUUGUUUGUGCAUUGGAGACCAGUCAAGGAGACCCAGAAGGACUUCUUGUUUGUACUUAUCAAAAGAACUUAAUUUCUUUAUGUUGUCUUUCAGACCUUCUUCCAGAUUAUUUAAAGCCUCCAACAGAUCCUACGAUUAUAAUAAUCAUUCAAAAGUAGUUAUUAUUCCACCGUUUUGGUUCUUCAAGUUUCAAUGUUAUGAAUUUUUAGUUAUAUCAAUUAAAUUUCUGACCUCAUCACUCCAUGCUUGAGCUUUCAAGCUUUGAACAAUUUGUGGAAGUCCAAGAUCCACCAUUUGAGCUCCAAAGCUUCCUUUUCACAGCAAGUUCUUGAAAGUCAACACUAUCAACCUCACAACCUGAGAAUUUAAUAAUUAAUUAAUUAAUUAGGAUUCCAAAUAAAAUAUAUAUGGAAGGGUAAAGUUAAGGGGUAGUAGAACCUUUUCUUUGGUUGAACCUUUGACCAAUUCCAACAAUCUUGGAAGGGCUCUAGAUGUAGCCAAGUAUUCAAUUGUAGGCUCAUAGUAUGACAGAAGCCAAACACACAGGCAUGUUUCAUACAGAAGCUGUUUGUUUAAUCACAAAACACAAGUCAGUAAUUGGAAUUCAUGAUUCCAUUCCAUUCUUUUUUAUUAAUAAUACCCAAUGGAAUUGGAAUUCAAGAUUCCAUUCUAUAUGGACCCAAUUGCAUGGUUAUUAAAUUUCGCUAUUAUGAAGAAUGGUGGAAGGAGUUCGAUUUCGUUCUUUGUUUUUUAUUAAAAGACCAAAAUACCCUUGUAGGUUACCCGAAUUGACUGUUGAGUGGAUGCUGGAGAAAUUAGUGGCACAAGAAGUUUGACUCCAUCUGCUUGAACAAAUGAAGACCUAACAACAGGCUCCUUCAACAAAGUUGCUAAGCAGUUGACUGAAGCUGGAAUUCUACGUGUAGGAUGUGAAGGCUUCUUCAGAUGUAAAAGUAAUCCAGAACUAUUUCAAUUUGUUUUAAGUGUUUUUCUACUUAUAGACAUUAUAAUAUAGUUCAUAACAAACCUCAAUACAAAGCCAUUCCUCCAAUCCUUUCAAAACAUCAUCACUUGCAGUGAUUUUCUUCUUUGAGUCCAUGGCUUUUCCAUUUGAAAAUAGAAAUUAAUAUGAAUUAAAAGAAUAACAUUUAAUAAAAGAAACCCUUUUGUAAUUUGUAUUGUGAGUGUUUGUUUAGAUACCUCACUAUAGAAGUGAGUAUCUUGGAGCUCUUCUCUUGUAUAAACCAGCUACCUUUCCAUAACAAUCUGUAGUGCAGACAUAGCUAAAGUGACCAUGAAAAAGCUAACUCAAGGAAUGGCUCAGCAAAACAAGACAAUGGCGACUGCCAUAUCUGAUGAGGAAAAGGCUAUUGUUGUGAGUUUAUUUUAUUUUAUUUUAAAUAUUAUUAUUAUUAUUACUUUCUUGUCUGAAUUUCAAGCCUUAUUUUGAUCUGUAGAAAACCCAAAAGCAGAGUGCCACAACAGGUUUACGUACAUGCAACAACAUUUUGGCAAUGACACAGGUAACUUGAUAAAAAUACCUAAUUAUAGCAUUGUACUUUUGAUUUUUCUUCUAUUAAAAAGCACAAUGCUGGAAUUGGAACAAAAAUCAGUAAAAGUUAGUAUUUUGACUCUCUAUUAUUUUUUAAUAAUAUAUUAUAAACAUAUCUUGUGAUAUUUUUAAUAAUAUUUUGGUUUUGUAACUCCAGCCACUCCAUGCAAAGUCACCAUCAUUUAUUGGAGAUAAAAGAAUUAACUUAUCCUGGAAAGAAGCUGUCAAAACUGCAGCACCAUCAAAUAAUGCAACUGGGUAUGUUUCUUAAUAACUCUUCAUUUUAAAAUUACCUAUUUCUCCUUUCUUGACAGAAUUGUAAUUUGAGAUUCCGUUCCAUUGUUUUGUUUGAUUGCCAAAUGGAUGGAAUUCAAUUCCGUCAAAAUCCUUCCAUUCCUAAUGGAGGAUGGAAGGAAUUCAAUUUUACCUUCUAUUUCUCUAUUAAAAGACCAAAUUACCCUCAUUAUAUAUAUAUAUAUAUAUAUACUAAAAGACUAAAUUACCCUCAGAGUGAAAUGCCCUGCUAAUAGGACAAACGGUUCCCGAAACUAUACAAACAAACGGGGUCGUGGAGGUGGUGGCGGAGGUGGCGGAAACCAGCUAGUUAACAGGGCAUUUGACGGUAUUUCUUACGGUGGAAGAGGUGGUUGUGGUGGUAGGGGCGGCCAUGAGCAGGGAUGGGGUAGACGUGGUGGUGGUGGUCGGGGAAGAGGAAGGGGGUAUUAUUAGCUUUUUUUUACUGGAAUUCAACUGCUAGCUAACUCCAGGAAGGAAACAGAUGAAAAAGAAAAACAAACAAAAGGUGCUCGGAAAUGUAUACAACAUAUGCCCCAAUAGCAGAAUACCAGUAGUUAUUACUUAUUAGUUAAUCUUAAUAUUUUACAUUUCUUUUCUUUUGUAUCAACUCUCCUAGUUAUAUUUUCUUUUAAUGGAGGGUGAUGAUGCACUCUUAGCAGACAUGGAUGUAAAAGUCGAACGAACAAGAGAUGAAUGGAUGAUAACACUACCUCCCGAAAGAAAAGUAACCCUUCUUUUUAUUAUUAUUAAUUAAUAACCGCUUUCUUUAUAUUUUUUUCUACUUAUUGUUUUUUUUCUGUUUUAUCCUCCUCAGACUGGUGUGGCAACACAGCAAUCAACAAAACAGCAGGACUUCUAAAGAGGGACGUGGUGACACAAGUGCAUGGACAGAUACCCCUUCAGACAGAGCCCAGAAAGCAAAAAUGAAGUAUGUUUCUUGAUUGUUGCAGAUGCUUUACUUUCCAAUAUUUCUUUCAAAAAAAGAUUCUAAAGUCAUGAGCAUACCCUCUUAAUUUGGAGGAAAUCAUGAGUGGUGUAGAGGGUAAUUUUGGAAAAACAAAUAUAAGAUUGUCAUUUAAUGUUAAGGACAUCUAUUUUCCAACUUAAUUUCUUAAGAUAACAUGAAGGAAAAAAGAAACAAUCUUAUCUUAUCUUAUCUAAUAAAAGAAUAAAAGAGUAAUUUCUGGGUGUCGAUGUUCUUGAGGGCAUUGCUAAGGUAAUUUUUGUUGCUAUAAUUGAGUAGAUAUUUCAAAGUAGAAAAGCAAUUGAAAGUACAUAUACUUAUACAUUUCAUUAAAAUUUAAAAAAAAAAAAAAAAAAAAAAAAGUUGAGAAUUUAAUAAGUUAUGGAGAGAAAGUUUGAGCCAAAGAAACAGAGACUAUCUUUAUAUAAACAACACUUUAUCCAGACAGACAUCUUUACUCGUUCCACCUGUAUAGAACUUAAUGGGGGAAAAAGAAAUAGACCCUAAUACUUGAAUUCAAUAAUUCGCAAACAGAUCCUAUCAUAUCUGGUAGUGGUGGCUCACUCGGGCUUUCUGAAGGUAUGCAGGGGUAUUUUGGGAACCCUGGUUCGAUUCCAGCUAUGGACAUUGCCAAAUUGAUGCAGCUUGAAAGGCAAAAAUCUAUGUCUAGUCCUAUAUUGUAUUGUUAAUAUGUUAAGUAAAAAAUGGUUGCUUUAAGAGUUCAAACAUCCUAUAUUCUAACAACACUAUGAUUAAGUAACUAUUAUGUGGUAAUAUUAAGAUCAGAUAAACAGUGAUUAAUUAUAACAAGCUUUAAAUAAACAGUUUUAUGAAGAGUAUAAGACUAUUUAUCAACAAAAUCUGAUUGAUAGGUUACCUAAUGCUAAUCGGAGAUAUGAUAAUCCAAUGAAGAAAAAAUAUAAACCUAAAAAUUAAUCGAAGUAAUAGAAAAAAUAAGUUAGGUUUUUUUUUACCAAAACUUGGAGAGACAAAAAGCUGAAAUCGGAUCCAAUUGUAAGGUCCACCAGGUGCAGCUACAACUUCGAUGGUGGUGGUGGCGGCAAUUUUACUCCGUUAAAAGGCGGUGGGUUGCAGGUCAGACCAACAGCUGGAGGGAGAAGGUAUGUUGUGUCGCAGACUUGGAGGAGCCGGACGGCUUUGCUGCCGGCGGUGAUGGCAGAUGCAGUGGCCGUAUGGUUGAAGAUCGGAGAUGAGUGGGAGGAGUUUUUUUGUUCAUGUGAACUGGAAGCAGAAAUGGGGAAGUGAGAGUAGGGCAGCACGUCAUGUUUCAAGUCGGGUCGUACAUCGGUGGAUUUAAGUUGUAUUUUAGGAGUAUGGUUAGAUUUGUUGUUUAAAAAAAAAAAUGACCGAAUAUUCUUCCAGUUUCACAAGUAAAUCACUGAUGCCGUGGAUUAAUGUAGUCCACAUGGCUUUUUUAUUAGUUUUUUAUUUCUUUUUCCCACAACAAAUAAAAAUAAAAUGAUACUUUGUAUUUUAUUAGAUAAAGCAUCUAAUGGUUUCGAGCCAAUGUUUUAAAAACCGGUUUUUUAGUUGAACUCGUAUGGUGGGCGGUUCAUAGUUCAACCGUCGGGUCAACCGGUUUCUAUAAUUUUCAUAUUUUUUUCCUAUUUUCCUAUACUUGCAUAUAUAUACAAAUUAUGAAUUUGACGUUUACAAGUUCAAACAUUAAAAAAAUAUAUAUAAAAUUAUAAAUAAGUUGUAGAUCACUCAUAAUACAUUAAAAUAACACAUAACCAUAAGUUUUAGUACUUUACAUUAAUUCAUAUACGUUAAAAAGAAAAUAAAAUAUAAUAUCGAAACAAAAUAUAGUUUUAGAUUAAUACAAACACAUCAAAAAAGUUAUAUAACAUUUACCCUACGUUUUUAUUUAGAGAAAACUAUAUAGAUUUGAAAAAAUUCACAAAAUUUUAUUAUGCAGAUGAUUCUUUUCUAUGUGUUUUUAUUUGGUUUCACCGGUCCAACCGGAUUUUUUUAAAAACCGGCCGAUUCAAUCCGGUUCGGAAAUCGACGUAAAACCGGUGAUAAUUGAAUCGCUCCCUCCCCCGAAUCCCAGUCCAACCCGUUCGACCGGCCGGUUUAAACCGGUUUUUAAACAGCUCUCAUCAGCAAAGGGCUCUAAUUCCAAAAGAAAUAAAAUUGGGGUUCAAGCUUCCAGAGGCAAGAAUGUUCUUCAUUUAUUCCUGGAGGUGGGAUCAUCAAAGGCGAUUGGAAGCUUCUGGGAACAAACAAUAACGGUCUGGACAUUUGGUAGUUAGUGGCUAAUUUGAAGACCAAAAUGGUGGAUUUGAAGCUGCUGGACAAAAACUAGAAUCAAUUUGAAUAGAAUAUUGUAUGUUCUUUUCUAGGUUAAUGUUCUUAAUGUUAGAUGUGCUUGAAUCAAGUAAAUGAUUGUGGGAUCGAGCCAUAAAUCGAUUUCAAAUGUUAUUCAAUAGUUCAUGUUUUUAAUUUCUUUUUAUAACCAAAUGUUCUUCGAUGUGUUCCAGAUCUGAAAAUGAUAAUGUAUGGUACCUUCAUCUUCAUCAUUCUUUUCCUCCCUUCAUAUAUGGAAACGAUAAUGAACUAGGAAUUAAACACAUCUUCACCAAUACCCAAACAACAAAUCUAAGAAUAAAAAAAAUGAAUCUUGAAAUCUAGAUCUUUAUGUCUGUGAGUUUAUUAUUAUUUUUUCUGGGUUUCUAAGAUGACGAAACACACGAACAUUAUUUCGAUUUUCUGGAUUUGUUAUCAUUUCGAUUUUCCACUUUUGUUUUCGAUAUCGAUUUUUCCAUAUUUAUUUUUGCGUAUUUGGGGUUCAAUUUCAAAUUUCAAGAUUUACUUUUUAGUAGUUGGGGUUCAAUUAAGAUUCUCCUGAUGUGUUUUUUUGAGUGUUUGGGGUCCCAUUUUGAUUUUCUAGAUCCGUGUUUGUGUUCCAGAUUUUGGCUAGAUUUUUGUUUGACUUUCAUCUUUAUAAGGAACACAUAUUUGAUAGUUCCAAUUCUUGAUUUUUUUUCUUGGUGGUUUACUUGGUGAUUGUUAGUGAUUUGUGGUCGAUGUUGAAGGAUGAUGGUGAUAAUUGAGUGUGCUUCAAAGAACAAGAAGACGUCUACAAUAUAAUAUGAAAAAUUGUUAAAUUUAUAAAAAAUUGUAUUAAUGGUGUUUUUCAAAUCUUGGUUGUUCAUAGUGGUUGUUGAUGGGUGGGUGAUGGAUGGUGUUGGUGGCUGAUGGUGGUGCAUGAUGGGAGUUGAUCAUGCUGUUAGGUGGUGUUGUUGAAUGUGCUUCAUUCGAUUAAGAACUGGUUAGACGUUCUUCAAAUCUUUCAUAACUUUUAUGUUUAAUAAAAUCCAAUAAUAAUAAUAAUAAUACUAAAAAUAUGUAAUAAUCAAAAAAGGCGACGUGGACGCCAUGUUGUAACAUCCGAAAAAUACACCCAAUUUAAAUUUUUUCAAAACAACCCGAUUUUCAUUAAAAUGUUUACAAAAAGGUUUUCAAUACAAAUCAUUAGAGUAUUCCCAGAAUCACAUUGCUACAAAAUCAUGAGGAGCGGUACGAUCGCGCCUUCGCCUUGUCACAGUCUCCUGAAGAACCUGAAAAACAUUAAACCACAACUGUAAGCCCGAAAGCUUAGUGAGAUACCCCCAAAAUACCAACCACGUAUACGCCCUUCCAGGCUGUGACCUUCCGGUCCAAAACAUAUAAAACAUACAUAACAGAACAGAACAUAGAACAUCCAUGCAUAUCGGGUCCACUGCGUGACUGGUCCGCCGUAUCGGGCCUUCAGUCCAUCGGAUCCAUCCUCUAGGUCUAGUCAUAUCCUUCGAGUCUACUGUGGGGUUGGUCCGCCCGCAUCGGGCCUUCAACCCACCUGGUCCACUCUCUGAGUCUACAGUGUGACUGGUCCGCCCGCAUCGGGCCUUCAGUCGGCCUGGUCCACUCUCCGAGCCUCGGCACGUCUGGUCCGCCCUCGUGGGGCCUACAGCCUAUCCGGACCGCUCGCUGGGCCUUCGGAACAACCGGUCCGCCCUGGGUAUCUUGGCCUACAGCACAAAGCAGGACCCGCCUCAACCCAUCUCCAGUCCAAACAACCAUGUGCACAAAACAUACAUUCAUAUAACAGUCAUAGUCAACAAACCGAGCAAGCAGAUCACAUAGCAUAUCAUUACCCUAACCGGGUUACCGACCUAACCGGUCACUAGCAUAGCAUCACUCUGUUUAUCGGGAAAACUGACCUUAGCAAGGCCUCCAAGCAUGUACCAUCCUAGCUACCAGGAUGCAGACACAUCAAACAAUAACAUAAUAACCAUAACCGAAUCUCAAUACAAUAAAGGGCCGGCCUUGGUGCCUUAGACCCUGUUGAUAUAGUGAGGAUAACUCACCUCGAAACUGUCGACUGAAAAGAUAAGAUCCCGCUGCUCCGAACUCUGACACGAACUCCUCCACUGAACAUCAAAACAUACAACUCAAUAAAUACCCUUAAUUACCAAAAUACCCCUGGAAGACAACUGGUCAACCUUGGACAAGUCAAAGUGAACCCCUGACUGACCCUACUCGCCGAGUCAACCCGAUGACUCGCCGAGUCCAUAUGCUCAGAACUUCCUUCAAUCAGCGACCCAACUCGCCGAGUCACCCCAAGACUCGUCGAGUCCAACAACUCUGAGUCCACUCGCACCCAACUCACCGAGUCAUCCCUUGACUCACCGAUUCAUCGACUCAACCAGAAAUAUUGGGACUUCCUCGACAAGACUCGUCGAGUCCAAAUGGACUCGUCGAGUCCAAGGCCAUCUUCAACCUACUCGCCGAGUUGUUCUUCCAACCCGUCGAGUUCCAGGCCAUCUUCAAGCAACUCGUCGAGUCCACCCAUGUGACUCGUCGAGUACCACCGGUCUGAAUCCAUACAGAAGCAUCUCAGGCCAUGCAAUUGAUCCAAAACAUAGAUCCAACCUCCUACAAUCCAUCCAUCACGUAAAGUGGCAAACUUUACGUGAAUCUAACGAGAUCUAAGCCAUAUUCACCUUAAAACUAAGGUUUGGGACAUGGUAGCUUCAUUAACAACACAAGAACAGGGGCUUAAUGCUCUUAAGGUCUUCUCUACUCCAGAUCUGAGGUAGCAACCUCAGAUCCAUCCUCCAACAUCAAAAUGUCACACAACCAAGCACCCCACACAACCCUAAAAUGAGAAACUAGGAAGAUACAGCCCAAGAACGAAAAUGUUACCUCCAAAAGGUGCCUCAAUAGCAACCAAACUCGAAUCCAAGCAAAGCCCUUUGAUCCAAGCCACUUCUCCUUCAAGAUCUCUUCAAACAACACCUCUCCAAGCUCUAAUUUGCUCCACAAAUGAACUCUCUACGAAUUUAGGGUUUCUGGAACUCAAGGGGGGAAUAAGGGAGGCUGUGGAGGGGUAGAAUGCUCUUUAUAUAGGGCUCAACCCCGAAAAUUAGGGUUUUCUCCAUACAGCACCUACUCGCCGAGUCCAUCCUUGGGACUCGCCGAGUAGGCCACUUGACACGCGACCAUGACCACGACCUGACUCGCCGAGUCUAUCCAUGGACUCGCCGAGUCAUCCUCUAAAACUUACACUUUUAGCCCUUCAACUCUACUCUUGCGAUUCUGGGAUGUUACACAUGUCGUCCACGUCAAAGCCAUGUGGGUGACUUAUCCAAAUAAAAUUGUCAUAUGACAUGUCAUGUAAGUCUUGCAACCGGUUCUUCCCUUACCCCUUCCAAUAGUGGCUUAUUUGAUAUGAAAAAUGACACUUUAUGCCUCUAGACUACCAAAAAAUAAUAUUAAGGACCUUUUAAACUAAAAACCAAAAGUUGGUAAGACAAGAGUGACAUUAACCCCUUUUAGUUGCAGUCACAUAUUUACUAAAUUGCCCUCAAUAUUUAAAAAAGAAAAAAAGAAAAUCGAAUUUCACUAUCAGACGGAAUUUCAAAUUUGUUGAUUUCCGUCGGCAUACUGUAACGGAUUACCGACCAAUUUUAUUCCAUUGCUAAACCGUCGUAAAAACAUCGCUAAUAUCCAAAUAAUUUGUUUGUCGUCUCUUUUUCCGACGAAUUUUUUCCGUCGCUAUUGCUCUGUUUUCUAGUAGUGGAUGAAAACCUGCACUGAACAUAAGAUAUCGGUAACCAAAUUUUAUUCUUUUUAUUUCAGAGAUACAAAAACAAAGCUUUUAUAUGGGUGACACCAACACACUCAACUUACAAGAGAGAAAUGGAGUCGAUUUCAAUACUUGAUAUGCAUCAAUAAGGCUUUGGCCAAAAUGGCACAUAAGACAUACAAUUUCUGAUUAACAUUUUGGUAGAUUUCAGGCUUAUAACUCUGUCUAACCUUCUGCCAAUGCCAUAGAAUAGAAGUCAUUCUCAUACAAGAUGUACUCUACAUGGCCAAAGGCUACCUACCAGCCUUAUCUAACCUUCUGCUAAUGCCAUAUAAUAGAAGUCAUUCUCUUACGAGACAUGCUCUACAUGGCCAAAUGCUACAUACCAGUACCAUCGUGAAUCUAAGGCCUUUCACUGAUCACAUGGUCAAAGGUACAACUUUGCUACAAAUAUAACAUGAAAUAACAACACGAGAUAAUAGCAUGGAAAAAGUACAUAGCAUACAAUUGUUCCUAUAUAUUGAACUCACCUUGAAAUAACCGGGGGUUAAAAUAGUAAUUUUGUGCAGCACUUCAUUACUAUAAAUAAUUUUGUUCUAUAAAAAGCUUUCUUGAAAACCGGGUCUUGCGAAGGUAGAGCUUCAAACUGAAAAGAUAAAUUUCUCGGGGUCUCCGGGUACUUCGGGAUGUGUUUUGGGUGCUGAAAUUGAUUCCGGGGCUUCAGGGGAUGUCAAAAUAGCUAAAAUAUUGAUUUAGGGGUUAAAAAUGGAAAUUUCUCUAAACUACCUGGGAAGGCUCGCAGCCUUCCUAUUUAUAGGGCGAGAUAGCGAGGGUCGGCCGAAGAGGACACGUGGCUGCUGGAGCGAAGGCCACAAAGCGAGAGGAGCUGGCGCGCAUGCGAGACUCGGACGCGACAUGGGGAGAGGCGCGUCGGAUGGGAUAGGCUUCGGCUUCGGUCCAAUGAGAAAGCCACACACAUCGAACAUUCGGACACACAUCGCAUCGGGUGACUAAGAUGCUUCGGACACGGGGCGCGAUCCGGGUGAGGCGGUUACUAUUCACGCGGGAUUUCCCAAUAUUAUCCACUAUUUCUCCGUUUUUGAGCCCCAAACUUCUAAAAUCCAUAACUUUCGCAUACGAGCUCUGUUUUUGACGUUCUUUUAUUCACGCGUAGGUAAAAUUAGGCUCUACAACUUUCGUUUAGACUUCGUCGGCUAAUUUUGAAGUUAUUUAUAAUAUUAUUGUUUUUAACAGACGGGGACAGGAAAAUCCGUUAAAAAUUGUUAACUUCUUCAUCCGACGUCCGUUUUUGUCAAAAAAUUUACCGUCGUCCUACUAUUGACGAGACCUUCAAUUCUCGUUUAGGUUGUGUCGGCUAAAUAUCAUUCGAUCUCUAUUUCGAGUUUUUAGCUGUCUAUUGUUAUUCUGAAACUUAGAAAAAUAAUAACUUCCUUAUACGAAGUCAGAUUUAAAAUUUCUUUAUAUGAAAGUUCAUUAUUUUAACGAGUUCUACAACUUUCAUUUAGAUCACUAAGGCUAAAAAGUAGUUUAUUGGAAACUCACUUUUUACGCGACAUAAUGUUGGUUGGUUUUAUCACGGAUCUUCGAUUGGUCAUAACUUCUUCGUUAUAACUCGGAUUUCGACGAGGUUUUCGCAUAAACUUUUCUAACGAGAUUCUCUACAACUUUAAAUAAUGAAAUUUUACUUAUUUCAAAUUUUAUAUUUUCGCUAAAUUUCAUUAUUUGGCUUUUAAUUGGAAUCUCAUAAGACUUCCAAAACUUUCUAAAUGAUUCUAAGCGUAAUUUUACUUCAUUUGUAGUAAAAACCAUCUGUUAGAACUCAACAUUCAAUUUCACAUAAUAUUUCGUAAUAUUAUUCACUUUUAAUAAUUACAUAACAUGAUUUCAAAGCAUGUAUGUUACAUUGACUUUUUCAAAAUAACUUGUAUUCUCAGGGACUCGUUAAACAGAAGAAUCAACAAGAAUAGGGGAUUUUGUUUUGUGUACUGUUAAACAUCAUACAUUGAAUGUUUUGGUCAUGUUAUCUAAAAGAUUGUACUUGAUAUAAACAAUGACAGUUGUAUUAUAUUAUGCAUGGUAAUGAUGAUGUUAUGUUUCAUUUAUAUUCACUGUCAUGAUAUUUCAAGAUGAAGUCACGCACAAGCCCCCGGACGUUUCCGUUGUCUGUUCGGGGGUGUGACAGAUUGGUAUCACAGCAUUGUUUAUAGUGAACUAGCAUAUCUAACCAUACAAUAUAUGCAACUAUAAAUACAAUGAGACUAAACUACUCUAAACAUAAUAAUUAAAAUACAUACUUAUGUGUUCAUUUUAGAGUAAUAACAAAACAAGAACAGUAAAAGUCUUUGGAGGAUUUGAACAUCGCUAUUAAACUCGGGCAGUUAUGUAGUCGUAUUGGGGGUAAAUGUAGCCUGAUCAACUACAUUCAUUCAAAAUACGACCAACAUGUGUUCGGGAGUAAUUGUGAUGGACAAUGAAUAAAAAACUUACCAUCUAAUUAUCCCAAAAGCUCAUAGAACCAAACCUAAACAAAAUUAAAAUACUAUAGGAGUAUUUGGUGUGCUAUUUGUUUCUAGUAUUUAUACCCCCCCCCCCUUUGUGAAAUACACUAUAGACGGACAUCAUUAGCCAAGAGACCCCUAUUUCCCUAGUAAGGGGAAUGCAGGGUGGCUUGACCCAGAAGAAGACUCAAAGGAAGAACCAGAGGAGGAACAUGAAGUAGAACUUACAGAUGAACCCGCCGAGCCAGUAGUUAACCUCGAAGAGGAAGAGCUCGAGGGCGAUGAUGAUGAUGACUCAGAUGCAGAGUCUGAGGUCAUCAAUCCUCCAUAUAGGGCCAGAGUACCGGCUUAUCAUAUGGGCCCCAAUGGCCUCACGCCCCAUGGGCACAUAAUAUUAGAGAUAGAUUCGCCAGCAGGGGAUACGACCGCCCUACGGUAUGACACGAGAUCUUUUCGAUCUUAGUCAUGGAGGACCAGCUGACCGGGCCUCCCAAUCAUGGUCCGGCGCACCCGAGAUAUUGAUAACCAAGCUUAGGACACUUCAGAACAAACGAAACAAAUGCAGACUGCUGUUGAGGGAGAUGAGAGAUAAACACAGAAAGCAAUCGGAGACCUCCAAGCGAGAUAGUCAGUUUGGGAGGCACGACUACGAGACACCGAGUGACAAGUAGCUCGUCUCUGAGGUGUAUCUAUUUCAUCAGCACCACCAUUAGAAUCUUUCCACCACAAUUAGGAUUAGCCUUUUCUUUUCUCCCCCUACUAUCCGAUGACUCUUUUUCAUGUACUAAGAUGGUACUUACCAAUGAAACAAUUAUGUGCUAUCUUUAUUUCAUGUUAUUGCAUAAACUCAAUUAUAUGCGCAACUGAACCCUCGAAACCGCUAGAUACUUAAGGAUCUCGAAACCAAAACAACCCAUAUACUCUAAGGAUAGACGUAACGAUCAUGCCAAAUCUGUGAUUACCUAAUACCGUAAAUACAUCAUAGGGAUGUAGAUGGAAAUAAUGAGAAUCAUACGACAAGACGCGAAAUUUAUAGAGUACAACCAGGAAUGAAGAUCAUUACUUACGAUCUGGCUUAUCAACAUGCAGCAGGAAAAUGUCAUCCCACAAAAAUAACAAGCGCACCCGCGAGACACAGCUCCUUCAAAUGGACUCUGCUACAUUCUAAGUUGUUGUAACAGCAGCAGUAACUGCUGCUAUGGCACAAAUCAACGCAAACAACACCAAUGGAGGUAGAAAUAGCAUCGACAACUCCAGCCGAUGGAACGAGCAUCGAAACCAACAAGUGACAGCUUAUCAAGGCACUCCAAACCCCAAGCUUAAGAGCAGGAAGCAGAAGUCUAGAAGUAAGAGAAAGGGACAGCCCACUCAAGGGUUCUCGAAAAAGCAACAUGUUGUUGCUGUCUAUGCGACCAUGACCCCUACUACAUCAACACCAGCAAGAUCAUAUGAUGGAAGCCUUCCAAAAUGCAACCAGUGCAAUUUCCAUCAUAAGGGAGCCUGCCGGGAGCCACAUUGUAAGAGAUGCAGAAAUCACACCACCAAAUAUUGUAGAACUUAUCUACGACAUAAUCAACAGCCAAACAAAAACAACAACAAUCACAACAGCCUUAACAACAACACCAAUGUUGGGACCAGUCACACCUGCUAUGGGUGUGGGGGAACUGAUCACUUUAGGUGCAAUUACCCCAAGGCUAACAAUCAAGGAGCAGAAGGAUCAGGAAGGGUCCUGACCUUGGUUCAAGACAAAGCAAUCCAAGACCCGACGGUUGUUACCGGUACGUUCCCACUUAACAACCUUUUCUCUUGCAUCUUACUCGAUAGUGGAGCUGAGCGAAGUUUCGUUAGUAACAAAUUCGAGAAAUUACUAAAACAACAACCCCAGAAGCUAAACGAAGCCUUCACGGUGGAGACGACUAAUGGGAAAAACCAAAUCAACCAAGGAUGUUUAUGUAGGUAUACCUUAAUACUAAACAACCAUUCAUUUCAAAUAGAUUUAAUUCCAGUAAAUAUUAGGAGUUUUGAUGUGAUAAUCGGCAUGCUUGGGUUAAGCCCCCACCAUGUUGAUACUAUGUGUCGCGAGAAGGUCGUUUGCCUUCACCUUCCCAAUCACGAAACUCUAAUAAUCUAUGGUGAUAAACAUGGCGCCAAUCCUCGUCUUAUCUCGUGCAUUAAGGCACAUAAGUUCCUGCACAAGAAGAACUAUGUUUUCCCCGCUCACAUUGUGGACAAGGCCAAGGAAGAAAUAAGCAUACAAGAUAUUGCUGUAGCAUGCGAUUUUCCAGAUGUAUUUCCCGAAGAACUUCCGGGAAUACCCGAGAGAGACAGGUCGAAUUUCGAAUCGACCUCAUACCGGGAACCACAUCAAUUGCCAAUUCACCCUACAGGUUAGCUCUCACCGAAAUUCAGAAGUUAUCUAAUCAAACUAAAAGAAUGGUUGAGGAAAGGAUUCAUCGGACCAAGCUUCUCACCCUGGGAAGCUCCGGUCUUGUUCAUCAAGAAGACGGAUCCUUCAGAUUAUGCAUCGAUUUUAGGGAAUUGAAUAAGCUCACUAUCAAAAACCGCCCUCGGAUUGAUGACCUAUUUGGCCAGCUCCAAGGAGCUAGUUAUUUCUCUAAAAUAGAUCUAAGAACCGGUUAUCAUCAACUUCGAGUCCGAGAAGAGGACAUUCCAAAAACUGUUUUUUGAACUCGAUACGACCCUUUCAAAUUUGUUGUGAUACCCUUCGGUCUAACGAAUGCCCCCACAGUAUUCACGGACCCUACGAACUGAGUUUUCCCAACCAUUCCUAGUCAGCCUUUUCAGUUUUUUUCAUUAAUAACAUACUCUUCUGCUCGCGAAGCAAGAACAAAACACUGUCAACACCUACGACUGGCCUUGGAAAGUAUCAAAGCCGGAGAAUAUCGCGGAGGAAGCACUUCGUGGAUCAAGAUAACUGAAUUACUUCAAGAUUUUGACAGUCACUUCAGAAGGCUGUGGGAAUACAACUAGACACGAGCAUUGCUUACCACCCUCAAACCAAUAGCCAAAGCGAACGGGCCAUUCAACCACUCAAAGUCAUGCUCCAAGUUUGGGUGUUUGAAUUCAACAAGUCAUGGGAUACUCAGUUGCCCUUGAUUGAAUUCUCACACCAUAACAGCUAUCGCACGAGCAUCAAGGUUGCUCCUUUCGAGACUCUUUAUGGUCAUAAAUGCAAAUCACUCGCCAGUACUCUUAUGGGACCAGAAAACCAUUCGCGAUACGACAGAGAAGAUAAUCCAAAAUCAGAGCUCGACUUCAAGCAUCACGCGACAGACAGAAGAGUUAUGCUGACAAAUGCCAAAAAACUUUGAAAUUCCAAGUCGGAGGUCGGGUACUAUUGAAAGUCUUUCCUUAGAAAGGAAUGAUUCGCUUUAUGAAAUGGAAAACUGAACCCGCAAUACAUUGGAUCGUUCAAGAUUCUUGCCCGGAUUGGUCCAAUGGCUUAUAGGUUGUAGCUGCUUGUAGAGCUCAGCAACGUACACCCCGUGUUCCAUGUCUUAAAUUUGAAAAAGCACCUAUCAGGCAAAACUCUUAUCAUUCCUUUAGAAGAGAAUCGAAAUAAAUAAGAAUCUCCUGUUCGUCGAAAAACCAGUCGAGGUAUUGGAUAUGGAAGUAAAGCGUACAAAACAAAGCGGCAUUCUGAUUGUGAAGGUUCGAUGGAACGCCAAGCGUAGAUCAGAAUUCACAUGUGAACGCGAAGACCAGAUGAAGCAGAAGUACCCUCACCUAUUCCCUCAUUCAUGAACCUACCUUUCGAAAGAAUUUCGGGACGAAAUUCCCUCUAACGGAGGGAUGAUGUCACAACUAGCAUUUUAACAAGGAAUUCUAUUCUCGUGUAAUCAUUCAACUAUUGUAAAUCAUAUAAUCUAAGUAAAUAUCAUUCAGUGCUCAUUUAAAUGCACCUCUCAUGUUCAUCAAAGAGUCUGAAACCCUAAGAACCUUGGUUUAAGUCCAUAUUGGACUUGGAUUCCCCUAUUGGGCCUAAUGGACCAAUAAACUUCCAAUUCGACUAUUUUGGGCCUAGGAUCCUUAAAUGGGCUCUAAUUGGACCCACUUCCAUAAAACUUAGCAUUUUGGUCCAUUUUGGGUCUAAAAUAAAUUAGUUUUCCUUUAAUGGGCCUUAUUGGGUCAUUAAUGAAUUAAUUUGCCCUAAUGGGCCAUAAACUCCCUUUUUCUUUCAAAAUGGGCCGUGAACCAUCUAAUGAGCCCAAUGGACCGAAAACUUCUCUAUGGGCCUCGUGAUCUCGAUUAAGGAUCAAGAUUGGGUCAAAAUAAUUCAUCUCCCCCUUCUUAAGUUAAUUCUCGGCCCAUGAGUAAAAAAAAGGCUAAUUAAUCCAAACCAUGACACUUCAUUUUUGUUUAAAGGUUAACAAGGCAAAAUGUUCAACAUGUAACUAGGACUUCUCAUGUUUCCAUGCACCCUCUCCUCUUUAUGCUUUGGCCGUGGGCAUGAAACAAACACACACACCUAAUUCAUUUUCAAACACCUCCAAAAAUCUCUUAAGAACUUAUCCUCCUUCCUCUAAAUUUUGAGAUUUUAGGUGUAUCUUCAUGGAGGUUUUCAUCUAGAUCAUCAUCUUUGGUAAGUUAUUGUCAUACUUAAGUCUUUGAUUUUCAUCCUUAAGCUAAGAACACUCCCUUAUAAUGCUUCAUUUCGUGAUCUAACACCCUAGAAGCCAUCUAAGUUCAAGAUCUACUUAAGAAAGUUUGAUAGGAUCAAAAAUCUUCUUCCCCUUCUUCAUCAAAACUGAUCCAUCACCCCAAGGUGAGUUUAUACCCCCUAUUUUUUAUUUUUACUUGGUUUUGGGGGAGAAUACAAGUUGCUUUAUGUAGAUCUAUGUGUAUAUGCAUGAAUAUGUGUGUUUUUCAUGACUUAAUUGUUGAUUAUGUGCUAUUUACUUCAUAAAUCUAAAAAUAUGUUAAGAAUAUUAAGUUUAUCACUUGUAUCUACAUGAAAACCCUGAGAAAAGUAUGUGCUAUCACAUAUAAUACAUGUAAACUAGUAGAUCUGGGAUUUAUACACUCAAAAUAGAAAAAAUGAGUGUUGUGUUCAAAGAUCUAUAAACUAAACUAAAAAAUCAGCCUUGACAGAAAAGUUUUGGUCCAAUCUUGAACUAUUUUGACUAACUUAAUGAUAAUAUUUUUCAAAACUGUUUUACAGGAAAAUUGUUCAGGUUUAUACCUUUAAAAUGACUACUCUCACGUUUUCAUACGAUUUUUCUACAAUUUUGGCGAAUUUUACAAAACUGCCUAUCAUAUUUGAAAUAAUUUCGGAAUAGCUUGUGAAGGUGAGCCAUUUCACACUUGUUAGAGGCCAUCAAAAAUUAUGAGAAAAAAUGUGAACAAAGUGGAUAAAAUUUCCAAACUUCCAGAAUUUAUGGAUCCAAAUUUUGACUUACCAGAAAAAUGUGUAUUUCCACAAAAAUCAAGCCAAAAAUGAUACUUUUGAUAAAAAUGGGUUUAAAAUAUUAUUUUUACCACAAACUAGUCAUAAACACAAGUUUUGAACAAAAUGGGGACUAAAGUGUUAUUUUCACAAAAAUUGGGCCUUAAUUGUGAACUUUUGGCUUAUUGGGCCAAGAACGUCAUUUUUCCAAAAAGUGGGCCUUUUAUGCUAUUUUAGUGAAUACUGGAACCAAAACCAACAAUAAACUAACAAACGGAUUAAUUUUGAUCAUUUUUAGGUUAUUUGGGCCUUAGUGGCUCAUUUAUAUGCUUGAUAGGUUUUGUAUACUAUUUGCGUGCUAUUUGGGACUAUAAAUACCUUACAUGUGAAAUGGGCGUUAGUUGAAGCUGCGUAGACAACUCUUGCAUCUCGGGUGGUGCCAACCGAUAUGGUGCCUUUGCUAUUGGGGCGGUACCCGACACCAAGUCAAUAUGAAACUCCACCUGCCUCUUCGGAGGCACCUCCAGUAGUUCUUCGGGGAAGAUGUCCCGAAAGUCCUGAACAACUGGCACAUUGCCCACAUCCGUCGCGGUCCUUACCCUUAUAUCCGCGUAUAAGCCAGAAAUCCCAUGCAACCUCGCUGAAGAAACCUCCUUGCCCUCGUAGCUGAACAGAGGAUCGGUGCAGCCCGCGCCUCCUCAGUAGUCAGCUGGAACGUAUAAGCCAGAAAUCCCAUGCAACCUCGCGGUCCUUACCCUUGUUCCCGAAUAACCAUGAUAUAAACAUAAGCCAUACAAUUACAAUAAGUAGUGAAGUAAUAGAUACAUACUAGCCACGACGUCUGGUGUAGCCCGCGCCUCCUCAGUAGUCAGCUGGAACGUACGGCUCUUCACUGCCGGGAUAUCCACCUUGGCAGGGCGGCCAUCAGUGAUCCUCAGGGUGGUGGGUGCGGGCGCCGCCACCGCUCCUCCUCCUCCCUGCAACCUAGGGCAUUCGUCCUUUUUAUGGUCUGUCUGAUUGUAGUGGAAACAUAUAAAGCCCUUCUUGGGGCAAUCCUUACUUAUGUGGCCCUAUUGGCCACAAGAGUAACAUCCUGUUGUCCCAGCCGUCCUACACGCCUCGCUAUGGAAUCUCCCACACUUGGCACACUGGCCCCGGCCUUGCUGGCCCUUACCCGAAGAAUCUGAGGUCUUAGGCUUCUUAGCCUGACCCCCCGCCGCCUGUGCCUGAUCAGUCUUCUGCUUCGUGCAGGUAUCCAAAUCUAUUUCCCUAUCGCGGGCCUUCUCCACCAUCUUGUUUAGGGUCUUGUACCCUAUAAAACUCACAAACUCCCAGAUACCGGGUCCGUCUCAUUUCUUCAUCGGUAGCAUACUACGGAAUCAAUAAGGCUCGCUCCCGAAACUUGGCGGUGAUUUCCGCCAUAGUCUCGGUGGUCUGCUGCAAAUCAUGAAACUCCCUUACUAGCCGUUGCACCUCAAUAAGCGGUGCAAACUCCAAAUCAAAUCGUCGAACAAACUCAGCCCAUGACAUCUCAGCCACUCCUGUUGGCCCCACCUGGCUAGUAACCUCGCCCCACCAGUCGUGAGCCCUGUCUCUCAACAUACACGAAGCAAACCCAACCUUUGCCACCUCCGGGCAUGAACUCGUGUGCUGGGCAUUCUCAAUAUCUACCACCCAGCGACGGCUGAAAAUGGGGUCCCUGACCCCAAAAAUUUUGGCGCUCUACACGCCUUGAACUCCCGGAAGGAGGGAGUUUGGGUCUCAAUCUGUCCCGUUGCCAACUCUGUCCUGAAGGAUAUGAGUCUCUCCUCCAUGGUCUCCAUAAUACCCUCUUGACCAUCCCAAAAAUGACCGGGGUUGCGUCAAGGAUGCCCCUGGUAACCUCAGCUGCAAUGAGUUCUCGCAGCCUCUCAUCAAUGACAUCAGUAGUGUCUCUCGAUCUUGCCUCAGAUCCCGAUCCCGAUCCUGACCCUCCUGCUCCAAAUCAUGUCACCACCAUGAUAACUAAAAUUUCAUAAAUAGCAAAGAUCAGGGUUUCCAUAUAAGGGAUAUUCCCACACUGGUCCCCCUUGGGGUUGUCGGAUCCAUCAGUGCUUAGGGUACAUAUCCUGUGCUUCCAGUAACACGGGCCCAAUACUACCUUCCACACCUACCUGUACCUUUCUCCACUGCUCGAUCUAAUAACUCCAAUUCAUCCCAUAAUUAAACCAUACCCCGCAUUUAUGACACAUCACCAUCUCAGACCAUCCUAAAGGUUCCUCUACCCAUAACAAUCACAUCAUCAUAACAGGUUGCUCUUAUGCAUGCAAAUGAUACACAGAUAAUGGAUCAAAUAGACUUUCGAAUAAAAGAUUCUACCCUAAGACCACAACCAAACAAGGAACAGGAAAUAAUGUGACAUCCCCAUUUUCACGGCCUGAAAAGACCGAUUUUGUUUAUGCUUUAUAAAAAUCAUAGUUCUUCUUUUAAAAAUAUUGCGGAAUUUGUUCCCAGAAAAACACGAUAAAUACGUUAUUAAAACAUUUUCGAAGAAACGUAUUUUAUUCAUUUCAAAACGUUUGGGAUGUCAUCGUUAAUACAAAAACAUAAGCAUAAAUAGAACUUGCAUUUAUUUACACUAGUGAUCUACAUCUCUUUAAAUCUCUCAGUGUAAUGUGACUUCAUAUCAACACCUGUGAUAUAAAUAAACUGAGUGGGUCAGGUUGGGAAACCUGGUGAGUACAUAGGGUUUUCAACCCACAAUAAUAUAAUUAUUAUGUUUAAACAAUCAAACAAUCAACCCAAUUACCCAUCCCCAUUAUCUUCUUUACUCAGGUCUCUUAGAGUUAAAUUCUAAAACAGACUAUGCCUUCCUUCAUGUUCUAAUGUGAUAUAAUCACACUUUAACAUGUAGCAUUUCUAGCUACCAACUUCUUUAGUGUCGAGUGCGAUAUUUCUAUUGGUCGCUUUGAUUUUAGUUCUUUGGUUAAAGUUGGACGCUACAUCAAACUUGGUUCUCUGAACCACACAACAUACUCAUCGUAGUCGGACUCGAUUCGAUAUGACCACUAGGGUCGGAAUAUCAACAAUCUUCUUAGUCAUUACCGAAACGAUGGUAACGACACACUUGAAUAAAACGAAAUCAAUUACUAGCUUCUUGGUAACCUUGUGACUUUCCCUGAUCCAAGUGUGAGUCCUGUGCUUCCGGUAGUAUAGGCCUCUACUACCAUUCACACCUACUCAUACUCGUUCCAAGUAUUGUCCCGCAGUUUUUCCAAGUUACCAUACAAGAAAACCACACAACAACUUAACACAUCAGAUAACAAAACAAAGGUUUUAUAUUAUUUCUUGAAACGAUUACAUAGGUGUUCAAGUUCACCCUAGACUAUGCCUCUAAUAGGCUACAUCAUAUGACACUAUCUAUAUGGCUUCUUCAUAACUUGAUCUCUAUAUAUCCAUCCUUACUCCUGAUUCCUUGCAUCGUCAGCUGCUUCGUCAAGGAUCAUUUGAAAUGCUCUUGCCUUUGGUUUUGGCGGCACAUUUGGCUUUGUAGCCCCUUCUCUCUUUGGGCAAUCUUGCUUGAAGUGCCCUUCCUCGUUACAUUCAUAACACACCCUUUUGUUGAAUUUACACUCGUUGGCAUAAUGCCCAUGCUUCCCACACUUGAAACAAGUCACCUCCUCACCGCAUUUUCCAAAGUGUUUCUCUUUGCACUUCUCGCACCAUCUUUCUUCACUCCCUCCUCCUCUAAACUUCCUUGUACUGGACUUGCUUUUCUCAUCGGGCUUCGCAGACCCCUCAAACUUUCUCUUUUCACCAACCUCGAUCUUGUUGGCGGCUCUUCCCUUGAUCAUCUCCUCAACCGACUUGACAGCCCAAAUAGCUGCCUCCAAAGUAGGUGCCUAACGCACUGGCACCACGUACUCCCACGGAAGUCCUUUUGCAUACUUGUCAACUUUCGUCAGCUCAUACGGAACAAGAUGUAAUGAGAACUCCAUCUUCUCUGUGAAGUUGUUGGUGUAUUCAUCAACAAACAUGCUUCCUUUCUUCAAGGUAAGGAAUUGGUUUUCUAGCUCGAGCAGAUUUUGGGACGAGCAGUACCUACGUUUGAAUUGCACCAGAAAUUCUGCCCAUGUCAGUUGCAGGGGCUCAUUGGGGCUCAGAGUCUUCCCCAAGGUAUUCCACCAACGUACAACGCCUCCUCGAAACUGACGCACUGCAAAUGUGGUCUGUUGUUUUCCCUUGCAACCGCACGUCAUGAAAGCUAAUUCCAUCUCCGAGAUCCAAUCCAUGACCCCGAUCGGAUCCUCCUUUCCAGUGAAAUUCGAUGGCUUGCAAGUCAGAAAAUCCUUGUACUUGCAUCCAUUCCUCUCGACUUCGUCAUCGUGGUUGUUUUGUCGAACUAUUAGUGGGUUGACUUGACCAACAGUCCCAUUGUAGUUCUCCUCCUCAGUCUGCCCUUCUUUCAACUCGGGCCGUUCGAUCUGAAUGGUCGCUUCCUCUCGAUUUUUAUGGAACAAACAUCUGGUUUCCUCCAUUUGACGAUCCAACAUCGCCUGGAUCAUUGCUUGCACUCCAGCCAUCGUUAUUGGCUCAGCAGCGCUACCACCACNAACCGGUAUUUGCUCAAUCACUGGGGGCUGGUUUCGGUUCCCAUUUGCAUUCAUGUUUCCGCUACGGGUUCUUACCAUCUUGAUCUAUACACCGAAUAAGGUGAAUCUAGACCUUUACUUAGGAUUGACGGUUAAAUCAUCCUUAUCACUCCAAAACGUUUAUAUGCUAGUUCUAAUAUCAUAGUUAAACGCUUAGAAUCCUAAACACAUAAGGUUUCUAGAUCCGGUCGGCAAUAGACCAUAGAUCCAAAUAAAUAACAGCAUAUCAGGCACAAGCAUUUAUGUGACAACUGUCAAUUCAGGUCAUUCUCGGACUCAUGCAUCUUUAUAAAAACCAUUCAUGCACAACAUGCCAUGACCUAGUAGUAUAAAUUAGGUCAAAAAUCUUGCAUAAACUAGGAUCCAACUAAGGUCUAGGACUAAUAUACUUGAUACUUACAAUUCUAGUAAGUUGCUUAGCUACAAUAGGAAAUGCCAAUACUAUAAUUAGAAUAAAGCUUCAAGCUUUGUUAUAAUUGAAAUGGGGUAUAAAACCCUAAAAAUAAAUUAAAACAUUCUAAUUAGACUUCAACAUGUUGUUGAAUAUCAAACAAUAUUUCAAAAAAAACCCCCUAAAGAGCCAAAAAUCCAAAAUUAUAAAUUUUAAAGCUUAAAAACUUUAUAAAAUUUGGCUAUAAACUUUCUAAUAUCAACUUUUUAUUAAUCAAAUGGUUAAUUAUAAUCAAUGAAAUAGAAAUUAAAUUAUCAAGCAUUAAUCAUAAUUUAUUAGUUAAAAACAAGAUUUUAAAUAAAUCCAAAUUUGCUUAAUAAACACUUUUAUAAAAUUAGGGUUUUUAUAAAAUAUAGGAGGGAAUUUUAUAAAAUUUGAAAAUUUGGAGAGAGGAGGCUUAAUGCAUGCAAAAACCGGCCAUCUCCUCUCCCAAUGCCCUCUCUCUUUCCAAAACACAAUCAUUAAGCUAAAACACUCACACUACCUCUUCCCUCUUCACUCUCUUACACUCCACUCUUCUCACACAAACUCUUCUCCUUUCUCUCUCUCUAACUCACAAAAUUCUCCCCAUUCCUCUGCCAAAUUUCGAGAUUUUGAAUACUUUGAAGUGUUCUUACUUCUCUCAAGGUCAAAACCAAGGUAAACAACAACAUCUUCUCCCAUAGUUUCAUGGUUAAACUUCUUCUUCUUCAUAGUUUUCUCUACUUUUUGGAUUCUAUGCCUUUCCAUGGCUAGAAAUCUUUAUUCUUCCCUUGUGGUUUGUAGAUUCUCACCAUAACACAAUGCAUGUGUUUGAGAUGGUGAAAAUCCGGGAUCAAACCCAUGCAAGGAGUGAAAAGAUGCACAUAUGAUCAUGUGACAUCAAAACCGAAUGUUUCAUCUUCUUCUCCAUUUCUUUUGUGUUCUUGCAUGACCAAAAGCAUUUAAACCAUUUCUAGUACAUCUUGGAUUCUCAUUCACUCCAUGCAUGUGUUAAAAAUCGGAUCUUACCAAAGGCAUGCAUGAUGUUCUUGUCAAAAUACCCUAAUAAUGCACAAAAACAAACAUGCAACCUGCCAGAUUACUUUGUUCGACUUUGAACGGCCAUAACUCGGUCAUUUAUUUACCAAAUCAUGAUAUUCUUUUUGUAUUGGAUAGUUCCAAGAGAUAAAUUUCAAACCCAACUGGUCUCACUGUAAAAUAUUAAAUAUCCGAUUUUGGCAAUUUUUACAAAAUGGUUGCGCAUACAGCUCUUUUUCUGUGAUCACUAUUUUUGUCUUGCAUGAUCAAUGGCCUUAAACCCAACCAUAAAUCUGAGGAAAAAUACCUUAGCAACUUAACAUAUCUAGUGAAUGAUGGCUGAAAUUUCGUGGCUUAAAACCUCACUGAAUGGGCUACACAAAUUCAUGAACUUCAGCCACAUCUACAUUUCAUGCAUCAUUGCAUGCAACCUUUCUUAAUUUGUUUAGAUUCAUUACCCUCAUUUCUCUUCUGAAUACAUUUUUAACAUUUUUUCUUUUGAAAGCCCUCAUAUGCAUGAGAUAAUCUGAAAAAUUUCAAGAACUUUUAUUAUUUUCUUGAUUUAUUAAAAUUAUUGCUAAAACCAAGGGCAUAAAUCACAUAAAAUACUUCCAGAGGUCAAUAAAUCUUGAAUAAAUUCAUGGAUGAUCCUUAUGGUGAAUAAUGACCCCUCACCAAAUUUCAUCAAUUUUUGUUACAGUUUAAUACGAUUUCCGAUUUUCUUUUUUUAGGGCAUAAUAAAUCACAAACCCACUUUAGAGAAUGUGAAAAUUGUAUCGAACAAUUUUCGCAUACCUUACCUGUGAAUGGUGACUCCAGAAAAUAAUUUCAAGGUUUUUCAUCAUGUCUAACUAUUUUUCCUAAUUUUUGGUAAUUAUAAUGGUCUAAAAAUAGGAAAAAUAGUUCUGAUUACCCAAAAUUCAUGAAAAAUUACCAGGAUAUCAUAUUGUACUUUAGGAGGUUACAUAAAAAUUUUGAGGAUUUUUCUCUACUGUAAACUAUUUUUCUCUUAUUUUCUAAAGUUAAUUGCACUAAAAUACACUUAAAUACACAUAAAAAACCCAAAACUAGUUUAUACAUUAUGAAAACCACUUUUGAUAUUUUUUCCAGGUUAUUUAUACUGUAAUUGAUGUUACAAAAAUUUAUGGUGAUUUAUUUUAACUUUUUAAUAUUAUUUCUUUAAUUAAUGACUAUUUAAAGGAAUAAAACAAAGAAAAAUAGAAAUACCCACUGAAAAAUAUCUUUUAUAUUUUUCCCAGCCUAGUUAUGUAUAAUAACAAUUAAAUAAAAAGUUUGGGUACUUUUGGAAACUGUUUUCUAUUUAUUUCAAUUUUUAUUGGAAUAAAUGCCCAUAAAUCAUAAAAUAUAAUUAAACAGCUUGGAAAUCCAUUUUUAUAUUUUCUCAGCUUAGUAUUGUGUAAUAACAGUUAAAUAAAAAGUUUGAGAAUUUUUAUCCCUCGAAUGCUAUUUUUCGUGAAUUUAUGUUGUUAUAGAGACUUAAAAUUUGGAAAAUUAACCUUCCAAGGUUGUAAUUAAUCGCACGACUUGUAAAAUUUCAAUAUGUCAGCAAAAGUGUAACCAAUUGAUAUAAAAUCCAAUACUAAAACAUAAAUUGGCAUUUCCCUAUAUGUAGAGUUUAGUAUAUUAGCAUUAGAUAUCGACUUGAAAACUCACUAGUGUGUGUGUUUGAUGUCGUAGGAUCCCGAUAGUAAGACAUUGGUGCAUCCCGAAGUACCGCUUGUGCCUACAUGAAACAUCGUGAGUAUUCACGCACUCCCUUAUUUUUGGUUUUUAUGUUUUGGGGUGGAAAAGCAUGUCCAGAAAAACUAAUGUUUGCAUGUUGUAUUUAAAUUGAAUUGUAUCAAACAUGAUUGGUAUUGUAUUGCUAUGUUUCUUUAUGUAUGUCUAUGCAACAUGGAACAUGAGAACUUAUCGUACUAAGGCCCUUCCCUUAUCUCUAACCAUUAACUCUUUGAGCCAAUGGUCAUUAUGGAUAGCGCUAUUAGGAAUUGACAACUCCUCACUCGCCCGAAUCGCUGGAGUGCAUGAUACCAUAUUCAUCUAUGGAACGAUAAGCAUAGAUCUCGAUAGGGCUUCAGUCAUAGGUUUGGUUGAGACUCAUUGUUUGCUCAUACACAUACAAACUCGUUUCUCGUUAUAGCAAUAAACUUGUAUUCAUUAAUAGCAAUCAACUUUGUUUAUCAUUAAAGCAAUGUACUUGUAUUUACGAAAAGCCUUAUUUCACGCUCGAUUUUAUAAACUUGUGAACUCACCAACUAUUUUCAUAGUUGACGCUCGUUUUACAUGCUUUUUCAGGAAAUAAUUAGUAAGUGGAUGUAAAGAUUCAUCAUCAUAGAGCAUGCUGCAUCGUGUUGAAGCUAUUAUGAAGUUAUAUUUUGAUCAAUGUUAUUUUGGAAAAACUUGUACUUUGUUUCUUUUAAGCUAUGGGUUGUAAACUUUUAAAUACUGCUAUGGUGAUGUAUCUUUAUCUUUUGCAAUGAAACCGUUAUCGCUGUCAUACCUUGCGUUUCCGCUUUAGCGGGGUGUGACAGAAGUGGUAUCAGAGCUAAAGUUAUAGAGAACAUCGGUUUUUCUUUAAGAAAACACAACUUAUAACUAAAACUUACAAAGAAAUUCUUUUUACAUCAAACAUAUUACUAGUAUAAUUAGGUCGGGAGUUGUAUCAUUGGACCUCGAUUAAACAUAGCCCGAUCACGUAUGUUUAAUUAAGGAAAGGUUUAUACAAAGCCUGAGUUAAUUAUAAUGGGAAUAUGUUUAACAAAAAAAUAUUUGAGAAAACUUUAUUUCAAAAAAAUUCAAAAGGUUAAUUUUGGGUGUGUGUAAGCAUUGCAUAUUAUAGGCAUGCAUUGUCAUUUAUUUCAUAUCUCAUUGAAACUAUGUCACAGUCCACUAUGUCAACAUCGUCAUCUUCCCGCGCUACCGCCUCAGCCGAUGAGUCCGGCUACGUCACUAUUAUCCCUCGACGUAAUCCCCCCGCCUUGGUAGAACAAGACCCAUCAGAGGAUACGGAAGAUACUGGGAACUCGGUGGAGAUCAGCAAUGACAACGCCCCGAGUCAACGACGCGAGGCAUCACCUACAUCGGUGUUGCCACAACCACCACUUUAUGGACUUCGCAUUCGGAGGACGGCAAGGAAGAGUGUUUCCAUUCCAGGAAGGAUACCCACCAGCACAGCAGGACAUGGCACGGCAGGACCUAGCGGAGCAAGACCCCACGUUGCAGGACCGAGAGCACCGCCACCACAGCGAGUCAUAGGAAUACCUGUCAGGCAGCCAGGUAUGACCCCGGAGGAGUCCCAGAGGAUGUGUUCGAUGGCAGCAGAUUUGCGCCACAGCCUCGCUAUAAUAGCCGGGCAACAGGAGGUAUUGAACGAAGUGAUGACAGGGAUGGAAAUCCUGUAUCAGCAUUCGAUGGAGACUGCUAACACUGCUAGUGCUACUAGACGAGAGGCAGGUCAUGCGAUGACAACAUAUUAUGUGUUUGGUGGGCUAUUACUGAUUGUGGUGUUGAUGCUUCUUGUUGGGAUAGCGAUUGGCUUUUGGUUCUGAUUUCCGUAUUUUAUUUUAUUUUGUCAUGAAAUGAAAACCCAUGUUGGGUGUCUUUUGGGAAAAACUUUUAAAACUUUAUUUUGGGAUUGAUGUAUUGGUUUGGUUUUAAGAUUAUUUCAAAUGGUAAUGAAGAAUUUUAUUUUAUGUUUGAAAACUUUUACUAUGAGGUCAAACCCUAGAAUUUAUUUAAUAAGUGGUUGAAUAAAAAGAUUUUUCUUUUCUUUUCUUUCUAAAAUCUAUAUGCCUAGUAUUAAUGCAAACCAAUGAUUUGACAACACUUACGGUUUUCAAAAUAGUAGUGAACUAAAUAUUAUACAUUAUUUUAUGUAUUUAUACGUAUUUCUUCUCCUGUGUCAUAGAACCAUGUCAGGAAGGCCUAGUCGCGGGCGCCCACAGAACGNACCUCACAAGCACAACAGCUCAUGGAAGCAAUCCCAAACAUUGUUACUCAAGUGACUGAAGGACUUAAUGCUAAUGCUCUGAUACCAACUGUGACAUCCCCAUUUUCACGGCCAGAAAAGACCGAUUUUGUUUAUGCUUUAUUAAAAAUCAGAGUACUUCUUUUCUUAAAAAUGUUGCGGAAUUUGUUCCCAAAAAAACACGAUAAAUAUGUUAUCAAAACAUUUUCGAAGAAACGUAUUNCGUUUGGGAUGUCAUCGUUAAUACAGAAACAUAAGCAUAAACAGAACUUACAUUUAUUUACACUAGUGAUCUACAUCUCUUUAAAUCUCUCAGUGUAAUGUGACUUCAUAUCAACACCUGUGAUAUAAAUAAACUGAGUGGGUCAGGUUGGGAAACCUGGUGAGUACAUAGGGUUUUCAACCCACAAUAAUAUAAUUAUUAUGUUUAAACAAUCAAACAAUCAACCCAAUUACCCAUCCCCAUUAUCUUCUUUAUUCUUAAGGAUCUACCCUAAGAAUUAGCUAUUUCUCAUUCAUUCAUUCCUAAGGAUCAUCCUAAGGAAAUAACAUGAAGUCCAUUGUUGCCAAUGACACAUUGGUCAAGCACAACUGCUAAUCUGGUCACUUAGGCGUAGCUGCCAGAAUUGGGACAUUUUCUAUGAGGCGCUUCUGCCGGUAUUGACCUUUAAACACUGCUAUCAUGGUCACAAGGCUCCCUAUUAGGCGCAACUGCCGAUACUAUCCUUAGAGCGCAGCUGCUAGGACGUUUACCGUAGAUCUAAAUCAUCUACGGGUUGUGGCGCAGCUGCCAGUGCUCAUCUAUAUGGUACUAGGUCCACUGCUGCCAAUGUAUACCUAUAGGGCACUAGGUCCGUACUACCUAAUGUUCCUCUAUUUCAGCUUUAUCCCUCAUCAUUCAUCUACCCAUGUUUUACCCAACAUAUUUUGUAGAUAUAAAAUACUUUAUACAAUUUACAUCAUUUAAAACAUGUAUAAAAAUCUUUCACCAGCAUAGACAGCAAGUAUUCAAACAAUAUGCACACAUAACACGUAAUUUAUAAUAAAAUACUUCAUAUCUAUGUGUACGAUGAAAGGGACCAUGCACUCAACUGAGUAGGUGGUGACUCAGCACUCGGACAGCGCUUCGAUACUCUCAAAAUGAUAUUCCUUCGAUAAAACCUAGUACCAAUACCACUAGGGUUUAGUCUAACGAUAACCGCGACAAAUUAAUUAGUCUGACAAUUAUUAUUAUUAUAUAAGCAUUAAUAACACUCAAUAUAACUCAUAAUAAUAGCCCAAAUAAUUAUUUUAAGGACCUAAUAACAUUCCUAUAAUUAUUUGAAAGCUAUAUUAAAAGUUGCGUAAGCGUAGCACACUUACAGCGAAUUUUAUCGAAAACCGGAACUUAAUUGGAGCAGCGUUUCGAAACCGAAAGACCCUUUUUCUCGGGACUCCGGAAGCCUCGGGGCUUCCUUAGGGUGCUAGGGGUCCACCUAGACUUUAGGGAGGGUUGAAAACCCUAGAGAGAGAAAGUUUAGAAAGAGAGAUAUGAGAAAGGUGUGAGAAAUUCGGAUGAAUUCGCAUGCUAUUUAUAGCCUCAGCAGCCUCGGACGUACGUUGGGUGUAGUCCUCGGCUAUGUUGGGCGUAGUUCGCAUCGGGCUACCAGAUUGCUUUGUAUGAGACACGUGUUGGACAUCGGUUGGAGCUACGCGGCUGCUUGUGGACCGAGGGUGGCAGCUGUACGCGGUGCGUACUGAGCUUCAGACGUUGGGCAUAAUGCAGGGGUGACGCGUCAGUCAUCGGAUGCGAGACCUUGGGGAGCAAGGGAAGGCUAGGAUCUUGCCACGUCAUCACCAGCUUCGCAAAUUGCACUCUCAUCUUCUAAAAAUCAUAACUUUCGCAUACGAGCUCCGUUUUCGACGUUCUUUAUAUCCAAGCGAAGGUGGGAACGUACUCUACAACUUUUGUUUAGACUUUGUUGGCUAAUUUUGACUCGAUUUUAAAUUUUAUAUUAUUAAUAGACCGAGACAAUAUUGGUCCAUUAAAUUCUCAUAACUUCUUCAUCCAACGUCCGUUUUCGCCCAUCUUUUUCUCGUUACGCUACUCUUAACGAGAUCUUCGAUUCUUGUUUAGGUCGUAUCGGCUAAAAUCGCUCGAUCUAAUAUUCGAAUUUUGGGUUGUGCACCACUAAUCCGAAACUUCGAAAAAUCAUAACUUCUUCAUACGAAGUCAGAUUUGGGCAUUCUUUUUAUCGAUGUUCUUAGUUUAACAUAUUCUACGACUUUCGUUUAGAUCGCUAAGGCUAAAUCUCGCUCUAUCAUAAAUCCACUAUUUACGCUUCCCGGUAUCGUACCGGUUUCGUCACAAAACUUCAACGGGUCAUAACUUCUUCGUUAUAACUCGGAUUUCGGCGUUCUUUAUAUGUACGGAAACCUUGAGAAAUAUUCUACAACUUGGUUAAGAUUAUUUAUUCUAAAUAAUCCUUUGUCGAAAAGUAGUUUUUGAUACUUAUUGUCUCUAAAUUGACUAGCCCGGAUCUGCGGACGUUACAAGUAAGGCCAAAUCAAUCAUUCUGAGGCUAUAAGCUCUUAACCGUAUACAACUUUAAAAGCAUACACCUAGCAAAUUUCACAUAAGCAACAUGGUUCAAAAUUAGUAUAACAUGACAAGCAUAUAGGGGAACUACUCACUUGGCUCGGCUGAUCACGCGCGUUGCACUCUCAUCUUUUCAUUUUUAUGUUAUUAUUUUGAAAACAUUUCUACCAUUCCUUAGUUUGAGUCCCGGCACACUCGAGAGUGUGUCUGAAUCCCUCAAACUAAGGCUCUGAUACCAACUUGUAACAACCUAAAUUUUACAACGAAAAUUUUCAUUUAAUUUAAAUAACACAUUGACAUAAAACCGUGAACCCUACAUUUAGUUUAAAACACCAUCCAUUACAUUACAUAAAUUAUAAGAGUGUGUCCCCAAACAUAUUAGUGAAAAAGAGAGAUAGAUAGAGUGCACGCCGCGCCAUCACGUCUUGCCCUUGCCUUUUGGCUUCGAUGUACCUGAAACAAUUCAACAACCUGUAAGCGAAAUGCUUAGUGAGUUCCCCAGAGCAUACUACACACCACUCAUACACAUAUCCUAGUAACAUAUCACAUAGGCCAUGCAUACAUAGAACCAACAAGAAUGUCAUGGGCUACCCCACAUGGACUUUACCUAGGACUCCCAUGGGCUACCCCACAUGGUCUUACAUCCAGUGUCAUAGGCUACCCCACAUGGUGUUUACCUAGGACUGCCAUGGGCUACCCCACAUGGUCUUACAUCCAAUGCCACAGGCUCUCCCUGGGAUCUUUAUGCAAAACAUACAUUCACAUUACAUAUCAAAACACAAAGUGAUUACACAUAUACCAUAAACACAUAAUGGGUCGGCCUUGGUGUCAUAGACCCAUGGGUAGGGUGAGAAGACUCACCUUCAUCCGAAGAAUAUAAAUACUGCACUCUUAAUGACCCGCAACCUCCCGAACUGAAUAAUAAAAAUAAUAAUAUCAUCAAUGAUUGGUCCAUAAAUUAUCCCAAGGGAGGGCCCAACCUUUAAACCUUACCCUAAAGGCCCAAUCACACUUUCAUUGCAAAUGGGCUCAAGAUCUAAGUCUAAUAUCCUUAAUGGGCCCGCUUGGCCCAAAAAGGCCCAACCAAUAAGUCCAUGGUCCAAACUGAUAAAAAAGCCUUUAACUCACAGAAUCCAAUCAGGCCUAAUAACCCAAAAGAGGCCUAACAGUUCGACAACCCAAAACAAGAAUGGCCCAAACUGCCCCGUGUACGCCCAAUGUACACUUCAGGUAUGCGCAGCGUACCGGGUUUUCAAGUGUUACGCAUAGGGUACUCAGAGUACGCCCGACGUAAGUCUCAGUUAAGAACUUUCUCUAUUAAGUGCUUAUUAUUCCAUUCUUUUACGUCCAUAAUCUAUCUCUGAGUCCAUUAACACCUCCUAGGGCAUAAAGUUGCUAACUUUAUGCCUUUGCAUGUCCAUUAAACCUCCAAAGUCAUCAUUAAGACCUUUCCCAAGUCUUUAAUUCAUGCACAAGGUUAAGACCUCCACCAAGCUCCUAUUUUAUGCUCUUAAAUGGCUUAAGGACCUUAGAUCUGACCUUAUUAUCGAAUGGGGACGAUCUAGCCAACAAAUGAGGCCUAAAAUCCAUCAAAAGGACCAACUACAAAAACCCUAGCUAGAUCUAAAGAUCAAAGAGGAAAGGUGCAAGCUUUUUACCUCUAAGAGCUCUGUAAGAUGAUUAUGAUGCAAGAUCUUGAAGCACCCGCUUGAUCCAAGCUUGCUUGACCAACUCUUCUUUUUGAAAUGAACACUAAAGAUUACAAAUGCACACUUUUAAAGCUCAAAAAUGAUUUCUCAAGGCUUUCAGCAGUGAAAUGGCGUUCAAAGGCAGUGGAGGCUCUCUAGGGUUUAGUCCCAAGGGAUUAAAGUCGUUUAUAUAGGCCUCAAGUCUGAAAUUAGGGUUUUUUUGGUCCCUAGCACGUACACCCCGCACAAUCCAUGGUAUGCCCAACGUACCUCUUAACAUCCGCGAACAGAAAAGGUCCUAGUACGCUAAGCGUACACCUAAGUACGCCCAACGUACUAAGGGACUAAUAAUGCAAAAACUAUAAUUUAAAGGGGUUCAAGUCAUACCAUUUAUUUCUGGAUGUUACAACUUAGUAUAACUAGAGUCUCCUGGAGGGAGAGCGUGAGAUUUUUGAAUAUAUCUAUUUGAGACUGAGAAUCCCACACCUAAACUGCUAGCUACAGUUAGGAAGACAUGCAUGUGGUGACAAAUAUCAUACUGUACGACGCCUGAAGAAACGUCGCUGAGGUUACUAGUCAUAUCAAGCAUGGUUAUACGAACUCACAAUAGUAUAAACUAACAUUUGUUUAUGGGAUUUCAUUCUUCAUUAGUUUUAUUUUAAUUAAUAGAACUACCAUACAUUACACUGGAGGAUUCCAGGGAUACAUUACUCUGUUUUAUUUUAAUUAAUAAAACUACUAUACAUACUGGUGGUAGCCAGGGUUUUCAAAUAUAACAUACUGGUGGUAGCUAGGGUUUUCAAACAGAACAUACUAUACAUACCGGUGGUAGCCAAGGUUUUCAAACAGAACUUACAUGUUAGAAAAUAUUGGAUUUUCUUAGGAAACAUGCAUACAUUUUUCAGAAUUCAAUGACUGGUUUCAUUACAAAAAGACUCUUAUGAACUCAAAAGUUGAUACUCUUUCAGAAUCGCUUAUAUUCUCAGGAAAUCAGUAGACAGAUACUCCCACCGGCUUCCGGAAGACAGAGCGUUCAGAGUUUCAUCUUUAUAUUUUUGCUACUUUUUAUGUAUACAAACAAUGAAUCAAACAAAUGUAACUAUUCAUAUCUUAAUGUAAUGGUUGUGUUUACUUUGAUUACUAUGAUGCAAUUGUUGUGAUACUACACAUGACGUCCUCCACCCCCGAACGUUUUCGCCGUUCCGGUUUGGGGGUGUGACACACACACACACAUUAAUACCUGAUUUUGAUACAUCACUUUCAAACCAUUUUACAUAAAAUAUCGUAUUUUCUGGCGUUUUACAAACAAUACAAAACUUUUCAUUCAGACAUGCUUAUGAACUUACCAACAUUAUAUAUGUUGGCAUUUUCAAAAUAACUUGUAUUCUCAGGGAAUCGUUAAGCGGAAAGGUCAAUAAGAACACAUGGAAUUUUUCGUAUUUUGUUAUCAUCAUUCAUUGAAUAUUUUGGCAUGUAAUUUAUGAUACUAUACUUGAUGUAAACAAUGAUGGUUGUAUUUUGAUAUGUAUGAUGAUGGUGUUGUCUUGUUUCAAUUAUAUACAAUGUGAUGAUAUUACACGAUGAAGUGACCAAAUCCCCCGGACGUUUCUACCGUCUGGUUCCGGGGUGUGACAAAGAUUCUUCAAAUUACGCAACUCCUUGCAUGGAAAAAUUAUGUUGAUUUUCAACAAUUUAUCACCAUUCUCAUGUGCAUCUACUUCAAUUAAAUUUGAAAAAGACCAAGGGAAUUGAACUAUCUUUAUCAUAUCCAGAGUACAACACAUAGGGAGUUGAGCCUGCUAAGAAAAAAUCAAACAUAGAUCAUCACAAACAUAUAACAAUUAUACAAGAAAAAUACAUUUAGUAUACAAACAUAUUAAAUGAUUGCAUGUUUUAUUAUUCUUCAAUGACCCAACAUGUAUUUCCAAUCAACAAUUUAGACUUUAUCGAUGAUUGUUAAGUCUUUCUAUUUAUUUAUUUAUUUUAUUUAUUAUUAUUAUCAUUAUUCAUAUAAAUCGUAUUAUUAUUAUUAUUAUUAUUAUUAUUAUUAUUAUUAUUGGGGGGAGGGGGUAUCAAAAUGAAAUAAAAUAAAAAUAUAAAAACAAAGUGUUCUGGCAACUUUAAAAGAACUAAUUUUCCAUGUAUGAGUGUAUAUAACAUCUUUCAUAACAUAAGAGACAAUUUAAUAUCUUAGGAAUGAAAUAUUAAUCUAUAAUAAAAAAUAAAAUUGCAUAUUUUCAUAACUUUUUAUGGAUAUAAAAAAUGGGAAGUGGUUAAAUGAUGAAGUAAAGUAACAACAUACCUCAUCCUCAUGUGUAACAUUUGUCAAAUGGAAGUUAAGGCCACAUUUAAGACUAUGCUUGCCUAUUCCUGUAUGUAUGUAUCUGAGCUUCGGAGCCAUCAAGUGAACAGAUGUGAAAUUCAUCAUUUAUGGGCAACCAUACAUCUCAACCUUUUCCAAUACUGGCCACCUGAACUCAUUCAUCACCAACAAGAAACCCUUGAGAUCUGGUAAAUCUACCAGUGUAAGGGACUUGAGACGUGGGAAGACUAUUAUAGAUUUAGAUGUUUCUGUGUGCUCUGCGUAUUCCUUCACAAUCACUUUCAUUGCCUUGCAUUCUACUACCAUCACUUCUUUUAGUUGCUUAAGGCUUUCAAGUGUGGAACUUGUGAAUAUAUAUUCCAAACCUUCACAUCUAUCUAUUUUCAAUAUCGUUAGGUUGGGCAAUUCAAGCAGAGUCAUAUUUGCGGACCUUGGGAUGGUGAUUGCAGUACAAGUAUCAUCACUUCCAUCACCAACAUUAGUAGUACUAUCAACAUCAUUGUUGUUUAUCCCUUUACUUUCAAAUACAUAGGAUGGAAACACUCUUGACAAGGCAUGACAAUCAGGCAUACUAAUCACUUUGGAGUAUUAGCAUAAGAACCAAGAAGCAACAACUUGAGAACACCACAACAACACAUGAAAAAUCAAUGGAUCUGUUUAAAUUAACAAAGCUUAGUUGUUUGCUACACACAUACACACAACAUGUGUUUCUAAAAAUAUGGUUACAAACACGAGUGCUUCCCACAACUAAGGUAAUUAUGAACAACUACAAAAAGGUAAACUAAAUCAAUCAUAAAAUUGGCCUUAUAGUGGGUUACAGGAGAUUAUAAACAACUUCAAAAAGGAAAUAGAAACAAGAAAAAAACAAAACUGUCACAUUGCUAAUUAACACAACUAAUUAGCAUUUAUUCAAAUUAAAACUUGAAAAUGAAGCGACUUUGAUUAGCAAUUAAUCAGCAUAUAUAUUUCACACGUAUCUGCAGGAACACAUGCAGAAUCAAAGUAUAAACACAUGCAAGUAUGAUAUAAACCAUAAAAUAUACAAAUAUUGUAACUAUGAAUUUUACUUGUGUGUACUGAAGAAGGGCUAAAUGCAAAACAUAGCAACACAUUUCCAUUUAUUCGUUUGUUAAAGCAUCGUACUUUCGUUUCUUUCUAUUUAAGCAACAGAAAUCGUUUCUAUUUUAAUAACUUUUUUUUGUUUUUUUUUAAACUCGAGUUGGAGAAAAAAGUUUAUUUGAUGGUACGAGUUUAAGUUUCUACUCCAAAAGCUAUUUCAAGUAGAUUUUAGCAUCUUUCAGUUUUUUGAAAUUCUACACCGUUAAGUGUUAACUACUUUUAUGGAAUAAUUACACACAAGUAAUCACCAUAGAGAUCUCAAACCAAGUACAAAGGGCUUUUUUGAGACCAUAUAUACCGGAAUUUUAGAAGCCAACAAACUUCACCCGGUUGGUGGGCAACACUUAGGGGAGAAGUCAUGUAAACCUCCUCAUGAAGAUCGUUGUUCAAGAACACAUUCUUACCAUCCAUUCAGAAUAUCUUCACUAACUAACGAAUGGAUGCAACUGUGUUAUUAGAGUACGACAUUCAUCACUUUUGUCGUCAAUUUUUGUGUGGGUGAAACUAACCCUUCUUAUGAGUCUAGUGAAGAGUCAUAAGUUCCUCAACUAUAGCAUUCUACCAAAGGAGAUCAUAAACAGCCUCUCUGUACGACUUGGUUUCUCACAUAUUAUGUAUAUUGGCAAUAAAUGAAGCAAACAAAGUCAAAAUAAGAUGGAUAAGAAAAUUGCAUGAGUUUGAUGGACUUACAAGUACCGUUGGACUUAAAAUGUGGUGGAAGUUUCAUAGUCACAGUUAGAGAGGAGCAUUUAGACCAAAAACCAAAUCGAAUCGAAUCGAACUGAAUUAGGCCUGAAUAAGCAAUUCGGUUCGGGUUUCGGGUAUCUAUAUUAGGCUUAGUCGGUUCUCGAAUUUUUCGGUUUGGGUUACCCAAAUAAGUGCUUAUUCGAUUCAAAAUAUCCGGCCCAGAAUUUCAGCAUGGUUGCAGAAAUUUAGGCAACUUUGAACUGUAAUGACGUCUUCGUUAUUUACCCCAUUUGCCUAUUUUUUUCCAUCUUGUAGCUCACGGUUUAAACUACUAUUUACAUAGUUUAUAUGCUAUUUUUGGUUAUAUAUUCAAUGAGAUACAUGCCCCUAAAUAUGGGGUAUUGAAGCUAAAUUUUCUGUUUCAGCAUGUUUGUAGAAAUGUAGGCAACUUUGAACUAUUAUAGGGUCUUCAUUAUUUGUCCGAUUUGCUUGAUUUUGGGGGUUGGAUUUUACAUUCUUAUAUCUCAAGAAUAGUUAACCCGUGUUUACAAUAAAUUUAGAGAAAAAGUGAAAUCAUUUUUGGUGUAUAUCGAAUCUUUUGUUCGUUAAUUUGGGAACAAAAACAUACAAAAUAUAAAUUCGUGUUUACAUUUAAGUCUACAGUUAUAUAUUUGUCCAUGCUGCGCAUGCUUAUUACACAAAUUCUGACAUUUUUUUGCAUCUUUGAAACAAUUAUAUAUACUUUCAUUAUUUUUAAUCAAACAAGAUUGUUUCUUUAAUAGUUUUGUUAUGGAAUCAUAAGCUACAAAAGUAUUAAAAAAUACAGUUUUUAUAAUCAUAUUGUAAAUGUUAUUCGGGUUAUGGAAUCAUAAUACGGUUUAUUUGCUUUUUUUCAGUUAUAUUAAGUCAUUAAUCAUAUCGUGAAUGUUAUUCGGGUUAUUCAAGUAAUAACUGACCCGAACCGAUUAAUACCCGAAUCGAACCGAACUCGUAUUAGGUUAUUCGAUUCGAGUUUCGGUUCCUCCGAUUAGCCUUAUUCAGUUUUUAGAUUAUUCAGGCUCAGGUAAAGUCGGUCCGGUUCCGACCCGAAUAACAUCCUAGUCACGGUAGGUAAACAAUAAGAGGAACUGGAGCAAUGUAUGAUGUUGUAAGCAUAUUAUAAAUUGGGUCAUCAGAUGCAAUGUUAUCUCUUUAAUUCAAAUGUACUAGAGUUGAUUAUCUAAUACAUCCAAUGGAUGAAAACAACAUUAAAAUCAAUAGCUAGUUAUAAAGAACGUUACAACAACAUUAUGCAUAUUUUAUUGGUCCUACACCUAAAGUACAUCACCACGUUAACAAUAAGCAUAGAUCCUAAAUAUCCCAAAUAGGUAAAAAAAAACAGUAUAUCAAAAAUUAAGAAUUUACAUGUAAUGUUAGGCCUCAUUAUUUAGUAGCGGAUACUUGGACUUUCUUUGGUAAUCUCAUCUGCAUGAUCAACAAACAUAAUUUACCUUUAACUAAGAUAUAAAAUAAGUUUAACUAGUCUACAAAUAAUAGAUUAUUAGAGAAUUUUGACCUUAGAUUUUGUGGUUCGCCAUCCUAUUGCGUUGGCUUCUGGAUGGCUUCUGGAGAUGUAUAGGCAAAUUUUUUCAAACGGAUUUUAUGAGUCGCCUUUACUCAAACUUGUAACACUAGAAGGUGAGACUUCCUACAAUUAAAAUCCCGAUUGUUACACAUGACAGUAUAUGACAAAACAAGUUGUAUUGCAUCUGGAAUGUAUUGGAUCGGGACAGUGUGACUGAUUUCAAUAAGACAAAAGUUGCAAUUUUUAAGGGAGUCGUUUUUUAUUUGACAUAUAUGCAAAAUUACCUUAUUUUUGUGGAUGCAUCGAUAUGUUGGAUUUCUAGUCUGUCAGAAUAAAAGAGUACCUGCAUAUAGAAAAUUUAAAUAAGUGGGUUGUAUCAUAGUUACCAGAAACGCGGUACGAUACGGGGAACGAGGUACGGUACGGGUUUCAAAACAUUGACCGUAUCGGGUACCGGGGGGNGGGGGGGGGGUAGGCUCAUUUCUGUACAAUCCGGUACAGUUUAUUGUAUAGUCCGGUAGAGUGUGCCUAGUUCUAAGACAUUUCAUAAAAUAUAUGUAAUUAUGUAUUCUAUUACUUAAACUUAAUAACAAAAGUACUAAUUAUCAAAACAGGAACAAAAUAAAUACCACAAUUACUUCAUCAUAAUACUUAAUAACAAAAAUAUUAAAAUACUAUAAAGGCAUAAACUAGUUUAUCCGUUGCCUUUUUCCACUUUCAUUCUCCACGCCUUCAUCAUCAAGGUUCUCCCACACCAUUUCUUCUAGACAAGCACUUGAACAUUCAAUGUGAUCACUUUCCGGAUUGAUGUCCCAUUUUUUGUUGGGUCCGACUUUGUAAGAUUCUGAAAACCGAGACAAAAGUCUAAUAUUAGAGUGAAUAUACACAAGUUUAUCCGCUCUUGGGCCAUUUAAACGAUUCCUUUUGAUGCUAUGUAUAUGAGAGUAUGUACUCCAAUUCCUCUCAGCUGAAGAGCUACUAAUCGGUUGCGAGAGGAUUUCUUUUCAUGCCUCCUGGUGCCAACUUUGCAAGAUAAUGCUUGUCAUAAUAUUUAUGAUUUAAAUCAAAUCCUAAACAAUGGAGAGGGAUAGUCAUCUGGUCCCACCUUUCGACCAUAAUUUCAUCAACUUUAGUGUAAUAGAUUGAGAGUUUAUUGUCCCUCAUAGUAAUAGCCUCUUUGAUUUAACCCAUAAUAUUGUCCAUUCAUUCAUAUAUUUCUGCCAUUUUCAGACAUUCACCAUCACAAAACUUUACCAUGUAAAAGAUAGGUUUUGUGACAGCCAAAUUGUGAGCAAUAUCAUCCCAAAAAUCUUCAUCUUUAAUUGUAUCUGCAACCUUAUUAACAAGUACUUGAGUGUGCGGAUCCACCGUGUUGACCAUUCUCGCCACGAGUUUAAGCCAAUAGUAGUAGCAAGUGCUUCCCUACACUCGGUUAGUCUUUUCAACAAUAUGUAAUGUGAUGCAAAUCGUGUUUGUGCAACCUUCAACAAUUGCAAUUUCGAGUUGUCUCUAAAGAAAGCUAAGGCGUGUGUGUGGUUUAAAAAAACGUAACAAUACCCUUCCCUCUGUUAUAUGUAUCGGUCAGCCAGUCAAAUUGCUUCGCCAUGUCUAUAAAAAUCAAAUUUAAAGAAUGUACACAACAAGGGGACCAGAAAAUAUGUUUAUAUACCUUCUGUAUUUCUCGUCCAGCCGCCUUGCAAUUCGCCGCGUUAUUGGUUACAACUUGAGUAACACUACUUGGACCAAUCUCCUCAAUAGCUUGUCGAAGAAACUUAGCAAUCUCCACCCCCAUCUUCUCAAUCCCCGAAAAGGCCUCCGCAUACAUAAAAGUUGCACCACGUGAAUUUUGUGCAAUAACAUUUAUAAGCGGUUCAUUUUUUACAUUAGACCAACCAUCUGAGAUAACGAAUACUCCUUGCGUUAACCACGUGUCUUUGACCGGAUCAAGUUCUUUGCCCACAUCUCUCACAAAUUGAUCAAGCAAUGAAGUUCUAGCUUUUUCAUAUGAAGGUGGCUUGUAACCUUCCGAUGCUUUCUUAAUAGCUUGAAUCAUUUCAAUGAAUUGCGGGUUCCGUAACACAUUAAAGAGAAUCCCAUUAGCACACAAGCCUCGAAGUAUCUUCAUGUCAACCUCCUCUCUCUCGAGCAUCUUAAAUGCAUCUUCAAUCCUUCUUUUUGGAGUUGAGUUUUUUGAGAGCAACGAAUUCUUCAAUAAUUUGGCAGCAACACCAUUCUUUUCCGCUUCUUUCACCCUAUUAUAUAGAACGUCAUAAUACGGGUUACUUUUAACAAGAACCGGACACCUUUUGAUCUCAGUUGUUUUCCCUGCAGGAGGUCAGAAAGUGAACAUGGAUUCUAGUAUAAGAGCUGGUAUAUUUUCCUUUACAGUGGUUACAGGUCCAACGUUUAGAACCUCCACUAUUCUUGUUGUUUCCUAGAACUUCUUUAUAUGUAACUUCUUCAUGGAGUGGUUUUCUUGGAUCUUUCUCAACACUGUUUUUUGGGGCUGUUUGUUGAACCUCAUCAUCAACAUGGAUUGUUGUUUGAUCUUGGGUCUCACUAAUAUGAGUGCUUUCUGUUUCACUGUCAGAAUGAGUUGGCUGAGACUCUGAAAAAUUUUUUCUUCCAAAUUCCAUUCUUCACAAUGGGAUGCACAAUUUAUAGUGGAAAGUGGAAACUAGAAAAUUAGAUAUAACUAAAAUCGAAAUUGAAGACAGAAAGCUGAAAUGGAAAUUGAGUUUGAAUGUCCGAUACAAGAUUACAAGGUCUAUAUAUACUAAUCUCAAAGAUUUGCAAUUAACACUUUUACAAUGUGAAAUUAAAAUUGAGAAGGCUAGGCAUCAAUGAUCGAUCCAUAGUAUCUAGCUGAGUCAACGAUCGGAGAAGUCGAAUAGCCUCUGUGAAACGUGGCUAAACUCCCGCCCAAAUCGCCAUUCAGUCGAUGCAUAAAACCCGAUCGGCAACAACAAAUCGACUUCACGUACGCUCUAUUUUGACUUCAGGGACGUUCGAUUUUGACUCCGGGUACGAUCGAUUUAGACUCCAAGAACGUUAAUUGGUUCGAUUGGGAUCGCUAUUAGGUUCGAUUUGGGUCGCGAUUGGCGUCGACUGUAUCAUUUUCUAGGUACGUUCACAUAUCACGUAUUGGACCGGUUUCCAAUCGUUUGGGUACAGGGUGUUUCGGUACGUGGUACGCCACUACUUCGACGUUUCUGGUGACUAUGGGUUGUAUAUCUCCAUAGGAUCAAACAAGUAAAAUUAAAAUAAAACAUAGCCAAAUUUCAAAACAUGUCAAGUGACUUAAAAGUCAGCCAAAGUGUAAUCAAAUGCAUCCAAGGGUUCGAAUUGGUUGAGUCAAGAAAUUAGAUUAUUAGGGUAAAUACAAGAGAUAGCAACAUACUUUCAUUUUACUUGUGUAUGAUUUCUUCGUAUUAUAGCAUUUUAGUUUCAGGUUUUUUUUCUUAUUAAAGCAGUGCACUUUGAAAAAUCUACCCAAUUAUAGCAGCGAAAAUUGCUUUGUAUAUAGAUGACAUUGCUAUAAUUGGGUUGGUUAUUCAAAGUACAAUACUGUAAUAGAAAAAAAUAAAGGUAUGAUGCUACAAUAUGAAAAUCAAAGAACCAACAUUACUAUUUCUUGCAAAUAACCAUAGAUUUUUAUUGUAAUAAAGAGAUUUUGUAAUCAUAUUCAAGACAUGGAUCAAUUAUAAAGUUAGGAAAAUGAACAAAAAAAACAUUUCCAGUAAACCUAAGGCAUGACACAACUCCCAACUCCCAAAAAAUAAAUCAGAAAAAAGACCGAUAUACCCUCAAUAACUAUACACCAGAUAUGCGACAAGAUAUUAUAAAAGUAUGAAUUGAUAUCAUACCUUGUUUAAAAGCUGCACAUUGGAUGAAUCAGUUGCCACAACAUGUAACCCAAGACAAUUGUGUUGAUCACUACAAAAAGGGCAGAAAGCCGUAUUAAAUACACAUCCAUCUUCUUUACUCCAUAUUCCUUCAUCACCACUUCUUUUCCAAAUUCUCCCAUCAACACAUGAAAGAUCAGACACCACAAUAGCCACACUUGCCCCACCCUUUUCUCUCCCUUUCCAACUUGACACCAAAUGCACUUUAGAUAAUGACAUUGAUGAACAAGGGACAAAAUAGUCAUUUUCCGCAAGACCCAAUGGAGUUUUACAGAGUGAACACGAUAUUUUUAGAUCUUUCUUGGUUUCAUCACCAAGAUUCAUGGUUUCUUUCACUGGAAAUGUGGGUUUGGGUUUGGGGGAAUCAAAUUGGGACAUUUUGACUGAUGCAAAAGCUGAAGACUUUCUUCUUUUGUGAAAAUGGGAAUUGACACUUGAAUCUAGAGGUGAAUUGGUUUGAGGGAUUUGUUGUUUUUUAGGUGUUGGUGUUGUUGUGUUCAUGCAUUCAGAAGCUGAAGUGGAACAAGGGGAAGAAAAGGAACAAGUGGGAAACUUUGAUUGGAUUAUGGUUGACUCAGAGACAGAUUCAAGAGUAGCAGGGUAACUGUUCUUGAUUGGUGUUUCCUUCAGAAUAGGUGGCUCAUGGUCAAGGGCAUUAUCGUCAUUUCUCGGGGUUUCAUGAACAAUGGUUAAGUCGAAAUCGUCAUCAUGAGAUAUAUUCAUUGAUGGUGGCGAUGGAAACCUGCACCCAUCAUAAGACAUACAUCUGUUACCAACUUCUAUUCUCUUUUAGAGUAAUUACAAGAAUGGUCCCUGUGUUAUUCCCAACAUUUCAGAUUCAGUCCAACUUCUAUGAUAAAAUGACUUUUCUACCCUCACAUGUUUCUUUUUAAAGAACAUUGCAUUUUUGGUCCCCAAGUAUAGCUGAUGUUUUUAAUUUUGGUCCCAAAAGGUUGUCAUGCUAAUUUGGUCCUUAUUUAAGAUUUUUGUAACGUUUUUUGUCCCUGUUCCUAGUAAAAUGGCUAUUUUUGGGAUCGAAAUUUCAAAAAUCACACCCAUAGACCAAAAUGGUCACUUAAUUUGGAACCGGGACCAAAAACAUUACACGAAUGUCAAAUAAGGACCAAAAAUGCAAAAGAAAACCUUUUAGUACCAAAAUUGCAAAAAGCAACCAUACUCAAGGAGCAAAAAUGUAAUUUGACUCUUCUUUUUAACUUUUCUAUAAUUUGUUUAUUUUAAACUAUUGUUAGAUGUCAUUUUACAUGGAUCAGUGACAGAUCAGAAACAAAAACCAAUGUUAGGGACCAAUUUGAAACAAAAAAAAAAAACAUUGGACUGAAUAUGCAACAGUGGGUAUAACACAAGGACCAUUCUUGUAACUAACUCUUUUUAUUUCAAUGAUUGAAAGAACAAGACGCGUAGAUAAAAUAACAAGUUUAAAAUACCUGUUUUGUGUCUCCAAAUCACCUUUGGAGUCAGUGUAAGUUAUACCAGUAUUGAUGUCACUCUUUUUCACUCCCCUAAUUGUUUCCUGAGGUCUAGAUUCUGCUUUGAGGGAGGGGCAAUGUAACUUUUUAGAUGUAAUCGGAAACUUUUUUAAUAUUAAUGUGUAACCUCACUAUGAGAAACCUUCAUCAACAAAAAUUAUGAACCCUAAUGAAAAACCAAAAAAAAAAAAAAAAAAUAGAAAAUAAAGAGUGAUACAAAAUGCCUUCAUCAUUUCAACAUCUAUCAUUUCCAUAUUCUCUUUUUCAUAGUCCAUACAGGUCCCAUUGGUUUUCUUGAUUGGUAUUUCCUUCAUACUGGGUGGCUCAUAGUCAAGGGCAUUAUCGUCAUUUCUCAGGCUUUCAUGAACAAUGGUUUAUUUGAAAUCGUCAUGAGAUAUAUUCAUUGAAGGCGACGAUAAAAACCUGCACAGAACAUAAGAAGAUAUAUAUAACCGAAUUUCAUUCUUUUUAUCUCAGAAGUUGAAAACAAAACAGAGCUUUAUGAUCUUUGCUAAUAAAGCAUUUGUAGUUGAGACUCACUUCUUCAAGAAUGAAGUGCUUUUAUACAAAUCAAACAUUAAUACUAGGGGUGUUGAACGGGUAAUUUUUUCGGGUUUCGGGUAAUUCGGGUCGGGUAAUUCGGGUUUUUCAUGUUAGAAAAAUUACCCGUUACCCUACCCAAACUAAAUUCGGGUAAUUCGGGUAUCGGGUCGGGUUUGGGUAAUUCGGGUAUUACCCGAAAUAUAUGAUUUUUUUUUUGAAUUUCACCUAAAAAUAAAUUUAAUGGAAUAAAUACGUCGUGCUUUAUUAGUCUUGUUUAUAUAAACAAACGAGACAUAAACGAAGUUACUCAAGCUUUGAACAUUGAGAUUUUCUACUCAAUAAUACAUGAGAUAUCAAGUAUUUUUGUAACGACUUAAUCUAAUCUAAUAAGAUGUUAAAAAAACAAAUACCUAAAGAUCUUAAUUUAAAAGUUUAAAAUGUUUAAGAUAAACGUAGUCAUAAGUUUUGCCAUGUUUUAAAGUUUCGUCAAGAUAAUGAGUUUGUUAAUUGUAAUAAAAACUAUAAUAUAGAAAACAGUUAAGUUUUAAAGAACGUGAUGAUAUAUAAAAAUUACUUUUAAUAUUGUUAGUGUCGUAUUGUCAUAAUAAAUAUAUUUAUGUUUUAUAAUAAUGAUAUUAGUUUAAGCGUGAUCAAAUACUUGCUAUAUAGUACAAGCUCUAUAAGAAAAAUGAAAUUUUAAAAUAAUUUGGGUAAUUCGGGUAAUUCGGGUAUACCCGAAAUCCAAAAAAUGUACCCUUUACCCGACCCGAAAAAAAUCGGGUAACCCGAUUACCCGGAAAAUUUACCCGAUACCCGAUUUACCCGACCCGAUUUACCCGUUACCCGAAAAAAUCGGGCGGGUAAUUCGGGUAUCGGGUAUUUUCGACAGGGCUAAUUAAUACACUCAACUUACACUAUUUGUAAUGUAGAGGUUGAGCAACAAGAUCAUUUGAAAUGUGAGGUUGCUGCCAGGACUUGGUUUGAGAUUUUUAAAUGGUUGGAGAUUUCACAAAUUCCUUUUGAUUCCGUUCCUGAUUUGUUUAUGUUGGUGGAUCAGUUGCCUAUCGCUUCGAAAAAGAAAGUUGUCUUGGAUACUGUGGUCUGAAUUUCUAUUUGGUAUAUCUGGAGGUUCAGAAAUAAAAAAGUGUUUGUUUGAGGAAAGAUAAGGCGGAGUGAGAUUGUGGACUCUAUUAUCCAAUUUUCUUAUCUUUGGUAUAAUAACAGGAACAGCAAAUGUAUCAUAGAUAGGAUAAAUUGCCAGUGAGGCUAUUUCAGAAAAAAAUGAAAAAUACACUCAACUUACAAGAGGUGCCAUUGAAGAAUUUUAUCAAACACUUGGUGUUCAUAAAAAUAAAGAACACAGAUCUGUUGAAUUAAGGGCAGUUUUAGGUUAUUCAUUCUUUUUCUUUUCUUUCUUGUCCAGUAUGUGCUAAGAGAGUUUCAUCUAUGUAUUACCAUUCUAUGCACCUUCAACCCCUGAAUUUAUGCAUUAUUUAAAAUAAUUGAAUAUGUACAAACCAACCAAAAAAAAACUUGUGUAAUUAUUGCUAAGUUAGUCACAUCUUAAUCAAAUAGAAGAAAUGGACACAUCAUACAUGAGAUUACAUGAAACUAGAAAUUCAAUAAUUCGAAUUGAAAUUUUAAGCAAGCAACUCUGAUUACAAGUCAAUUCAAUGAUCAGAUAAUUAAGGUAGAGAAACAUGUACAUGAUUAGGAAGAAGGAAACAAGUGUAGGAUGUAAUCAUACCUAUGCUAUUUAGCUGACUUCAAAAUGAGCCAAACUGGACGUGUGAAUUCAAAUGUUCCUCUAGAACUGCCAUCCCUGUAGGAGAUUACAAAAAAGUGGUAAAUUAGAGAGUAAUGUAAAGUUUUUGUUGGAAAAAACAUUAGUCUGUUAAUAAUAACCAAAGGUGACACCACAUACCUCUUGUUGAUAGGUCUUUAUAAAAGAGUUGGGUUCUUCUGUUACAUGACAAAAUCCAAAAGUUGUAUCUAUUAACUUUAGCUCCGGAGUAGUUGAUUGCCCAUUUGUGAAUACUGUUAUUUUUGGACAAUAUUUGAUUUCCAAAGUAUCUAAUGAUGGCCAUUCAAAAGCCUCCUUCCCCAGGCAAAAUCCCUUGAGAUUUGGAAGCUUUUCAAGUGUUAUGGAUUUCAGACAAGGGAACACAACCUCAGUAGUAGUCAGUCUGGUUUCGGAAUCUUCAACUUGCUUCACAAUCACAUCCAUACUCUCGCAGUCACUUAUUUUUAGCUCUUGGAGCUGGAAUAGACUACCAACCAUGCAACUACUGAAAACGUGUCCAAGAAGCUUACAACUUACAAUUGAGACCUUUGUAAGGUUUGGAAAGUUCAACACUAUCCACCGAUUGCUCUUCCACACAUGCUUCAGAGUAUUUAUUCCACCCAAAGUCACCUCUUUCAGCUUCUCAAAUACCACAACAGAUUGCAUUCCAAUAUCCACAUCUUCAUUUGUCCCUUCUGCUACUUCAAAUACUUCCUCUAUUUUAGAUUCACCAUACUUCCUGGUAAUAGAAAGCUUUUCAAGAUUCUUCAAAUUAAGCAACUCCUUGCAUGGAAAAAUUAUGCGGCUUUCCAACAAUUUGUCAAUCCAUUGUGCAUCUACUUCAACUAAAUUUGAAAGAGACCACGGGAACUGAAGUAGCUUUAUCAAAUCUGGAGUAGAGCACAUAGGGAGUUGAGUCUGCUAAGAAAAAUCAAACAUAGAUAGAUCAUCACAAACACGACAAUUACUAAAGAAAAAUACAUUUAAUAUUACAAACAUAAUAAGGAUUGCAAGUUAUGUUAUUCUUCAAUGAGCCAACAUGUAUUUUCAAUCAACAACCUAGUUUAUGACACUGCUUACAUUAUAUUUUGUGAAGAUGAGCAUCAUGAAGAAAAUUUCUGCAUUAUAUAUUGCAUUUGCUCAAACAAUUUAGAUUGUUAUCGAUGAUUGUUGAGUCUUUUUAAAUAAAAGUAAAAAUUAUAGUUUGUGGGUGAGUGGGUAGGGAGGAUAAAAUAAAAAGUAAAAGUUAAGUGUUUUGGCUACUUCAAAAAGGGUAAUUUUUCAUGUACUGAAUAUUUACAUCCAAUUUUUUUAGGAAAAAAGAUAAUUAUGUUAUUGUAUUUUUUAUUGCAUUGUCAAAUACAACAAAUGAUAUAUGGAUGAUAUGCUUACACUUUUACAAUCAUCUCAGCUAUACUAUUUUCGUCAAUUUUAGGUAAUAAACGCUAAAAAAAAAUGUUUACCUUGUAAAAGAUGAGAGAGAAAAGAAGAACUUGAUUAAGUAACAACUAGCAUCACAAUAUUUAUAAAAUAUGUUAGAUAAUUGAAUUAAAUUGGAUGAAAACGAUAUAAAUGAUUUAAUUACAAUAUAUACUUCCAUACAAAAAUCUAUUUGUUAACAGAUAUGAGUGAAAAUAUGUAUAAUAAGGCAAUGCUUUAAUUUCCAUCUAUUUUGUGUUUUCUUUUCUUAACCGAAUGAAGAUGUUAGUUCUAAGUUCCUAAUUAAUGAUAUAUGACAAGUACCAAACGAUCACAUUCUAUGAAAUUUACAAAUGAUUUGAAUAAGAAUGAACUUGCCAAGUAUCAUUUGUAAUACACAAGAAAAUAAUUUUUUAUUUUCAUAUAUUUGAUAUAAAUUCUUAAGUCUUGUAUUUUUAAGGAACGUAACUAUUAUGUGAAUUUUAGAAGCACUUUUUCUUAGGUGCUUAUUUUGUUAUUCCUUUAAUUGAAUACUUGCCCAAACUCAGAGCCACUAGUUAGAUUGUUUGUUUUUCUACAAAGCGAUCAAUUUUUUGUCAAAUUAAAAUACGUUUUAGCGAAAACUGCAAAUUUGGUCCCUGUAUUUGUUGAUUUUUGUGGUUACAAUGGGGACAGUGUAAUAAAGAAGGGGUUGUUGAUCUGAUUCUGAUCAAACGGAAACUAGUAUUGUAUAUGUUCAGAAAUCUUUGGACAUGGAAAAAACCACCCUCAAUGAAUGCGUCAAUUGGGCUUUUUGUCUUUACUUCAUCUAACUUGAUUAAAAUAAUAAAUUGCUAACUUAUGAAUUAGUGAAUAUAACAUCUUUUAUAACAUAAGAGACAACUUAAUAUCUUAGGAAUGAAAUAUUAACUUAUAAUAAAAAAAUAAAAUUGCAUAUUUUCGUAACUUUUUAUAGAUACAAAAAAUGGGAAGUGGUUAUAUAUGUAUCUUCAUUUGGUUUUGUUUGUGUUUCCUUCCGGAAUACACAUAUGAACCGACUAAAUUAGUAAGCAAAUAAUAUGUUGAACAUCAUAAAACGACAUCCUGAUCACCUGGUUAAAUGAUGAAGUAAGGUAACAACAUACCUCAUGUGUAGCAUUGGUCAAAUGGAAGUUGAGGCCAUAUUGAUCAAGACUAUGCUUGCCUAAUUCUGUAUGUAUGUAAUUGAGCUUCGGAGUCAUGGAGUGACCAGAUGUGAAAUUCAUCAUUUGUGGGCAGCCAUAAAUCUUAACCUUUUCCAAUGCUUUCCACUUGAACUCAUUCUUCCCCAAGAAGAAACCCUUGAGAUCUGGUAAAUCUGCAAGUGUAAGGGACUUGAGACGAGGGAAGAAACCCUUGAGUUCUGGUAAAUCUCCGUCUUCCUUCACAAUCACUUUCACUGCCUUGCAUUGUUUUACAGUCAGUUUUUUGAGUUGCUUGAGGCUUUCAAGUGUGGAACUUGUGAUUAUAUAUUCCAAUACUUCACAUCUUUCUAUUUCCAAUAUCGUUAGGUUGGGCAAUUGAAGCAGAGUCAUAUUGGCCGACCUUGGGAUGGUGAUUGCAGUACAAGUAUCAUCACUUCCAUCACCAACAUUCGUAGUACUAUCAACACCAUCUUUUUUUAUUUCUUUACUUUCAAAUAUCUCCACCAUUGACUUACAUUCUUCUAUUCUCAACUCUUCAAGC